AUGCGAUUUUGCAACUUUCCGGGGGGAAAAAGACGCGUCCUGGGUGGAAGCGAGAAGACUGACACAACAGCAGACUGACUGUUUUUCAGUUCUGAUUAGACACUAGUGUUGAGAUGUCUGUCUGUCAUGAUAGCAUGUACUGAGUCAGGGCCAGUACCAGAUAAGCACAUUAAACUAUAAUCCAUAAACGUAAGGUAACAACUGAGACCUAAUGGUGCUGUGACAGCAAUGUGAUUGAGUUUGAGACAGUGAAAAUACAUAUGGUAUGUUGUAUCUGAACAGGUUAGCUUACGAGCUAAAGUUACUUAGCACAGAUGAAAGUUAAAACAGAGACGUUUAGCAAACUGAUAAAGCACACAAAACGUUGUCAUGUGAGAAAUCAAAUGCUAUGACCCUCCACAAGUUGUCCUUCAGGUUGUUAUCUUUGCAAAAUUUUGUGUCUUUUAUCAAAAAGCACUCUGUUCUGCCAUGUUGGAUAUACUGGUGAAGCUGACGUCGCAACAGCACGAAAAUCUGAUUGGUCAGAAGCUGAUGUGAACGCUUGUAUUGACAGGAUACGGGUUAUAAAAAAAUAUUGACGUCUGAAAUAAUCGCACGACAAAAAUGGUCCCAGUGUGAAAGGACCUUUUAGAAACACUAUAGAACCUUGUUCAAAGUUAGACAUUGGGCAGUGCAACAUAUACCAUUUAUUUAAUUUCACUAAAACAAAACGGAAGUGCUAAUAAAUAAUACAUUACGAGAGCUUUCACUGUUACUCUUUACUGUUGAGGCACUGUGCUGCCAUCUUGGAUUAUGAAGUUGUCAUCAAGUUGGGGUUGGUGAGGAUCAUCUGACUUUACAAGUCAGAAAUUCAACUUCAGGGGGGCGUUCCAGGUGAAUUUCUGAAUGGGAACUCGGAAAAUCCAAGCACAAAUGGAACACAGCAUAAAUCCUUUGACAUGCUUCAUAUUUUCACCCCUCCUUCUUUUCUUUGCAUCUUUUCCAGAUGGAAAACCCUUGAAAUGUGACCUUGAACAACUACUUGUAUAUUUUGAUAAACAAAAAACCCUCAUUUAAUGUAUGUUAUGACUCUUUUUAAAAAGCUAAAGUGGAGCUUUUAUUUUAGAUAUGUACUUUCCAUUGCCAAUAAUCAAACUUGUGGAGGCUCCAUUUCUGUCUGUGAUUGAUUAUGCUGAUAUACUGGACAUGCAUGCAUCAAUAUCCACCCUACAAACCGUUGACUCAGUGUACCACAUCGACUGCGUAUAGAAUGGACGCCGUCUGCCUCCUCGCUGGGUGAAGCCAUCCCGAGAACAGCACCCUCAGGUCAUGGGCUGCAGUAUAGGUCAUUAAUCAUAGGUCAUAUCCCGCCUCCUCCAGCAAUCCCUAUGGAGCUGUGGACAAACUUUAGAAACUAAUUACACAGAAUAUGAAUUUUUCUCCCCCCCGGUUGCAAUAUUGACAUGUAGUUGCUGUAAGACCGUUGCUCAAGUCUUUUUUUAUCUGUGCAGCUCCAUUCUGAUAGUAAUUGGGGGGUUCAUGUUUUCUAUGAUUGACACUUGAUACAGCCUAUGGACAUACGAAGAUUGCGGCUCACCCAGGGGAUACGCAGUUUGAGCCGAGCGUCAUCACAGCGAUUCUUGGCUACUCUCUCACCGAAUGCGUACCAUGCUACCAUGCAAGUGGGGGUUCCAGGAAGUAAUUUGAAUUCGUAUAAUGACAGAAGGCGGAGCCAAGUUGUCCAUACUAUAUUCAGUCUAUAGUGUACCACACAUCUUGUUUCUUUGUUACCGAUGAAAAUGUACGUUUGCAUUCUUUGAUUUUUGGGGGUUGGACAUCUUCAGCAAUUUGCAGAUGACCCCAGUGUAUUUUUACUUGUAAAGCAAUACCAUCUGACCUCUACACCAGGUUUACUGGAGGCCACUUAUAAGUUCUGACAGACCCAAGGAAAACCGUAAUGAUAUCUAAGAAAAGCUGCUGAAUGUCACUAAAAAAAGUGGUGGUUAAAAACUGCUUGUACUCUUGAAAAAGCUGUGUUUUCUCAGUGCAAAGAGUUUUCUCUGAGUAAUAAAUCUCUCAAACCGUGAAGCACCAGAACCAGAUUCAGCUCCCCUCUAAAGGACAACCUUAAGUUGAAACUCUCGAGGCGUGCAGAGGAUAAACUUAGUUCUUUACUAGUUUUGAGGUGUUCAAUCACUUGAACACGAGGACUUGUUCCGGGCAAACAAAGCUGAUUUCGUGGUAAAACCUCGAGUGGCUCCUUGAAGGUUACGGCUAAUUGGGACUAUUUAUCAACAGACUGCAGCCAAUAGUGACAAGUACAUGCUCUUUUCCCUGUUUCUCAUUACCGCUAUCUGUAAUGAGGGUGAAUGUAUCUGUGAAUUUACAUACAAGGGCAGCCAGGAGAGGAGGACGGGGGGAGCCGGUCAGAAAUGGAGGGAACAAUUCAGAAUUUUUGUGGAGAUUUUUUAACCUCAGAAACAAGGUGGAUGGAGGUGAUAGUGAGGGAAAUUUCUGCUGUCAAAGGCCAGCUUUUCUAACUUAUUAGUCUGAGAAUAAUGGAGUGAUUAAAGGUAGGGAGGAAGUUUUGUAAACAUCAUGAAAGGCACAAAGAAAGCACCUCUAGCAAUCUCCAAACCUUAAGAACAAUAUUUCAGCUUGCGUUUGGAUUUGAAGGUUUGGACGUUAAACUGAAUUAGAAAUAUAAUUUGUACAAAAAGGUUGUGAUUUGUUUGAAAAUUAAUCUUGAAGACACCAGAAGGAGGAUCUUUAUAUUCUGAUUAAUCAGCCCAAUGAGCAGGAGGUGAAAAAUAACAGCCAUCAGUACAGGGCCUGAGUCUACCUCUGAUGGAAAACACAAGAACCUCUUGAGCUGGUGGGGCCAAAUUAAAUUUUUUAAAAGGUACCAAAACUCUGGAGGUGCUCCUAGGGUCCAGUCCUCGAGGCCCACUGUUUUGGAUGUUUCCCUGCUCCAACACACCUGAUUCAAAUGAUCAGCUCGUUAUCAAGCUCUGUAAAGGCUUAAUAACGAGCUGAUCAUUUGAAUCAGGUGUGUUGGACUGGACUUGAGAAACACUGUAUUAAUGUAUAUGUAUUUGUUAUAUGUGACAGUUAGUGUCCAUGGACCUGCUUCAGUGUCAGGCUUUUCUUUUAGCCUUCAGUUCUGCCGGUGUCUUAGUAUCAGACUGUAUUAUACUCCAAAGGCUGUGUGCAUUGUUAUGCUUGUGACUUAAUGGCACCUUGUAGUUUAUUUCUGUGUUCAACCUACUUGUAAUUAUCAGUCAAUAAAUGCUUUUAGACCAAAAUGUUCCUGCUACAGAGACAGUUUGUAGUUUGAACAUAAAGCUGCAAGUUCUGCUUUAUAUAUAUAAUUAUUUUUUUUAUGAAAGAAGUCAUCUUUUCAAGCAGCAGAAUGAAGUUGUACUCUUUUUUUAUAGCUAGCUAGAGUUAAAAUGUCUUUACAGGUUUGAAGGUUGAAGAUUUGUUCUGGGAAAUCAGUGCACAAACCUUUUUAUACAUUUUCUUUCUUGCUAUUGAUCGUAAAUAAAUCAACACUUUUGAGCUAUAGGCCUUCGAUAUGAAGGUGUAAAGCCAGUGCCCGCCAGUCUUCCUGGUUUGUGAGAGACAUUUGAAAAGGAUGUUUUGUGCAUAUAAAGCUGUGGUUGUAUUUCUUCAGGUAACUGUCAUUGGUAGAUUUGCAGAGAUACAACCUUCACUGAUCAACAUCCCAUCAGCUGAUUGUUGUUUAGAUAAAACGUUCACCUCUUUCAAUCAAAUUAAAGCAGAUCAGGAGCUACAGCCUGAUUUCCAUUAUUACAAGCUUUAGUUUACAUUUGUGCACUACCUACCUACCCUUUGUCUUUGAUGAUAUAGUCUAGAUACUUUUAACCCCAAAUUUCCACCGUAUUUGGAACAGCACCACUGCGGAAUGGCAGAGAUUUUAGCCAUCUGGCAAUUCCUACCGGAUGCAUUUUUGAGGUGAUUUUCAUGGCGAAUUUCGGACAGUAGGAAUUGUGAGGACUCACAAGAACCUGCGAAUUCAAAUGCAAUGGAAAUGUAAAUCCACUCUGUCAAGCCCAGUAGAUCAGACACAACCGUAUUUAUCUUUAUCUACGAAACAGAUAAUAAACUAAAAAAUGUAUGAGUACAUCCCCGCCCACGUUUGCAUGGUGUGAAGUACGAUCCACCUGAGGCACAUUGUGUUUUAUUUUGAGAAGAAGACGGAUGUUUUAAUUCGUGUCUGUACCCGACUUCCUUUCCAGCACGGGGCUAAUCUGUGAUAAAUUUAUGCGGCAUGCUGCGAAGCCCGCUUAACUGCAGGGGGCUGGAAAGAAGCAAGUGGAAAUUGACACAUGAUCUUGCAUGGAAACAAUCAGUGGCGAUCGGUGCUGAUAGCCUUUUUACCGCUGUUCCACAUUCGGUGGAAAUUUGAGGAUGAUGCAACAGCUGAUUCUACUCAAAAUUCAUCUCCAUCGAAAAAGGUUAAUGUGGGGAACCUGUUUGUUAUGUUUUCAGACUUUUAAGCAAACAGUUUCAACUUUAAGUUCACACACGUUGGUUGGAUGAAUAAAACUUGGUGGCUGGUAGACGCUGAAGACUGAUGAAAAGUAAAGCAAUUCUUAACUUUUUGGACCCGAAUAUGUAAAAAGGAGACCAGCUUUAAGCCCAUUUGAUGUUAAAAAUGAAGUUUCAUUCAAAUAAGUUUAUCAGUAACAUGAUAAAAAGUACAUGAACGCUUGUAAAAGACUCUAAUAACUUUUAAAUAAAACAAAGUUUAGUUCUAUUAAAGGUCUGAAAGCUUUCCUGACCUUCUGUUUCGGUACAAUGACAGCUCUUAACAAAGACAGAUUGUGACAGGAGGUGGAUUUGCGCUGAAAAACAGACAUCCUUAUCUGGUAAUUACGGGUACAAUACUGUCACAUUUCAUUCCACUCGGUACCUGCUAUCAGAGCUGAAACAAAUAAAGAGUGCAUCUCGUCCUGAAUCCAAAUGUGACAUACAGUUUGCUCUCAGAAACUGUCAAAAGACGAGCCGGAGGGAGUAUCUCCGCUCAGGAUUAUUCCGGCUCUUUCUUUGCUCAGAGAUCAGCAGUGCCGGGUUGAUUUAAUCAUUCACAUUAACGCUGCUAAUUAAAAUUUCUGCGCCCAUGUUGGUGAAAAGGCCUUCAGAAGAGAAUUACCUUGAGACAGCGUCCUCCAGGCCAUCAGUAUGCAGGGAUGCCGCCGCUGCUCGGCUUGCUUGACAAGUCUUAUCUUCAGCCGUCGUCCACAGGUGUUCGCUGUCACAGGAGUGUGAUCAAAAUGCUGCGCAGGGACUGGGCUGCAGCCAAACGCUAUUUACCCGCCAGAUUACAGAAAGGCAGGCUGCUGGGAGAGGAAAGCAUCACCACAUGCAUCUUCACUCUUAAUAACAGUAACAGCCCCCAGCAGCUACAAACAAGCUAACAUUUCCCUUUUAAAAGCUGGAAGAGCCUGCAGAGAGAGAGAGAGAGAGGGAGAGAGACAUUACAAUCAGACAGAAAUACAGGCAGCAUGAAUCUUUAUGUGUGUGUUAAAAUUUCACUGCAGAACAUGUGCAGCAAUGAUGGCUGAGGUGUUUCUGGAUAAUGCGGAGAUGAUACCGACUGUGUGCUGAACUAAAUGUUUACACCCUGCAUGCAGCUGCACAUUUAGAAACAUAAAGUAAAAAUAUUAAGAUAAUUUCAGUGCAGCAUUUAUUACCAAUAUAAAAAGACUUAAAACCCCAACUCCUGCAUAAAACUUAUAAAAUCAUAGGCCAUAAUAACUUAGGAGAUUGUACACAUCUGCUUCCACUCGGUGGAGCAUGAGGGGAAAACAGGACAUCAACACUUCUUUUAUUAGCAGAAACAUGUAUUUUCCGUCUUGAUAGAGUUGGUUUGAUUUAACCCUGGCUGUUUCUCUGCACCAAUAUGAGAGGAAACAACCUUAGAGGAAAGAAUAAAAAUAAUCAAGAUACAAGACUUCAGGUCCUGACACACCGGGACCGACGCAAAUAUACGACACGAAAUUACGAAAUGUUCUGAGGCAAAUUUUGACGUGCCUGACUAUACACAUCAAGCCCGAUGCAAUUUUGUGACUUUCCGGGGGGAAAAAAGGAGACUGACACAACAGCAGACUGACUGUUUUUCAGCUCUGAUUAGACACUAGUGUUGAGAUGACUGUCUGUCAUGAUAGCAUGUACUGAGUCAGGGCCAGUACCAGAUAAGCACAUUAAACUAUAAUCCAUAAACGUAAGGUAACAACCCAGACCUAAUGGUGCUGUGACAGCAACGCGAUUGAGUUUGAGACAGUGAAAAUACAUAUGGUAUGUUGUAUCUGAACAGGUUAGCUUACGAGCUAAAGUUACUUAGCACAGAUGAAAGUUAAAACAAAGACGUUUAGCAAACUGUUAAAGCACACAAACCAUCGUCAUAUGAGAAAUCCAACGCUAUGACUCUCCACAAGUUGUCCUUCAGGUGGUUAUCUUUGUAAUGUUUGUGUUUUUUAUCAAAAAGCACUCUGUCCUCUGACAUGUAAACAAUCAGCUGGUCGGCCAUGUUGGAUAUACCAGUGAAUCAGACGUCGCAACAACACGCAAUCUGAUUGGUCAGAAGUGGACACACAGUCUGCGAAACUUGAGAAAAAUUGACCGUGAUGCGAAAAAAAAAAUACCGCAAUAUCGCAGGAUGGGAAAAUGUUGCUGAUGUGAACGCUUGUAUUGACAGGAUAUGGGUCCGAAAAAAAAUAUUGACGUCCGAAAUAAUCGCAGGAAAAAAAUGGUCCCUGUGUGAAAGGACCUUACAUCUGUAGAUUAGUUCAGUUCAUUUCAUGUUUCCCAGGCUCAAGCUGUAUUGCCCCCGGAAGCUCCAAUAACCAAUCAUAGCAACGCAGUAUGUGAAGUAACAUGGAGCGGCAGAAAAUCUAAACAGAUUGAGGUAUGCAUGUGAAGAUACAUCAAGUUUGUUGAAAUCGCUGUAAUGGCAGAUUCAACUGGCUUUCUUGCAGUAGAGGCGGCCAUCUUUUUUGUUUACAAAAAGGCUGAUGUGUCCUGUGCCAUCAUCUUUCAAAACCCCUCCACAUAUCCAUAUAUCUAUUUGUUUUCUUCUGCUUAUCCAACAUGAGGUUGUGGAGCCAGGCAUUCCUCACCCGAUUGGCUCUGACUUCCUCCAGAUCUCCACUUCUAGGCUUCUCUCUAAAACUGAUCUGAUCCCCUUUAGAGGUAAGUCAUUCGGGCCAUUUGUAAUUGUAAACUCAUUCUUUCAAUCAGACUGUAUAUAGAAGAACGCCGUUCGUCUCCUUGCUGGGUGAAGCCACCGCGAGAGCAGCACCCUCUGGUGACGGGCAGUAUAGGUCAUAAAUCCUGGCUUCUCCAGCAAUCCCUAUGGAGCUACAGACAAACUUUAGAAAUUUAUUACACAGAAUAUAAUUUUUUCUCCCCCCUGGUUGCGAUGUUGACAUGUAGUUGUUGUUGUUAGACUGGUUUGUGCUCAAGUCCUCUUUUUUCUGUGGUGUAUUUGUAAUUGACAGGAAAUCGAGGGCAGAAUUCACAGAAACUAGUGUCCAGGAAAGUGGCUGAGCACAGAGCAUUUUUACUUGGUAAUCUUCCACCUCUGCAACCAGACACAUUUUGAAUGUCUUUGUCCUGUCCUUAAAAUCCAGAUACUCUGAUGAAUUGUGGCUCUUUGGGUUGAAGUAGAAGUCUUUUUUCUUGAACAGACCAGCUCCAGGCCCUCCAGAUCUGGAUAAUAAACUUAAAUGUCAUCAUAAGAACACAACAUGAUUCUUCAAACUCCAAACACAAGAGGCUGGGAAUAAGAAAUGAAUUCUCCAUUGUGGCUGAUUUUCUCUGAACAGCGCAGAGAUUCAUGCUUUCUCAAACAAUAGAUACAAUAUCAAUCACAGCUGGGAAACGCUUUUGGGCAUUUUCGUUCAAACGUUUUUGGCUGGCUGUUGAGUCGGGUUGGUAGCGUGAGAAGAAUGAGUGUUAUUUCCUGAAACUGCCUUCGGUUAUUCCAUUUGUCAGGCUUUCAGGAGCGAGCUGGAGAUGCAUUUGAGCUGCGUUUGAUCCAGCAGCCAGCUGGUCUACGCCAACAAAGGACUGCUGAGGCUGAUCACCCUAAAACUGGUGUCAAACCAGACCCUCCAAACCAGACAGAUAUACUCCAUAAUGGGAAACGACACAACCAACUGUGGGAAACACUUAGAAAUGAGCUUGUUGACAGAUUAGCAUUUUUUCGCCUGUAGGUCCUAGUGAGUUUUUAUCUCUGAUAAAGGAAUAUGCUCCCAGCCGACUGUUCACCAGAGAUAGAAAAUAAAAGAGAAAACACUUUAAUAGGCCAUUUUUCUCUGCUUCCUGAUGUGUCCUUGUAAAGGGACUAUUAAGUUGUCUUCAGAGACAAAUUACAAUAGAGAUAAAGCGAGCGUGUUUGUUGAUCCGACUGAUCUCAGCCAGCUGUAAAGGAAGCCAGAAGGUUUCUGUGUAAUCGCCAAACAAGCAGCAGAUAACAUCACAACCUGACGUUCAGACCGAGCUGUUAUAAACGGCUUUCACUUCCACAUUAGCAGGAUGACUUUCAUUCAUCUCCUGCUCUCCCCCUGCCAUCCACUCAUGAUAUCUGUGAUUUUAAAUGUCAGCGAGGAAAAAGGCCAGCUGAAGGUGAGGACUGAGAUUUCUCAUCAGCAAUAAAAAAGAUAUGAGGACAAACUUUGGAAAAAAAGUUGCUGAGCUUGACAAAGAAGUGUAUUGCAUGGUGAAAGAAGAGGGUAUGCUUUUAGUCAAGUGUCAUAUUUGCCUUGUUUGAAAUAAUUAUGAUUUAUAGUGUUCUGGUGCAUGAUAUUGAGUCGAGUUAUUAGCAUCCUGCUGGGGCAUGGACCAAUUAGCAGCAUGACUCUCUGCACCUGUGGAGCUCUAUCCCUUUUAAUAGACAUUCCUAAGGACCAAAUGAAGAUGAUAAUGGUGCGGUCAGUGACAAAUUAGCGCCCAACAGCUGGGACACAAACCAGGAAGAAAGAGCGAGGAGCAGUGGGGGUGGACAAGAGAGCAACAACUAUGAAACAUGACAGCGCCUGUAUCUGAAGAGGGGGAAGCCCUGCAGAGCUGAGGGUGUCCAGAGUGAUGUAACAUGACCUAGCAAGGACAUUUUCUUUAGUGCAUUUUUUUUUUCCUUUGCAAUCUUGCAACUGUCUGGCUGCAUUUGAAGUUUAUCUUUUCUUUCGCUGCAAAGAAACUGCUCCAUACCUGUUUGAAAAAAGAGAAAAAAAACAUGAUUAAAUCAGUUUUAUCAUCAUCUCUUAAAAGAGCAUUUUUGACUCUUCAACAGACAGCUCUCCUCAAAAACUGACCUGAUUACAACAGUAGGGAAAUUGUUUUUUCUCGCCUAUAUCUAUCUGUUCAUUCGUGAUAGUGAUGAGAAGAACAGUUAUUUUGACUGUACCAUUCAUUAAAAGAAUUCGUUUAAAAGAUUCGUUCACUGAAUCAGUCAGCACGAUGGAGUCCCCCUCUGCCGGUGCAGUACACGAGUGAGUGACGCAGCUGCGAAUUCGUUCAUUGAAAAGGGAGACACGUGUCGUUCAUUUACCAAGUCGUAAAAGGAAGAAUCACUCCCCUGCCCUGAAAAAUUUGCCUCUCUGUGUAUCGCCGUCGGCGGAAACAACACAGCAGCAAGCAGCACGCUUGCUAAAUGAGCUUGAGUCGUCAUUCUGGUACUUUUAAGGUAUCAAAUAGCCUAUUCCUUUAAAUCGGCUGAAAUUAAAUCCUUCUUGCAGGAAAGUUUAUACACGUGUUUUAAUGUAAAGGCACUAUAAUGCAGUGUUUUUUAUCUUAGCCUCAGUGAAUAAACCAGUGUUCAGCAGUAAGUGAGUGACACUACACCCCUCCCUCCUCUGCCCGCAUCAAAUCAUUUGGAAAUCGUUUGUUUCAUUCACCAUGUCGUUCACUGACUGACUGAAUCAUUCUGUUCACUUACUGAUACAUGUUGUUCACAGACGUUUCAUUCACAUCGACUGAUAUCAUUCAUUCACUGUGAGCAAAUCAUGAGACUCCGCCCGCUCGCUGGCUGGCUGUGUGUCGUUCGGCUGAGCUCAACUGAACAAAAAAAGGAACGAAUCAGGUCCCGGAGUGAUUCAGUUCACAUUGUUCACUCAGCAGUUCUGUUCUUUUGAAUGAAACGUUCGUGAAUGACACAACACUAAUUCGUGACUUCUUUAUCCAAUGGCACUAGUGUUGUGUCAUUCGCGAAUGAAUCAUUUAAAAGAACCGAGUCUUUUGAGUGAAUUUACUGAACCGAAUCACUUCCUGAAGUGAUUCGUUCAUUUCUCUCUCCGGUUGAGCUGUCAGCCACGCAGCUGCCAUAGCACGCAGAAUUGCCGGGUGAGCAGCUGGCGAGCAAGGGACCAUGCACUCCAAUACCUGGAUCACUUGGUGAACGAAUCACGCAGUGGACUACACUUUCUUGAAUCGUUUUUGGCUGAGGGAUUCAACUUUGCUAAAUUGCCACCACAAGAACUUGCAUAUAGUAGGACACAGCAUAAAAAAAGUAGUGUACAUUACCCGCAGUUUGAGAAAUGCGUGACUGUCUGAUCCCAUUAUUGCUGCGAUUUGCAAGGGAACGAUGCAUAUGCUGGGUGAAUUCGUCAUUGGAUGUUCUGUGGGGUAAACGUUCAGUGAACGAAUCACUCACUGAGCCCAAUUUACCGAGUAGACCAGAUAAAUAGCAUAACCACUGGACAGAAAAUUCAUUUCCACAAACCUUUUUGUCAAAGCAACACAACCACAACCACAACCACAACACUUAUCUCACAGUCCCAGGACCCGUGAACUGAAGUGAAACCAUUCAGCUGUGUAUCACCUCAGGAAGUCAGAGUCUCAGACUCCUCCCGCCAAGUGCUGAGUGAUUCGGUGAACGAAUCUUUUAAACAAAUCUUUAUAGUGAACUGAUUCUAGUGAUUCAGUACAUCUAAAAGAACUGCCGUGCCCAUCACUAAAUGGCACAGUGGCAGACCCCCACUGUUAACUUGCUCUCUACAAAUGUUAGAAAGUGCACCAACUCUUUGAUACACCGCUUCAAGGUAGAUGACAUCUGUCUGUCACUUCUUAAAAAAGUUUCUGUUGCUAUCAAAAAUACACAUUAGAUGAGGACUUCUCUUGCAACCAAACGUUAUUGCAACCUCAGGCACCAGAAACUGGAGCUGCAUGAGCCAUUUCUAGAUUUGCAGUAUUUAUUUCCAGUUCUAGUUCAUUAUUAAAUAAAAAACUUAAUAUCCCCGGAUCUUGAACUGUUAUUUUAGAAAUUAAAUAUCUGAAAAGGGGAUUUAAUAAUCACAUGCUUUUUCUUGCACCUUUGGUUGAAAUUAGCGUGGCCAUUAAUAAGUCUAGAGGGGUGAGAGAAAAGGGGGAGAAUCUCAGCUAAAACAGAUCAGAGUUAAGUCCAUUAAAAGCUGCUGAAAAGCUCUGCACAUUUUCCAGACAUAAUGUUUCUGAGGAGCUUCAGGCUCUUUUCUUACGCAUAACCUGUUCUGAACACUGUGCAAAUGAACAGAAUAUAAGAACAGAAACUUCCAAACCUUUAACCUUUAACAAUGAAUUCAAAUAACCCUCAGAGGAAGUGAUUUUUUCAUUUCACACCUGCACCUCCAGACCCACGUCUGACCUCAUACAGCGGUCGUCUCAUACCUCCCUGAGUGGAGAGUGAUUAUCAGAGCCUUUCUUUAUCUGAAUGCACACUGAUUUUCACCGUGUGUUACUACACUGUGUCAGUAUGAGGGGUAGAGGUUGCAGGGUUUAACAAUAGAGAGCAUCAGAGAAGCACAUAAUGAUCACUCAUCACCCAAACAGUCCAUUAGACUCCAUUUUUAGGGGCUGCAGAGACACUUCUCUAUUCACCUUCGACCUGACACUUUUUUCAGUCUCAGGCAGGUGAUUUUAGCUUUCAUGGAAAAUUAUAAAAACCUCCAGUGCUUGGUUCACAAUCCCAGAUUUCAUGAAUGAUAAGACCAUUCUUGUAAAAACCAUUGUCAGUUCAAUUUCUACUUUUAUACUUUUGAAUUCUAACCACAUUUAUGCCUCUCUGAGAGCUUGUACAUGUGCUUUUAGUCAAUCUUUUUAUCACAUUUUACUGCCCCUUUGUGUGGACACGUGACUACACUAAAUCUACUGUAUUUUGGCUCUCAUUUUUAUGUAUUUAUUCAUGUAUUCACAUCAGUAAUACUCUGGCACUUGCACUUGUUUGAAUGAGAGUGCUGCAUAUUCUAUUCUGUUUUGUUUAUAGUGAUUUCUAUGCUACAUCACUCUGGUGGUUAAAUAUAUACACUACAGGCCAAAAUUUUGGAAUCAAGGCCAUUACAGGCCGAACAGUUGGGAGUAACUUUAAGUUUUUGUUCACAAUGCAUGAGUUUUAUGUAUUUUGGGAUGCAUUACUCUUUGAUCAGAUGUUGUUUUCAUGGAAAUGCACCAUUUUACUCCAUUUACCUUUAGAUAUACAUUGAUGUUAACUGACCAUUGCUAAAUAUAUGUCAGCAAAAGAUAAUAAGGGCUUAGUUUUAGGGUUGAUAACAUUUGCAAGAGUCACAACUUUAGUGCAAAAGCAAAAAAAAAAAAUCACAGUUGGAUUAUCAUUUCAACUUUUUGGCUUUUGGUUUGUGUGCUUUAACAGUUUGCUAAACGUCUUUGUUUUAACUUUCAUUAGUGCUAAGUAACUUUAGCUUGUGAGCUAACCUGUUCAGAUACAACAUACAAUAUGUAUUUUCACUGUCUCAAAGUCGCAAAAUUGAAUCGGGCUUGAUGUGUAUCGCCAGGCACGUCAAAACCCGCCUUCAAAUAUUUCUGAAUUUCGCGUCGGAUGUUUGCGUCGGUCCUGUUGUGUAAGGAACUUAACCUGUGUAUACUGUAUAUGCCAUCUAAAGCAUGCCAAACCUGUAGAUGGCAGUGCAGCGAGAGGCUCAAGCCCACGUUAGCUAAUCAGAAUCCCACAUAGCAGCAACAACAACAACAUUACUCCCUUCUUUCCUGUGCACAAUUUGCCGUCGGCUACACAAAUUUCUGUUUUUCUCCGUUUACAUGCGAACAUGCAAAUGGAAUUUUCCAAAAUCACUCUGGACGGAGUUCUUAAAAAGCAUUGUUUUCAGGGGCGAAUUCUCCAUUUGCGUCUAAAUGAAGGGUGCAAACAAUGGUGAAUGUUUCUCUUUUUAAAAAGAACCAUGUCUGUAUAAAUGGGGCCAAAGUCUUACCUCUUUAGCCUGGCUAGGCAAACACACAAUUUUUUAAUUUACCCAACAUUUUUCAGGCUGAGCCUCCUGCCAAAGAGCUACAACACAAACAUUAUCUCAGCCAUGCCCCGAAUAUGCAAAUGUAUGAAUAAUCCAUAGUUUAUUAGCAACACAUACCAUAAGUUUUUGAAUGGGGCCUUUUUCUGUUGUAACCUUGGACGUGUUAACACUGGACGUAAUGGGGAUUUGUUGGCUUCUGCAGCCAGCCUCUAGUGGACACUAAAGGAACUACAGGUUUCUGCACUCCUGUGGUAGCUUCAUUCUUCUCGCCUUGAGGAUGCUGUAUGUGAAAGUACCUUGUGUCCUCUGCCGUUCAAAGAACCUUUGCACUUCAUUUCAUCAUCUCUAUACUGACUGAUUUUCAUUCUCUUGCAUGUCAAAAAUCCUUAUCCUCGAUUCCCGGUAUUUCUAUGAAAACCUGUCUGACAGACGAGCAAACAUCCCUCCUCAGCUGGCAUACAGAUAGAUAGAUGUUGCUCUGUUAUUGUCUGUCACAUGGAAACACUGUUUGUAAGCAGCACAGCUGUCAACAUGUCAGCACUUCAGGAUGAGGCAGAAUAAAAUACAUGUGGCUUUUUUCCAAGCAGCAGCGAUAUCUCAAUAAUCAGUGUCACUACAGUGCGACACGCUGCCUGGAGAUGGAUUCAGCCAACCAAGUAUGUUAGAAACAUGUGAAUUUAAUGCAGAGGAUUGUGCUUUAGUGGAGUGAAGCUGUAUCUGUGAGGUGAUUUUAAAGUCAGAAGAGCUGUGUUUAAUGUAAGAAACCAUUGCUGCUGACAGAGCCUGCAGCUUGGCAUUAAAGGGCAUCACAUCGCUGGAUUGCUUGUGACAUUUUGGUGCAAUUGUUUUCACAGCUCAUGAGUUUUCUGAAUCAAGUUUGGACCUUUCACACCUGUAGCUGCGGUGAAACUCCUGCACCUUCUCGCUGCUCCGUGUUUGUGAGUCUCAGAGGAGCGUUGUGUGUUUACCGGAGCGAAUAAAACACCGAGAGCGUGGGAUUAAAUAACAAAUAUAAUGUCCUGUGGUGAAGUUUGCUUAAAGUACAGGAGAAAGCAGGAAUGAUAAUGUGUUUAGAGGCUGUUUUCAGUGCUGCUGAUUCAGAGGUCAGAGUUAAGUUGCUGUACGGGAAAAAGUGCUGCGUGGUUAUCUGAACUACACACUGUGAAAUGUAUCAGGACAGAGGAGCCAGUCAGCUUAAAAAGGAAAACAGGCUGAAUAUAAAAGCAUGUAUUUACUAUUCAGCUACAGGUUACCGCUGUGACUUUCCAAGGCCAAUAUAAUAAUACAAUCCUGACUGCUGCUUUGAAUUAUUAGGGUGUUUACUCUACUGUUCAAGAGUGUACCCUGGAAACUUGUGCGAGGUUUCUGAAUGUUUUUGGUAUUUUUUCAAGGUCAUAACACGCCUGUCUAACAGCAAGAUUUCUCAGCGCACCCUCUGAAGCUAAAUCACAAGACAGGUUGUCAAACUGCUGAUGAACUGCCUUAUCCAGCAGUAAUAAAACCAGCUAUAAUGGCUGCAAAGUAACCUUCAGCAGACACUGCCCUCAUCCACCUGAAGUCUGUGCUCUUGUCUCUGACAGGCUCAGAUUGUUGUCAGCUUACAUGUUACGGGUCAAACUCUCUAACCUGUGCAAAAAGAGGAUGGAAUUUCUAGGGGUGUCCCGAUACAACUUUUAUACUUCCGAUACAUUACCGAUAUUGUAGCCUACAGUAUACGGAUACUGAUCUGAUAUUGGCACAAACUUGAGCAUGGCAAGUUUUAGGACUGGGCAAUUAUAUGAUCGUGAUUGAUGAUCGUGAUGAAUUUCAGUUCGAUCAAGUUAAUCAGCUGUGAGCAUAGUUACUUGAUCAAAUGUAGCGGAAAUAUGCGUCACAACAGCCAAUCAGAGUCAAGCUUUUCCUGCUCACUUCUGUAAGUUGCUGGAGAAGUAAACAAGAGAAGUAAACAGAAUGACCGAAUGUAGAGCUAAAUGUGGAGCCGAAGGGAGCAAAGUGGAUGUCAGCCGUGACUUAGUCAUCCUCAAAAGAUGUUAUUAUUGAAAAGUUAUUCAAGGUCGGUUGUGUGGCGGUGGUUCGGGUAUCUCCAAAGUGACGUUGAGCAAUUAAGCCAAUGUGAGAGGUAUGUCAGCGGUUGGUGCCCUCAAAAACCGGCAACACAAUAGAUCUGUUUAAUCGUUUAAAGAAGUACUUCCCGGGUGAUUAUGCGGAAAGCAUGAAAAUGCGAGCAGAGUCUGCACAGCCUGACACUUCUGAUGGUACAAGUAGCAUUAGCAGUUUAGCUACAACUAGCGGUGCAGCCACCAGACCAAAGCAGCAAUCAAUCGUAUCAUCUAUGUUUACAUCAUCUAAUGUUUACAUUUUAAGGCGUCUUUAUUAUCCCUGAGGGAGCAAUUUGUUUGUUUUGGGUCUUGCAUACCUGCAGAAACUCUCAGGACUGUAAACUAAUUUAUUGUAUUACUUACUAUUUAUCUACAUUUGUUGUACUGUUGAAUUGUUUUUUAUAUUACUAUGAGUUUACCUUAUUCAAUUUGCUUUGUUUUUAUUUGUAUGUUAAUAAAAUAUUGACCUAAUCUCUAGUUUAAUUAGUUUUUAGUACAGAUACUUAAAAAAAAAAAAUCGUGAUUAUAAUCGAGAUCGGAUGAUAUGACAAAAGAUCGUGAUUUUUUUUUUUUGCCAAAUCGCCAAGGCCAAGCAAGUUUUGCACUCAGCUGCAACAUCUUUUUGGGACUUGAACGAAAACUACUUCCACAUGGCCAACAUCACUCCAACUCCUUGCUAAUUUUUAGUACCUUAGUACACACUGUUGUUGUGAUCCCAUGGGCUUUGCAUGCUAGAUUUGAGUGCUGCUAGAUAGGGGUGCUGGAGCGGAAUCUGGAAUGGACUGCUUGUAUUAUGCUAAUAUUAGAGAUUUUUAGAUACAGGCUGGUAUAAUCCAAUAUUUGUUUUUGUUUGUUUGUUUUGCUGAUAUUGAUAUCUGAUAUCUGUCAUAUAUCCGAUAUUGACAUCCAAUAUUGGACAGAUAUGCAAUAUUGAUAUCAGAUAUCAGUCCGAUAUCGAAUCGGGACAUCCCAAGGAUUUUCCUCAUUGCUUUGCAUCGACCCGCAGCAGUGCAUUAGGCUGUAAUAUCUGCAGUCUUCUGUAAUCUUAUUAUUUCUGCAGAGAGUUCUUGCUUUUGUCUCUGAUAGGCUCAGGUUGUUAUUCUGAAGACAUUUCAAUGUGUAGCAUUGUGUCUGUUUAUGCAUCCAACUGUGUCAUGAGCAAAAUUGUGAACAAACUUCAUGAUGAACUCAGCAUGCUUUUGGAGGAUACCUUUAGGAAAUACAAUAUAAAGUUCAACAUCAACACCCACUGACCCGUCAACUCGCUAGUCACUUAAUUCAAUGACUAUGCUAAAAAAAUGUCCAAUCAUAACUUUAAUUUAUUCAAUGUAACACUGUUAGGUUAGUGUUUUUAAUAGCUAUUAAAUAAUAUGUCCAUCUUAUUUAAGCCAUUAUAUUGCCAAUGAGUUUCCAUUUACCACCAGUUUAAAGUACUCAGCUGGUUUGCUCUCAUCCACUGGUCUAAUGGUCAAGCCUGUUGCCUGUCACUUGCACACCGUUGGCCAACAGCAGUGUUGUUUUCGUCAGGCAGGACGAAAACUUAAAUGACGACGUCAGACCCCUUUUUUCCUUGACGAAAAUGAGACUAAGACGAACGUCACCAAAGCUCUGUAAAGACUAAAAUUUGACGAAAACUGUAUUCAUUUUCGUCAGACGAGAACGAGACGAGACUAAAUUGUUAUUAGGUGGACGAACAAAGUUUCAAAACAUGCUUUUUUUUGUCCUAACAGUCACGCCCCCAUCACACACGCACCAAAAGCCUCGCUCGCGCACAGCUGCGCGCACACACUCAUACACAUACACAGAGCGGCAGGUGGACGAGGCGCGCACACACACACACACCAUGGCGGCAGGCACAGCAGCGGUGCCCGGUGGCCGAAAAAAGAGGGCUGCUUUAUGGUCCUACGUCAGAUACAGUCCAAGUGACAUUAAAACACAAUGUCUUGUACGGGGACGGGGAGACGAGACAGACGACAGUUGUGGAGCCACGGCUUCCUCAUGCUGCGGCUUCAAACUGUCGGGAAAGAACACCACGAACCUCAAAAGGCACCUUUUUGUUGACUAAAACUAGACUAAAACCGUUUGAGUUUUCGUCGGACUAAAACUAGACGAAAACUAUCGAGGAUAGAAAUGACUAAAAUGGGACUAAAAUGAAGAAGCAUUUCGUCAAAAUGACUAAGACUAAAACUAAAUCUAAAAUGCCUGCCAAAAACAACACUGGCCAACAGCACAUGACGUAUUUCCCACACAACCCCCACUGGCUGCCAGUCAACUUUAUUCAUGGACCUGUCUUACAUUUUUCUUUUUAUAUGCGUGUAGGUGUUCAGAGAGAGGAAAGGCAAUCAACAUGUCCCUCUGGUUCAUGAUAGAGGUAGUCUGUCUGGUGUUAAAUGUAGAACUUUGGAAGUCAUUUCAUAGUUUAAUUUCUGAAAUUGUUUAUGAACAGACCAAGCGACAGGAUCUCUUGUCAUUGUCCUCAGCCGUUCUCAGGGUUCAUCCAAACUUUAUCUGAGUCUGAACUUGUAAAAUGUCAUAAAAACAUGCGACGGUUUGUUAAAUGAUCUGUCGCAGACUUUAAUCCUGUCCUGAUGAAAACAGAGGCUUAUUCCUGAGACUUUAAUCAUUAAUGUAUAAAAAGAAUUGAUUAAAUGAGCCACAGUGACGGCAGCUAACUGAAACUGGGAGUAAUGAACCUGAUCCUGUCUCUAAUGAAAGUCUAAUAUAUCAGCCAGCAAACGACUUUACACCUGAUUCAGUUUAUGACGGAACAAGCGACGGCAUCAUGUGAGGACAAAGUAAACUCUCCAACAAAGUUCAGUCAGACUCAGAAAUGUUUUACUGCUUCCUCUUCUCUCUGAGUCUAACGCCUGGCUCACACAGGACGCCGCGCAUGCGCUUGGCUGUUCACACAAAGCGUUUUCUGCUGCGCUCUGCCGUCUGCCCUCAGUUUUCCACACUUAUGAGCGCUUUAAACAUGGGUACGUCAAUAUUUAUUUGUUUUUUUUACGUCAUACAUGAAUUAAAUAUUGGCAGCAUCUUCAAGUAUUGUUUUAAAUUGUUAUAUUGGGGUAAACAAUGAAUGAAUUGGGGAGUCUGUUGACUCCAUUGUAUGUGUAGCCUUGUUAGCUCGAGGCUAUUGACUCUAUCGUAAUAAAGUGUCUAAACGUACUAAUUUCUUUGGUUUUGUAGGCUAAUAUUGUGUUUUUAAAUUAUAAAAGAUUUUAUUUUGUCAUAAUUAUUCCCAGUGUGUGCUGUCGUGGAGAGAAGGAGAGUCCUGGCUCUCUACUGCGUAGGCUCCGAUGACAGAGAAGGAGAUUGUGGGUCCAUCCCAUCAAUAAAAGAAGGGGGCAGCAUGGUGUUUUCCAUCAUCUUAUUGAUGAACUGCACCUGGACAGUGCCCACCAUCUGAAGUAUUUCAGGAUGAGUCAUGAAAAGAUGGAAGAACUGCUGUCAAUUGUUGGACCAGAUAUAUCAACAAUGACCACAACCUACAGAGAAGCCAUCCAUCCGCAACAGCGUCUUGCUGUUACACUUUGGUAAUAAACAUCAUGAUAAUUGUUAUUACUAUGUUAGUUUUACCCGAAUGAUUCACACAUACAAGACCAAAAUAACAAAGAACUCAUGUUCAUGCAUUUACAAAUGUAAGAAUUCAAAGAAAUUGUUAGAACAAAUAUACAAAUAUUCCAAUUAUAAACUGCUCCCAAAAUAAAGCUAAAGCUAAAUUAACUUAAACCAUUUACAUAACACGGCAAACCUCAAAUAAAAUAAUCAUCAUACUACAAUUACAGGCAUCAAACAGCAAUCUCACAGAUUCCCUUAUAACGGAGGAGAUCUUCAAGCUCCUCCAGAAAAGACACUGGCCUCGUCACACCUCCAUGGGAACAAGGUUGUUGUUCUGUAUGUGAUUGGUGGCGGUGCUGAGUAGGGGGAGGGGGGUCGGGGUGUUGCUGGGGAUGUGUCCAUGAAAGAAUUGUUGUGUGCUUUGUUGCUGCCAGGUACGGGAAUGGGGUUGCGUAUUGCUUGCCUCUUCCUCCAGACUUUCUAUCAGGCGUAGAAGUUCACCCUGGAAACGGUUUUGAAGGACAGGUGGUAGUGCAUUUAUUCUUGGGAUGAAACUGUGUAAGUAAUAUCCCAUUGCCUCUUCAUGGGUGGGGACAUGGAGGGGAGGACUGACUUUAUCGGCCGUGAGUAUCUGCAAGAGCUGCUGCUCCACUCCCACAGCAGCUGAAGAAUAUUCCCGGCCCUGAUGUUUCUUCUUUCUUCGCUGUGCGUCGGAGGAAAGCUCUUGCACUCCGGGGUGUGGUGGUGGGGUGUCUGACUGGAUCAUUUGUGAUGUGGUCGUAGCUGAUCUCUGACCAGAGCCACUUUGAAAUGGCGAGGAGGGUCUUGUCAAGGGGGUUGGAGUGCAAGGCCUUGACCCUUGUAGUGAUGAUUGUGGUGAGGAUCCUCCCAUUCCCUCGUCUCCAGCCUCAAAGUUUUCUUCUCUCAGACCCUCUAAGAGUACUUUUUGUGCUAAGAAAAAUAAAUACAAGAUAUGUAUUUUUCAAUCAAUGGCUUUCAUAUAAAAGAUGUAUACAACUGAAUGUAUAUGGAAUAAAAAUACUAACCUUCUGGGCUGCAAGUAGGGAUCUACAAAGGAGAAUAGAUAUGCCAGUCUCCAUUCUUUCUGGCUGCCACCAGCAGACCCACUCGCAGUCUUUUUCCCUUUAUGCUUCACAUAAGCAUCUCUCAACUGAUUCCACCUCCUCUUGCAAUCAUCAGCUGUAGCAUAGAAAAAAAUUAUAAAUAAAGCAUUGUAUUGUAUACCCUUGGUAUUAUUUAUGUAUUUCUAUAACGUUUUUCACAUAUUGUCACAGAUUCCUGGCCUCUGGAGAAAGCUUUGCCAGCCUGGCUUACCAGUUCCGUAUGGGGAUGAGCACAGUUAUGAUGUCUGUGCACAUGACGUGCCACGCAAUCGAGAAAAAUAUGAUGACUGCGCAAUUCCCUCCGCCAACAGAGCAAUGGUGGAAGGAGACAGCUGAUAGAUUUUGGAGGAAAUGGAACUUCCCAAACUGCAUCGGAGCUAUUGACAGCAAGCAUGUCACCAUCAAGGCCCAAAUUAAUUCUGGGAGUUUGUAUUUUAAUUAGAAAAAUGUUUCUCUGUGGUACUGCUUGCUCUGGUGGACGCCGAUUAUCGAUUUAUCAACGUCCAGGUGGGGGACUUUGGCAGGUCAACUGAUGGAGGCACCUACAGCAACUCUGACUUGGGUAUGGAGGCCAAAACUCUGGGUGUGCCUGCUGACUGUCUUCUGCCAAGGUCUGGACAACAAGGUCCACUGCCCUUCACCAUGGUUGGUGAUGCCGCUUGCCCCCUUUAACCCUACCUCAUGAGGACAUUUCCCGGUCAGCGGCUUCCAAGAUGGAGGAGGAUUUUCAAUAACAGACUGUCCCGGGCCAGAAUGGUAGCAGAGUCCACAUUUGGAAUUCUUGCAGCAAGGUGGAGGGUGUUCUACACCAGAAUCAAUUUGCAGCCAGAAAACGUUAAUCGUGUUGUGCUGGGUGCCUGCAUCCUUCACAAUUUCCUCAGCAACCCCACAGACAACCACAGGGGGCUGAGGGAGGCGGAGGAUAGAAGGAAACGCCUUGUUGAUGCUCUAAACAUGGGUGGAAAUCACGGCAGAAGAGAGGCAUAUGAAGUUCGCGAGAAAUUCCAUGCCUUCUAUAACUCUCCAAAGUGUUCCCUGGCAGGACCGCAUGGUCUAAAAUGCAUAAUGUUCUGUGAAUAAAUAGUACUCUGAAUUCUUUGUCAUCCUUGUUCACAUUGAGUUUCAAUGAAAAAUAUAUUUUUUGAAUAGAAUUAAAUGCACUAGAAAUUUGCCGCAAUAAAACUGUCAUUAUAUAUAGUAUUAUAGUAUUAUAGUAUUGAGUAAUGGCUAAAUAAAGACAGCUGAGCUUAUCUUUGAUAAAAAAUAAAUAAAUCCAGGCCCUCAGAGUUUAAUGACAAUAAGAGAAUAAUAGAAGGGUUAAAUCUUCACACUAUAUGAGAGAGAUUUGAUAUUUGAUAAGUGGAUAAGUGGAAGACAAAAAAAUACUAUAAUAAUUUUACAUGAGACCAGCUUUUGUUUUAUGAGCAUCAAUAACUACAAGCAUUGUAGGUUUUUUACCUACAUUUGGAAGGGUGGUGUGGGAAGGGGGGGUUAAACUUUGAGUGAGAACGACUCUCCUUUGGCAGUGAUAAUUGCUGUGGGGGAAGGGAAACACACUGUUUCAAAAUGUACUACCUUGAAAGUGCCAACACAGAGCUGGGACAAAGUUUAUAGUUUUGGGAUUGCUGAGAAAUAGGCUGUAACGGCUGCAAGAUCAAAUCUGGUUUUUCGUUCCUGACAGACUCAGAUUGAUAUUCCAAAUGUGUGCCAACAUGACAUAAAAUAACCCCUACAAGAAAAGAGCUUUAUUUAAAAAAAUAAGAAUUUUAUUGUGUCAAUAAAAAAAGUAAAUGUACCUCACAACACAUGAGUUGGUGGUCUACAGUUUAUCAAAGAGGAGGCUUCCAUCCAUUCCUGCCCUUGCUUGAAAGUGUAUUUUUGUUUUUUGUUGGACUAUCACAACCCUAUAAUUAAGUUUUUUUGUUAUCCUAUUUUUCAUGUGUGUUUCCUGUUUUAUUUUGAUACUCACCUCUAUGUCUGAUAUAUUCAGAUUCUACACCUCCUGCCCUCCUGUGUUCCCAGUGUGUAGUGACCGGACCCUCUCUAAUGUGUUUCACCUGUGUCUGAUUGUCUUCACUCACCUUGAGUAUUGAGUCUGUUUUCCCCUGCCUCAGUGCCAGUUUGUCUCUUGCUGGUGUGACUUACAUCACAGCCUUUUUUUUUCCAUUUUUAGAGAUCUUUUGUGACUGACCUUUGCCUUCUUUUUGUACCUGUGUGAGCCUUCUGAUUUUUGACAGCUUUUGAAGUCAAGCCUUUGAACAUUUUCCCCUGGUGCCAGAGUCGUGCAUUUUUUUCCCCUUUGUUUGGCCAAUCAUUUAUGUAGGAGGACCAUAGUGUUGUAUCACACCGGGCACAAAGUUAAGAAAGUGGUAGACCAACAACUCCUGUUUUGACAACUGAAGAUCCUAAGAGGCUUUGACUACAUCAUGUUUCUUGAGAAUUUAAAAUAAACAAAAUAAAAUAAAAUGUUACCUCACAAAAUAUGGGAGUUGCUUCUCUACCUUGCCUUUUAUUGAUUAGUUUAUGCCUCUGUGUGACUUGCUGUUUGAAAUGGGGAGAAGUGAUCCAAAUAAGAUAUUUUGGAAGCAAUAAUGCAAAAGGGGCAAAGUGACAGGAGUUGUUGGUCUACCACCAGAUAUCUACAGGGUAAAAUUGGGCUCUCAAACACUAAACAAAACGCCCAAGGUUUAAGGAAUCAAAGAAUCACACUGAAACCUUAAGUAUGUCACUGUGUAACUCAGGUGUUGUUUCUACAUACCCAGUUAUUUUUAAAAACAGAGACAUUAACCAUCAUUUGCACCUUUCGUUUGGACACAAAUGGAGAAUUCGCCCCUGAAAACGAUGCUUUUUGCAGAGUGGAGAUUUUAGAAAACUGUGUUUGCAUGUAAACAGAGAAAAACUGACAACAACAGAUUGUGCACCGAACACUGGGUUAAAUGGGACAUUGUUUACAAUCUACAGUCUAUGUUUACAAUCUAUAGUGAUCAUGGAUACAUGCAGAAUAGCUGUCGCAUUUUUGCUGGCACAAUCCCUUUGUAUUUGUUUGCAUUUGCAAAUACAAGUGCUGUAAUAUGUGGAGGAGCAGAGACGACUGAGUGCUCAAAGAACAGCAAUGUUGCGACAACUUCUCCCUCCGACACAAAGAGUGUGUCCGCGUCGCCGCCAGCCUUGCCAGUUUUGGGUCUGACCUGGGCGCACUGCUGUCCGGUGGGAGAACUUCGAAAAUGAAGUGGUUCUGCCGUGAGUGGCGUGAAAAUUUCCAGAUUUCAUGGGCAUCACUGCUGUCACUCUUCGAGUUGCUGCGUCCCUACGUCAAGGCUGAUAACACCAUUGUGUGGUCCUCUGUCAGUGUCACAAAAAGAGUUGCCUGCACCCGGUAUUACCUGUCCGAUGAGGGUAGACUACGCAAAACAGCCAAUGCAUUACAGCCUACAGGUUUGGCAUGCUCUUGAUGGCAUAUACACACAGGUUAGUGUAAACGAAAGCUGUGGAGAGGGUGAAAUUUCCGUUUAUGAAAAUGGCUGGGGACAUCUAAAUGUAGUCUCACCGAACUCUACGUUUGCUCUGUGCUUCAUACUGCUGCAGUUCAUCUCACAGCUUCCUUUCGUGUUUUAACGUUAUUAACACCUCAUUAUGGCGCAGAGCGGCUGCCACCACACUGCAGGUCUCACAGAGCCACUCUCACAAAGUCAUAUAAUACUCAUAAUUACCUGUGAGAGGAUCUCAGUUUCACUUAGAAAGAGCUUACUCGUUGUGCGAGUGCAGCAGGUAAGGGAUUAGAUCACUUUCAAUUCCUCCCACCGUCAUCAUUUGAAAGUCAAAUCAAUGUGAAAAGCGUGCAUGUAGCUGGAAGUGUGCAUUAACUCGUUUGUAGACGUAAUGCUCUGUAUUAUAGUCUCAGUCAUGGAUCUGAGUUGCAGUAUUUCCUGAGCAGUGCAGGUGCUAAAUACUUCAAAUACAUUUCGAGCACUCAAAAGAAACGAAGAUGCGCGUUUGAAAAGGAACCCGGCGUUUCAGCUUCCGUCAUGUGAAUGUCUGAACGUACUUCAAAACACGUCUGAGACACUUCACGGUGGAGUGCUUAUGAGAUGCAGGGAGUUGCAUAAAAUGAUGAUGAGCAGCUGAUAAUCAAAUGUUGUAAAGAAAUGAAGAGGAAGCCAAAUAUGUGAAUUUUCUGCAAGUAUUGGAGGAAUGAAGAAGUGAAAUUGAUGCAUUAUCUACUGAGAUUUUUACUCUCUUUUUACAUUUAUUCAUUCGGCACAAUUCCCAAAGUUUGAUUUCCUUGUUCACAUAUUUAAUUCUUUGUUUUAAACCUUUUUUGACAUGUGGUGUAAGUUCUUGACGUCACAACUCUUUCUCAAACUGAAUAGUAUUUUUAACCACAGUUUUCAUCAUUUGCCUUACACUAACAUCAAAAGCCUGACUGGAUGCAAGUCAAGUUUUAUCCCCGUCCCCCAUCCCUCUGCAUAUCAGGUUCAUGCUACAGCAGAACUAGGCUAAAGGCUUAUUUAUGCUCGCCAUAUGAAUGAAAACGUACGCGUCCCUUUUAAAUGACAGUUCCAUCACCGCCCACAUGCUUCUAUGCGUCCUUUAUGUUGGCAUAGAUAUUGACCAUUACAUCCACUAGGGGGCAGGCAGGAGUCAAAAGUUUCUGACAACAACAAACAAACAAAAAGAAAGGUGACUGUGGAGGAGCUAUUGGUGGUCAGUUGGGCCAUUAAAUGCCUUGUUGUUGGAGGAAGGAGAAUUCUUUUCUCUAGGAGUACAGAUGAGAGAAACUGGCGACAAUCGUCAUUUUUAGUACUUGAGGAUGUCCACCGGGGCAUUCGACAUUUGACAUCCAGCACCACAAGUCACACAGCGCACCUGUGAGUGGUGCAGACUGACAAGCUGUCACCCUGCACUCUCUCCCCCCCACAGUUUCCUUCUGGUACUGCUCCUUCUGGCCCGUACCCGUAAACUUCAAGGAUACAUGCAGAAAUACGGACGAAAAAGAAUGCGAAGCACUGACAGAGAGCUCCGUCCGUAUGUUGAACAUAAAUAAGCCUUUAGCAAACUGACCCAGACAUCCUGCUUCCCAGCAACAUUUCCAGCUCCUGCCAGGGUAUUCAGAGGCACCCGUCGGUCAGAUAGGAUUUGAAAUCCCCCUGCAAGCUCUGGGCCUCCUUCCACAAGUUGGACAUAUCAGGAAAUCCUCUGCAUGAAGGCAUCCAGGAGGCAUCUCUAUCAGAUGAGGGAAUGAUUUGGAUUUGAAGGUGUAUCACACCUGACCCUACCUCCUUUAGAUAUCCUCGAAGGAAGCCUUGCUUGUAAAUAAGAUCUCAGAUGCUUUUUGGAAAGUAGUUUUCACCAAGUAUGAGUGCAGAGCAAGGGCAUCAUUCCUGAGCCAAGAGACUCAGAGCCAAAGAGAGUGUAGGAACAGCGCAUAAUGAAAUCUCUAAACAAUAACAAGAUGUCUGUCAUGACAUCUGUAGUUCCAGCGUCUUAUUAAUUCUCUCUGAACAAGCCGAGGACAGCCCUGUAGUCUGCACUUCAUCCUGUGAUCCAAACAGCAUCAGCAGAAAGAGGCUCUGUGGUUCAUAAUGUGAUGCUGUAACAUGAUGAGGGUCCUCUCACAGCAUGGAGGCACAAGGUGAGCUGUAUAAUAGUUGUACUUGAAGCUGUUUGACUCUUUUGUUGUAGAAAUAACAGGCAGCUAGCAGGUAUCGAUGUCUUCCUGCAGAGAAGACGCACUGAUCAAUAAGAGCGUCUGUAAACUCUGAGUAUGAGUUAGGUCAAGGAAGUUGAUGAAAAAAGACAAAUCUGGAUGACCUAAAAAAAAGGGAGGAGAAGAAGAAAAAGAGGAGGAAGACGAAGGUGAUGAAGAAAAAGAUGACAAAAGAAAAGGUUAAUUGAAAAAUAUGUUAAGGAAGAAGACAGCAGGGUAAAACUGUAAGAAAGAGGAGACAGACAGGAUAUGGAUCUGAAAAUAUGACGGAGGAUGAAGGAGGAGAAGGAGGAGACAGAAAAAAAGACGAAGAGGAUGAAAGGAAAAAUAUGAUAAAGAUAUAAAAGCAGAGUCCAAUGAGAGUGAGAAAGGCAGAGAAAAGAGAAGACAAAAGACAAAGGGCUCUAUUUUUGUUUCUCGCCGGUGUUCCGGUUCUGCAAACUUUAGCGCUUUUCACAUAUAUUGACAACCAGAGAUCCCGACCAAACUGUCCACUCAAAUAAGCACUAAAAAAAUAAAGAUAAAAACAUUAUGAUAAACACAGCUGGACGUCGCAAGGAGGACUCGAUCUUAUAACGCAAUUAAGAACGAGCAACGAGGGGCGAGCGCGCCGCUGUAACGCAACAGAUCGGCUUACUGAGCAGCUCGUGUACCUCAUACUUGUCAUUCACUGUUUCCAGGGUGUCACCACAUAACCUGCUCCUAUAGAGAAACACGCCCAUGUUAGCUGGUGACAGCAGUAGCAUCUGUUAAAUUGUGAGCAUCGGUGAUCAUUUUAAUUAUGGAUCUUUUUUUGCAAAGUCUAAGACCACGGUCACAUUGAUUGGCGUGUCACAGUGUAUCACGUUUCAUUGGAAAAAGCACAUGUUAACUUGUGAGAUGUUUGUGUGGUAGGUUGUGAUAAUCCACCAUGACACAAUGUCAGCGUUUUUUAAAAUUAUCAUGCAGUCAUGCAGCAUCACUGGAUUUGCGUCUCAAAAACGCAAGUCAGCCAUGUGCUUCAAUAGAGACGUGCACCUGUUCCAUAUAUUUCACUGUCGUGCCAGAUGUGAUCCUUCUAAACGUGCAAAAGGCAUCUGACUUUGAUGGCCCCACAUGAUGUUGCAAUGGGUGUUCUACCCUUCUGUAGCUCCUAACUAAUUAGGACCACAACACCUACAGUAUGUAUUCAGUAACAUAUUUUGGAUUUAUUUUUUUUUUUAAAUCAUUAAGAAAAAAAUAAAAUAAAAUCAUAUGUGCAGUCAGCCAAUCAGAGCAACCAGUACUUCAGCCACAAUCAAGGAACACCUGGUUAGGCCAAAAAAGAUAUUAAUAGGGGUUUCCAAACAAUUUUGACUUGUUCCAAGUUAGGGGAUCGACAGUGCAAAAAAGAGAGAGAGAGAGAGAGAGAGAGAGAGAGAGAGAGAGAGAGAGAGAGAGAGAGAGAGAGAGAGAGAGAGAGAGAGAGAGAGAGAGAGAGAGAGAGAGAGAGAGAGAGAGAGAGAGAGAGAGAGAGAGAGAGAGAGAGAGAGAGAGAGAGAGAGAGAGAGAGAGAGAGAGAGAGAGAGGUGAGUGAGGUAGUAUAUUGCAGUUGUUUGUUGUCUAGCUUGUGUUUUCUGUAUUGUUUUGUGUGACAUUGUGUUGUGUGUAGGCCUUGUGGUGCGUUCUUCUUGUCAUUGUUGUAUAUUUUGUGUGUCCAGUCUGACUGUCGUGUUGAUUUGUGUCUAAUUGUAUGCUUGUUACCUGUUGUGUUUUACAUCUGUGUUUUUGAUAUUUGUGCUGUUGUGUUUUAUGUAAAGUAGUGGUCAGGUAAGCUCGAAGAAAGCUAAGCUAAGGUAUGGACAUUGUGUGUUUUAUUAGUAAGUGCGAGAGGUGAGUUGUGUUUGUGUAAAAGGUAAGUUACAGUAAGGCUGGUAGGUAAGAUUAAGUUAAGUUGAAAGUAACAGGUAAGAAAAACAGGUAGGGCUGAUGAUAGGGCUAAGUAGCCAGAUAAGUACUCAGGUAAGAAGAUUUUAGGUAAGAGUAGGCCUAUUCAGGUAAGUUUAGGGAUGGACAGGGACCGUGUCUGAGAGAUCACCAAUUAUUUGGUGGAUAAUAUCUACCCGGAAGUGUGUUCCUCCCGAGGCCGAUUCAUCAUCCGCCGUAGAUGUGAGAACUUCCUCAUACGAGGUAAGAAAAGCCUGAAUAGCAGAUUGUACGGUGUAAGGUGGUCACCUCACCUCAGGAGGCAGAUGACAUUUUUAAAGCCUUCCAUGCUAGCCAGCAUAGAGGGCAUUGUGGGAUGGAGAAAACAUUAGAAUCAAUUUCUAGAAGGUACUACUGGCCUGGCAUGGAAAAAGACAUCCAGCAAUGGAUGAGUUGAAAUGUAAUUGUGAUCAGUCUACUCUUUGUGAUGUCUGGCAUCAAUUGGAUUCACCUUCCUGUGGGGUCUGCUUUGAUUCAGAUAAAGGAGUGUCCGGAAUGCCAGGCCAAGCCUACAUCUCAAUUGAGGUAGAUGAAAAUACAAACCUACUUUCCAACAGAAUGAAGAUUUCUUAAUAUCAUGUGUAUUUUCAUUUAGGUGACCGAGCCACUGGAGCUGGUGGGGAUGGACCUGGUUGGAAAACUGACUAGGACCAAAAAUGGCAAUCAGUACAUUUGUGUGAUGAUUGAUUAUUUUACCAAAUGGACAGAGGCGUAUCCCCUGCAGUCGAAAUCAGCAGCUGAGGUUACACAUUGUGUGUUGGUUUUUUUCUGUAAAUUUGGAGCACCAAAACGGUUGUUAACAGACCAGGGUAAAGAGUUUGUUAACCAGGUAAGAGUGAGUGAGUGAGUGAGUGAGUGAGUGAGUGAGUGAGUGCAUUUCAUGUUUUAUUGUUUUCUGACAGGUCAACUACAGUGUCUGCAGCUCUUUGGAGAUAAAAAGGAGCCUUUGUGCCCCUUAUCAUCCCCAAACAAAUGGCUUGGUGGAGAAAAUGAAUGGCACCAUUCAAAGGUUUGAUGAAGGUCUUUGACUAUCAUUAAUAUCAUUACCUUUUUGAGUCACAUUGUAAGUGUGUGUGUCUGUGUAUAUCUGUGUGUAGUAUUUCCUUACAAGAAACCGACAAACCCAACACAUGAGAUGUACACCUGCAAUCCACCCUGUUUGCACUAAGAACCAAAAAACAGUUGACCACCCAAUUUUCCCCGUAUUUGGCAGAGAGGCCAGAUAUCCCACCGAAAUACCAGAGGAGUGUGAGGUAUGGACAAUGAAUUGGUGGUAACAUUUAUUUGAUAUGACAUAGCCAUUUAGGAAGUGACACGAUGCCUUACUGCUGCAGGUAACGCAUGAUGUUGUCGAAAAAAUGAUAAGGACAAAGAAAAUGUCGGAUAGGCUGCAGGCCUUAGAUUGAUGCCAUGAGAAGGCCCUGGAAAACACUCAAAAAGUUAGAGAGGUCCUGAAAAGAAAGAGGGAAGAAGAGGGCCAGGUUGACCAUUUUCAGGUAGGGGAUCUGGUCCUGAGAAAAAACAUAAGAGAGGAACAGCGAAAGGGUGGGAAGAUGGGCCGAGGAAUGUUGGGGCCAUUUAAAAUCAUCAACAUUGAAAAUAAAAGUGUUGACUUUGUCUCUGAAAAGGGGAAGACUACUUUAAAGAUCAAUAUUGAUCAAUUGUCUCAUUACAUCGAGCCAAAAAAGAGGGUCCCACGUCAUUGGAGAGAAGGGGAACAACCACCAGCAACAGCUUCACCGCCACCAUCAUCUCCAUCUCCACCAGCAGCUCCCUCCCUGCCAACUACAGCUCCACCCCCCCUCAUUCUGACUGUGUGGGGAAUCGCGAUCAUGAUAAGGAGUAUUUCUGUCCUGCAUGCAGUUUCAAUAAAUAAUCCUUUUAAAAAAGUCCAGUGUUUCAUGGUCGAUCUUCACAAUUUAUCACACAUGCGUCUCACAAGUUAACAUGGGCUCUUUACACUUAGACAUGGUACAUUGCGAUACGUCCAUGAGUGACCGCUGUUGCAGACUUUUAAGAAGAAAUGGUGUGUAUUAUGAGAUGGUCGUCACAAUAUAACACGGGCAAGCUUCUGGAGUCACCAGCUAACAUGGACGUGUUUCUCUAUAGGAGCAGGUUAUGUGGUGACACCCUGGAAACAGUGAAUGACAAGUAUGAGGUACACAUGCCGCUCAGUAAGCCGAUCUGUUGCAUUACAGCAGCGUGCUCGCCCCUCGUUGCUUGUUCUUAUUUGCGUUGUGAGUUCGAGUCCUCCUUGCGACAUCCAGCUGUGUUUAUCGUAAUAUUUUUAUCUUUAUUUUUUUUAGUGCUUAUUUGAGUGGGCAGUUUGGUCGGGAUCUCUGGUUGUCAAUAUAUGUGAAAAGCGCUGAUGUUUGCAGAGUUUUUCUCCUUGGAAGUGCCGGCGACCGAUCGGUUCGGACUGAGGCUUUUGUGGCGAAUCUGCAGAACAGACAACAUCUGGUUCAGAUUUACUGAAAAUCUCACCACUUAAUAUGAUCACCAGGUAAACCGGAACACCGGCGAUGUGGCGUAGGCGUGGCGUAAGACAGGUCCGCUGCUUCAACAAGGCGUGCCCAAGCACAUUUUGGUAUUUUGGUGAGUGGCGCAGCCCGGCGUAAGUAUCCCCCUCCCUAACUCAGCUCCUCCCAGCGGCGUAAGUCGUAGCGAGGGAGGAGAGAGGGCGUGGAGUGGAUUUAACACAGCCGAGACCUGUUUUUGCCAAUCAGAACCCUUCCUCUCCUCACCUUUAAAUCCACCACGGUGAGGCGUGUUACAAUUUUCGUGAAGUAGUCAAAGAGAUCAAGAGAUGUCUCAAGACAGCAAUGCCACACAACAGAAGGCUGACCAGGUUUGAAUUGGCGAGCUUUCAGCGCACUUUCUAUGCCGCCAGCGGGCACGAAAAUGUCACUGUGCCAGUUGAUUCUGUUGACACCUCCCCCUACCGUGCCACGCCCAGCUUGGCAAACCUCGGUGCGCCUCAGUCCACGAAAAUACCAAACUUGCUGUGCACCGGGCUCCGCCAGACGAAAAUACUACUGCGCAGGGUGCGCCACCCUCCGCCGUGUCACCAGCGGGCCCGAAAAUAGAGCCCAAAGAGUCAUCAGAUAAGUAAAACAAGAAGAAAAAGACAACAGAGGCAUGUUGCAUUCACAAAAAAAAAAAGAGAAGAAGAAGCUCUGUUUUUCAGUCAUUUUUAUUCUGUUCUGUUUUUCCAACUGAUUUUUUUUCAGAGUAUUUUUAUUUUUUGCUUAUGUGACUAAAAAUGUUACAAAAAAAUUUGUCUGAAAAACAGAAAGAGGGGGAAAAUAACUGUACAACAAAAAAUGAAGAAAAAAAGUCAGAAAAACAGAAACAGAAAGAAGAUAAAAUUAGUCUGAAAAACAGCAAAGAAAAAAAUACUCAAAAAAAAACACACUUAUAUACACUUCCAUAGAAGACAACACUGACUUAGAAAUAAAGAAGAGAGAAGAGUGUGUUCAUUUAGACAGAAACACUGAAAUUUAUUUGACUCAUUUCCAGAUUCACCCUCCUGCUGCCAAGAAAGAAACCACCCGAGCACUCAGCGUGGAUUUAACUGCUGCUGAAGAUAGACCCUCAGAAUCCACCGACUAUUUUCAUCCGUUAUAAAACAUUCAAAAAAACCACAACAAGCAAAUGUUUCAGGGGAUAUUUGAGUCUUUGUUUGAGUCAUCCACACACAGUCUUUUGUUUGUGCUUUUCAAAGAGAUUUUGUGAAAGAAACUAAACUGUUUUUCUCCACAGGGAGCUGCGGCUGGAGUAAUCUCUGUUUACAUCAUGGAUAUCUGGCAGCACAGAUCCUCUCUGUGUGCCCAGGCUCAUUAUAUCAUAAGGAGGUUUACAGUCUUUGAUUUACACGUCAUGUGACCUGGUAUUUCCUCGGCACUGGAGGGCCAUGUUGGCUUCGCGUGACUGGUAACAACAGCGCAUUCAGACCCGGCUUGGCACCAUAACGGAGCACAUUUCGUUCGAGCCGGAGGCCUGGACGUCGUCACAAUGAUGCAGCAAAAAAGCGAGUGAAAAAUGAAAAACACCUUCCCGUUCUUUCUUCUCCGGAUGUCGCACACAUGCUGCACUCCCGGCAGAAUGAUCCGCUGCACAACCUAUCAGCUCCUACACAGAAAACAGACUGCAUUCACAUUUGUUUUACACUGCUGCACACUGCUCCAGAGGUGUGUUUUCCCCAGAAAAAGACCAGGACUGCCAGCCAUCCCGGAGAUGCAUUCCCAUUGGAAAUCCCCAACACGAGACAAACAAACAUCCUCCUCGCGAUACAUUAGCUAUUCAUUCACAUUUGCAUGCUUCUGUCAGAGGCUGCCAAGACUCGCUCUCUGUGCAAUGCUAAUCAAUUCCUGCAGCGGCUGGAUAAGACCGCUGCACCCUCCCUUUGAGCACCAGCCAACACUAAUAUGAAUGGCUCAUUUGCAAUGUAAAACAAGAUCAAUUAGUAAUCCAGCAUGGAGUGUGCAUGCAAACCACCCGUUAACCUCCGAUGUGAAAACCUGCUUGUUGAACUGCCGGUCUGCGCUGCUGUUUUGUGUCUAACAGGAUUACACAGUUCUGCAGAGCAUUGUGAGGCUAUGAAGGAAUCUUUCCCUCCAUUACCAAAAUAAAGGAAAGCUCCAGCACAAUAGAGUCAAACAAUAUCUCCACACUGCUGCAGACCUUUCCUUUCAGCUCUUUAUUGAGGUCACUGUGAUUGCGCGGAAUUCAGACGCCUCUGAAUGCAUCGUGAACUUUGUACCUCGGAUUGAAACGAGCCAUAAUGUUUCAAACCUUGUCCGUCAGUCUUUGUCUCGACCUUUCUCUGCUUCUGCGAGCAACAGAAAAAAGAUUACCGUGGACUUAGUGAUGCCGAGGUUGAGGACCUCAUUUAGGGGAUACUGCAUCUUUUAUCCCAUCCUGCAGCCGAGCACAGAGCUCCCUCCUUUACCCUCCUGCAGUGUUCGUAUAACAAAAAGACACUCUUUGGUGUCAGGAAUGUUUAAUUAUCUUGUUAAAGCACAAAAAGGAUUGGGGUGUCCGGAGAUCAGAGGCUGUAUCACUGCAAGGAUUGGGAGUCAUAUCUGUGAGCUCUGCAGAUGCUCCACAGGAGCAGGACUCAGGCAGUAAGAGGAGUUAGAUUAAAUUUCUAACUUUUUAGCUGCCUGCCCCAUCAAUCCAUCAUUCUUCCAUCCUUUUACCUCUUAUCUUGUGUCCACUCAAAGUCAUUAUUUCCUGUCUGGCUCGGGCUCAUCAUUUUCAGCCUUAAAUAAUCAAAUGAAUGUAUAAAAGUAAUUCUAAUUCUUCAUUUUAAAAGUCUUGAUAUUGCCCAUGCAGUCGCCCUGGUGCAUAAUCUCUUCUGUGCAGGUUAUUGGUGUUUUAAAUUCCACUGCCAUGAAGAUGUCUUAAUAAAAACAUUUAAUUGCUACUAAAUUUUAGCAGCAGAACUUCACAUUUCUGCUCAGUGGAAUAAGGAUUUGGCAAACCCAUCCCUGGAAUACUUAGGAUGAUGCAGAAAAUGUUGAUAAAUCAGGAUUUGAUGGUUUACAAAUCAUUUAAGCCUAUAUUUAAUUGUAUGUACAGAUCUUGUACAGACAGGACUCGUCGUUGUUGUUUUCUUCCGCUUGAUCCAGGUCCGGGUCACGGGGGCAGCAGCUUCAGGAGGGAAGCCCAGAUGGCCCUCACCCCAGCCACUUCCACCAGCUCCUCCAGGGGGGAUUCCCAGGCGCUCCCAGGCCAGGCGAGAGAUAUAAUCCCUCCACCUGGUCCUGGGCUGGCCAUGAGGUCUCCUCCCGGUGGGACAUGUCUGGAACACCUCUAACGGGAGGCGUCCGGAAGGCAUCCUAACCAGAUGCCCGAGCCACCUCAGCUGACUCCUCUCAAGGUGGAGGAGCAGAGGUUCUACUCUGAGCGCCUCCCGAGUGUCCGAGCCAAUUACCCUAUCUCUAAGGCUGAGCCUGGCCACUCUUUGAAGGAAACCCAUUUUUGCCGCUUGUAUCCACAAUCUUGUUCUUUCGGUCAUUACCCAAAGUUCAUGGCCAUAGGUGAGGGUCCGCAUGUAGAUCGACGGGUAAAUCGAGAGUCUCGCCUUACGGCUCAGCUCUUUCUUCACCACGACCAAAUCACUGUUGAUGCCGCUCCGAUCUGCUUGUCGAUCUCCCGUUCCAUCCUACCCUCACUCGUGAACAAGAUCCCGAGAUACUUGAACUCCUUUACUUGAGGCAAGACCGCCCCUCUGACCUGGAGAAGGACUUGGAGGUGCUGAUUCACAUCCCAGCCGCUUCACACUCGGCCGCGAACCGCCCCAGCAAGAGCUGAAGGUCACUGCUCGAUGAAGCUAGAAGCAACACAUCAUCCGCAAAAAGCAGCAACGCAAUCCUCUCCCUGCCGAACCUGGUAGGCAGGACUCUGGAGUGGAAAUCACCGGACAGUUCAUCACUGCAACCACAAAUGAGGUUAACACUAGACCAUGUGAAGAGGAAAAGAGAUUGAAACCUGAUCCAGAAACACCAGAGUCUUCUCUGGACCCGGGACCUUUUUGGAUUGACUGAGGGGAAGAGGAAAACUGUCCUGUGGUCUGAUGGAUCAAGAUCUGACAUUUUUAUGGAGCCCUAUGGAUCCCACACCCUUCCCCUUGAAGAGUAGAGGGAUGAUCUGGUGUGUUACCAGCUCCCAUUCCAAAGCCAGCAUUCCUGAUGGUAUGAGGAUCAUCAGAGUCCAUGUCAUGGGUUGGUUCCACAUCCUUGAAGGCUCCAUUAAUGCUGAAGAAUAUCUACCGGUUUAGGAGCAACAUCUGCUGACAUCCAGACAAAGACUUUUUCAGGGGAGACCUUUAUUUUUGAGCAAACCUCAUUCUACAGAGAUUACAACAGCAUGGUACUGUAGUAGAAGUGUCCUGCCGAUAAGCUGGACUGAUGCAGUCCUGACUUGUCACCCAUUGAAAACAUUUGGAGCAUCAUGACACCAAAAACAAGACAAAGGAGACCCUGAACUGUUGAGCAGCUGAAAUCCUCUAUCAGACAAGAAUGGGACAUCAUUUGAAUUGAGCUUCUGUAAACAUGGAGAGUAAAAGGUUGUAAUUACUCCCUGUGGUCGCUGCAGUAAUGCUAACAGAGUAAAUCCCCUCAGACUGCUGCUCAUUGACAGUGUAAUAACUCUCUAUUGGACUCUUGUAGCACCCAUGGGAGUCCUGCUGCAGAGUGGCUCUCUCUCACCUCUGUGUGUGCAGAUCUUAGAGUAAAGAUUUACACAUGAAUGGAUUUAUUUGAUAAUGGCCGUCAUUGAUUAACAUGACAAUGAAAAUCAUUGGACCAAUGAAAGGUGAUUUAGACCUGACCUUUCUUAAUGGGUCACCAUUUCUGUUUCGAGGUGUCGUUCCCGUGUCAAUGAAAAUAUGCAUAAAGUUCACUCUGCUGUGAAUUCAUAGCUUCUCCGAUCCUCAUUCAUGUGUGUCUUUAAGCUUUUAUUCUUCAGUCAAUGCAAAGGAAAGGAGCGAGAACAUUUUUACGCUGCUUUUAUAUCCACAUCUUAAAUUCUCUGUGUCAUAAGAAAGUUACAGCAUUUCUCGAGGAGCACCUCUUCAGACUGUUGAAUUAGCAUACAAACAGAAAGUCCUUUGUGUCAGAUUGUCUGCAAACCAAAUCUUCUAUUACAUGUCUUGUUGCAAAGCACACAAGCUUUUUUUUUUAAGUCGAUACCAACCAUUAACAUCUUAUUCUAUUUUUGAUUUAACCAGAUAACAGCAAUUGAGAUCGAGAUCUCUUUUACAAGGGUGACCUGGCCAAGAGGUCAGCAGCAUACGCCAAUAAUAAUACAAUUCAGAGACAGAACAAGUUCAAACAAACAAAUACCUGUGUAUCUUUUUAAUGUCUGUACUAGUUAAACUGCUCAUUCUGUCUACUCUUGCUUCUUCCUCUGCAAACAGCUUUGUCGCUGCUCUCCCUGCCUUCACCUUUCAUGCAUGCUCAUGCAACAGAUAUGAAAACCUGUUUGAGCAUUUAGGUCAGUCCCUGAUAUCAAGCAUUGAUUUGCACAGAUAUACUGCUUUUUUGUAGUUGGAUGCUGAACCCUCGGAUUUUAGCUCUCAGAACAAAGCCUUAACUAUUUUUAUGCAAACGUCCAAGUUAGACAUUUUUGCUCCUUUAAGUGUAUUUUUUAAGAUUUUUUUAAAAGACAAUGGUUAUUGUUCAUAUUUUAGUAACGUUUUCCCACUGUAACUGAACCUUCCCUCGUCCUUUUCUCUUUUUAUUAUUUUUUAAUCCAUUUUAUUUUUAAAAGUGAACUCUGACGUGAAAGGUGGAAAACCAUCUCAAGUCCUACAUUAAAAAAAGAAAAUUUGGCACAUCUUUGCCUUUUUGGAAUUUUGAAUUAAGGUCUGUACACACCAGGAGCAUUUUUUUUUGUGCAAUUAUUUCGGACGUCAAUAUUUUUUUCGAACCCGUAUCCUGUCAAUACAAGCAUUCACAUCAGCGACGUUUUCCUGUCCCGCAAUAUUGCGGCAUUUCAUUUUUGGUUUAGUUUUGCAUACUGUGUGUCCACUUCUGACCAAUCAGAUUGUGUGUUGUUGUAAUGUCAGAUUCACCAGUAUACCCAACAUGGCCGACCGGCUGAUUGUUGAUGUGUCAGAGAACAGAGUGCUUUUUGAUUAAAAAAAAAUUAAAAUACACAAAUAUUAAGAUAACGACUUAAGGGACAACUUGUCGGAUCUCUCAUAUGACGAUAGUUUGUGUGCUUUAACAGUUUGCUAAACGUCUUUGUUUUAACUUUCAUCUAUGCUAAGUAACUUUAGCUCGUAAGCUAACCUGUUCAGAUACAACAUACCAUAUGUAUUUUCACUGUCUCAAACUCAAUCGUGUUGCUGUCACAGCACCAUUAGGUCUCGGUUGUUACCUUAUGUUUAUGGAUUAUAGUUUAAUGUGUUUAUCUGGUACUGGCCCCGACUCAGUACAUGCUAUCAUGACAGACAGACAUCUCAACACUAGUGUCUAAUCAGAACUGAAAAACAGUCAGUCUGCUGUUGUGUCAGUCUUCUCGCUUUCACCCGGGACGUGUCUUUCUUCCUCCUGGAAAGUUGCAAAAUCGUAUCGCACUUGAUGUGUAUAGUCAGGCGCGUCAAAAUUCACCUCUGGAUAUUUUGGAAUUUCGCGUCAUAUAUUUGCGUCGUUCCCGGUGUGAAAGGACCUUUAAAUGUAAAGUUUCAAUGUUGGUAUAAUGUUUAUAGUGAGUCUAUUUCAACUGAUUUAUCUUUUUAGUUGUAUUUGUAAAUAAAAAAAUAAGCUUUUAGAUAGUUCAAACCCUCUAUACACUCAAGUUUGAUUGGACAAAUUCGUCUUUAAACAAGUGUUAAAAAAAUGUGAAACAUUUGCUUCCACCAUGACAUUUGGUUUGACUUUUCUCUCUCCAUCUUCAUACAUGACAUUCUGUCUCUCCAUAUAUCAGUGCAGUUGCAGCUGUUUAAUGUCUCAGCUGCUUUUAUCACCAUUAUCUUAAAAAAAAGCAUCAUAGCUUUGCUCACUUUUGGAUCAUUUUGUCCUGGACAUGGGCACGUCGACUGUCUGCUGUUGUGCAUUCUAAAGUCUAGACCAUGAACGAAAGAGGAUCCCACUUUUACAGCUAUACUUGAAGGGGAAAAGGUUGUAUAUUUGGGUCAGCACAACACUUUCAAGCCUCCUGAGCAAUUUUUCGUCAAUAAAUGCAGCAGCACCAAUAUCAAAACAUCUCUCAUAGUGUUUCUGAUUCGAGAAAAUUCACUUGGGGCAUCUACAAUCUAGUUAUUUCAGACAACAAGCCUUGAAAUGUGCUGUGGAAAAAGUGCACCACUCCUCUGUUCACCCACAUGUUCCCGUAAUAACAGGAGUCAAUAAAGAAGCAGUCAGUGUGUCUGUAUCAUGAAGGAGUCGUGGUUUUUGUUGCAGAGAAAGACAAGCCAACGGAAAGACUGUCCACGAGAUGGUUCAUAAUGGGUUUUUCAGUUAUGGUGAAGAACAUUAACUCUGAUGUCUUUUCUCUGCCUGUGUCUUCAGAUGCAUCUUUAUGUUUGCAUAUAGAAAGCUCAGGUGUGUUUGAGUGUGCGAGAGAGGAUCCUGAUAAGCUGCAGCAGUGCCGAGGUGUGAAGCUGUGCAUCUUAAUCCGCUCAGGUGAGCGUGUGAUGGAGCGCUAACACUCCGUGAACACUCUGAGAUGAAAACGCGGUGACAUGCUGCUGAGGUGUGUGUUUGAAGACGAGCCAGUGCAAUCUUUGCAUCAGCUCUGCAUCACAUUAUUCUGGAUUAUAAAGCAGAGGGGCUGAGGUUUGUUCCCAGCACAGAGCUCUAUGGAUUCUGCUUCAGCGUCUUUUAUGGAGCUGCUGGUACUGAAGAGCAUCACACCGAGAAGACCAUCAGAUCUGGUUUGGAAGUUUUAGAGGACGAUCAUUUGCAUGGUCGUGUUCACACUGUGCAUACUCCAGAAAUCAAUUUGCUUGUUCUAGUCUAACAUAAUGUGUCUGAUGGUGUUUACUGAUGCAUUUGAUGUUAAUUCUGCAUCUGUACCACUGUGGACUGUCUGUAAAAUAAAGCAAAGUCAAACACAUUACACAAUCAUGUCUUACUCUUGCAAAAUCAGAAAUGCUCUAAAAAAAAAAAAAAAAAAAGGUCCUUUCACACAGGAAGCAUUUUUUUUUUUUUACAUGCGUUUAUUUCGGACGUCAAUAUAUCUUUUUCGAACCCGUAUCCUGUCAAUACAAGCGUUCAAAUCAGUGACAUUUUCCUGUCCUGCGAUGUUGCAUAAUUUUUUUUUUUUGCAUCAUGGUCGAUUUUUCUAAAGUUUCGCAUACUGUGUGUCCACUUUUGACCAACCAGAUUGCGUAUUGUUGCGAUGUCAGAUUCAACGGUAUAUCCAACACGGCCGACCGGCUGAUUGUUUACGUGUUGGAGAACAGAGUGCUUUUUGAUAAAAGACACAAAUAUUACAAAAGGUAACGACCUGAAGGACAACUUGUGGAGUCAUAGCGUCGGAUCUCUUAUAUAACAAUGGUUUGUGUGCUUUAACAGUUUGCUAAACGUUAAAGCACAGCGAAAAUACAUAUGGUAUGUUGUAUCUGAACAGGUUAGCUUACGAGCUAAAGUUACUUAGCACAGAUGAAAGUUAAAACAAAGAUGUUUAGCAAACUGUUAAAGCACACGAACCAUCGUCAUAUGAGAAAUCCAACACUAUGACUCUCCACAAGUUGUCGUUCAGGUCGUUAUCUUUGUAAUAUUUGUGUUUUUUUAUCAAAAAGCACUCCGUUGAUACAUAAACAAUCAGCCGGUCAGCCAUGUUGGAUAUACCGGUGAAUCUGACAUCACAACAACAACAACAACAACAACAACAACAACAACAACAACAACAACAACAACAACAACAAAUCUGAUUGGUCAGAAGUGGACACACAGUAUGCAAAACUUUAGAAAAAUUGUCCAUAAUCCGAAAAAUUAAAUGCCUCAAUAUCGCAGGACAGGAAAACGUCGCUGAUGUGAUCGCUUGUAUUGACAGGAUACGGGUUAAAAAAAAAAAUAUUGACGUCCGAAAUAAUCGCAUGAAAAAAAACGCUCCCAAUAUGCAAGGAAGUGUCCAUUUUUGAACUAUCAGUUCUCUGUUUGGCUUUUCAUGGCGCUGAUAUCUGCAUAAAUUUGGAUCACUACUGGAAUCUAGUUGAUAGAUGGAGUAUAAAAUAGGGACAAGUCUCAAAAGAGAAGUCUUGGUCCUGAUUUGAUUUAGAUCUUUUCUUGCUAUACCGGAAAAAUCAGCCAUGACCCAUAAGUUAUGGAGCUGCCAAAUAAUAGCCAAUACUUUUUCAAGUUUUUGGAUAUACAGCUACAUUUAUUAUGCAACCUCUGCUGUGUGUAACAUCACAGUAGAACAAUAUCUUUUCUCCAGCAGACAAUCUGAUUAUAGCAGCACAUCUACAGAGUUGUAUUUUGAAGCUGUUGAAUUUGUUGAGUCAGGAUUGGGAGCCUCAGAAGGACCUAAUGUCCAUUAAAAAAAAAAAGAUGCGGCUUUAAAUUUAUUUACUUAUUCAUUUAUUUUGCUCUUUUUAAAGUCUCUGAUUCAGAUGCAGCUCCAUGCCGCCCUCCACCCUGAGCUGAUUGAGUUCUCUGAGAGUCUCCCAAAGCUGCCAAAUUAAUACAGGAGGACGGAAAUGCAUUAAAGGUAGAAAUUACAUUUCUAUUCAUGAAGCAGCAUCUCCACAGCUGAAUGUGAAUGUGAGUCUGAAGAGUCUCUGCUCAGCUUCAGAUGGUCAGUAGAUGCAAAGUUGAAGAAAUUAAGUGUGGUAAACUUUUCUGCAUCUUUUAUAGAAUUUUGAUCAAAAAUGAAGACAGUGGGAUUUGACUGGAGACAUACUGAACUGUGCAUGUGUUUGUAAGAAUCUGUUCUGCUGUGGACUGGACCCACCUGUGGAAGCUUUGAAGACUUAACAAGUUUAGCGUGGGUUUGUUUCGAGGUGUUUAGCGCUAAUUACCCACAUCCAAAUGAGAAAGACGGACCUCCAAUUAACUCAGAAGUCAGUCCAGAAUUUUUUAGAGUGCCUUUAAUGAACACUACUUGAACUCCAGAAUUCCUGAGAUGUCAGCGGAGAUCUCUUGGAUUCAUUAUUUUAAUUUUCUGACCCCUUCAAAACGAUGCAUGCUGAAAUUUUAAUGUGUUUGGGAUAAAUAAAUGAUGUGUUGGACAUCCAGGGCUGCAAACUCACAUCCCCUUAUUGGAAAAUUAGAGAGAAAAUUAUGGUGCUUUUGACGUCAGAAUCAAAUGUUUGCAGGAGAAAGGGGGGAGAAAAAGGUUACUCUAACUCUCAUGUUCAAUUAUUAAUCCAGGCUGUUGUUUAAACUCAACGGUGUCUUCUUCUGGUUUCAGAGCAUUGGCACAGAGACCCUUCAAAAGGCCCUCUGCCUCUCUCCUCCUCCUCCUCCUGCUCAAACUCUCUUUGAGGAAAAGCUCCCUCAUUGAUAUAACAUGAGCAGAGGACCCCCGCUGUUAGCCAUCACAGGUGUCACGGACAGGAGCGUAGUGGGAUUUCUGGAUUCAUGUCAGUACGGCACAAUGACGGCAGCUUCAAACACCUGUUCAUAUCCGGCCUGAGCGGACUUAUCAAGUCCCUAUUAAAACGCAGUCACUGGCGAUAAGCUCUGUUUUUGCUGCCUUGUUUGAUAUUUGCAUUUCAAAAAGAAGGCCGAGCACGAGCAGAAAGCGAAGUCAGAGCUACAGUCAGUGUUCCAAAAAAUGGAAAUCUGGUUCAAACCGAAAACAACCCUUUCGUUUGCUGCUUAAACUCUGCUGACUCUUCAAAAAUCAAACAAACAGUUACUCCCCCCUUUUGUUUCAUCUCUUUUUUUUUAUAAAACAAGAGAGAGGAGAAAUGAUGGCGCAGACGGGGGAAACCACAGAAAAAGGUCAAUCUGAAUACCAAAUAGGAAAUGCUGACUCCAGCUAGCUGUUUGUGGACCUAGAAAGAGGUAACAAGCUCCAGUUGAGGGCCCCACUGUCGCCAAGUCAGCCAUGCCUAUGACUAUGACUACAGUAAUAUUUAUAAUCUAAUUUACAAUGGGAAAAAAUUAAACCAAACCUGUUUUUCUAAUCAGGUUGCAAACUUGUUUGAAGCUUUGGUCUACGAUCUGAAAACCAGUUUGGCUGUUGAGACAGAUUUGAAAAACACAGCCUGCCCUCCCUUCACUCACCCCUCCCCUCCGUGUUCCAAGAAACCCCCUUUCUUUCUGAUCUUUAUAUUGCGUAGAUCGGACCAUAGGACCAUAACGGCCUUAUAAAUGGUGUUAUUAUGAAGUACCAAGUGUGGCGUGUGGUGUAUUUUGAGGACCCAGAAGCAGACAGCAAAUUAAGAUGUAAUUUUAAUGUCCAAACUCAGGGGUAAAGGCAAAAGAGAAAAUCUGGUUGGCUGACUGGCUGUUGUGUGGGCCAGAGACAUUGCGGAGAAAACAGAGGAGAUGGAAGUGAGUAGACAUACAAUGAAUCACAGGGAGCAAAGUUGCAAGCACUUAUUCAAAAGAAAGGCCAGAAGACACGUCUGUAUUACUCGGGAGUGAAGACAAUACUGAGGCGCUGAGACUGAGGGCUGCUGGCUUCUUAAAGUGCCUUGAUUGCAGAUUCAGCGCAGGUGUGGAGUCUCACUCAGCCUCAGCGACGGGGAGGGGGAGGGUGCUCUGGAAAAGAGUCAAGCCAGACCAGGAAAACGAAGAAAAAUAAGAAGUAGGUCACUUUUUCUUUUAUUUUUAGUAUUAUUUUUUGCCCUUGUCUUUACAGUUUUUUUUUUUUAUAACUUUCUCUUUUUUUUUAAAUAUAUAUUUUUUACUCUUUUACAAUUGUUUUCUCUACUUUUUCUUACUUUAUUUUCUUCUAACUUUUUAUUUUAUUUGUCUUUAUGCAGAUUGUUGAAAAAUCCAUAUCUUACAUUUUACUCCCUUUCUUUUUCAUAUAAAAAAAAAUGUAUAUUUAUCUUUUUGUCUGCAUUUUAUGAUUAUCUAGUUUUCUUUUACUUUCCUCUUGUUUUUUUUUAUUUCUUCUUUUAUUCCAGUUUCUCAAUUACCUCCACUGGAGUGCAUUCAUACUUUUUUUUUAAAUCUUUUCUCAGGAAAACAGACAUGAAAGUCUUCAGGUGAUUAUGCAGAGAGUAACUGAAGCUGUGCAAAUAAACCUGAGCAGUCAGAGGGAUGAAUAAACUCACUGGUCAGACUACAAACAGGCUGGAAAUGGGUUCUUUGGGUGUCUCAGUGUUUGCACGAGAGCUUUUGAUUUCGUGGAACCAUAAGAACCUUUUAUAUCUGCAUAGCAUAAAUAAUUUGGCCUCCAAUUCCUUUAGACAUGACUGUUUGCAGUGAGAUUAACAGAAUAUCUGAGCCUGACUUCAGAUUUACCCCGCAGGCACUGAAUUAAUUGCGGUAAUUCAAAGGGCAGUAAUUUGCUGCUAAGACUGGAGAUUUACCAGUUUUAAAUGGUUUACAAUCUCAUUUUUCAUUUAUAAUAAAGUGUUUUAUCAAACAGAUCAUUUCUUAUUCAGUCCAACGUAUGAGUAACUUGUGUAUUUCCAUUUAAUUCCACUGUGAAUUUUCACUGUUUGGAUGUUUCCCUGCUCCAACACACCUGAUUCAAAUGAUCAGCUCGUUAUUAAGCCAUCACAGAGCUUGAUAACGAGCUGAUCAUUUGAAUCAGGUGUGUUGGAGCAGGGAAACAUCCAAAACAUGCAGGACCACUGGAACACUGGACUAAGGUAAAAUUCCAGCCUAUAGGAGGGUAAUUUGAUAAGUUCACAGUGUACAUAGGUGUGGUUUGUCUGUGGAAACCUGAUGACCUCAUUUAACUCACCUGUGUCUGUCUGCACACCUGCUCUUCAUUAACUCAGCAGUAUAAAUACUCUGCAGCUGCAGCCUCCUGUAACUCAGCUUUUGGGGCAGACGUUUGCUUCAACAGUCUUUGUAUACCUGGUGUUUUAACUAGGGUGACCAUACGUCCUCUUUUACCCGGAUAUGUCCUCUUUUAUUUAUCUGGGGAAGUUUAUAAAAUCCUUCAAAUGUCAGGAGUUUUGUAGGGAAGUUUUGAGUUUGUGUAGGCUGGACUGAGUUAGAAGCGUGUAAAAAAAUACACUCAACCCGACCCGAAAAACCCUCAAAAUUCUGGUCACUCUAUUUUAAAUGCUCUUGUUUAAUAUGUCUAAUACAGCAUUUCUAUCUGCCUGUCUCCUUUUAAAAGAAUGAACUAUUUCAAUACAUUUUUGGUCCCUAUAUCCUCAUACAGAAGCUUUUAAAACAGCUCAGAUCCUUGUAAAAAUGGUAGACCCUACUGUUGCUUUAUGGAUAUUGAGUCGAUUAGAAAGCAAAUUCAGACAGUGGUGGUGUGGAAAUUCAGCUUAAGUGAAUAAACACCCUUGAAGAAGUGUAUCAUUGGAUUAAGGUGGAUACUAAAUCAUUACAUGAAUUAGUAAUUCUCUGUGUAAAUUCUGGACUUUGUCACAUAAAGAGAAGUGUGUGUGCCUUUAGACUCCAUGUACUCCCUGUUUUAAUCCUCCAAUCGUUCAUAGAUCUCCCCUCUCUGCUCAUCUAUAAUUCAGAGCAAGUGCGCUCCCUGACACCACGCAAUUAAUUAGUCUUUUUGUUCAUUAAAGGCUCAGCUUUUAGAAGACCAUCAUGUUUUAUUUUAGUUUUAAUUACUUUGUGCUUUGGCAGCUUUCUAUUUCCAAGAUUUAUGUUCCUCAGGUCCCGACCACCAUCCAAUUAGAGGCAGAUCUGUGUGUUUAUGAGGAGGGGAGAGGAGCAGCGAGUGUGGCGUUCAAAGACUGUGACUCCCGUUCGCUUCACAUGUGAUGUAAUGAGAUUAGCAUAGUCUUUGAAAUGAUCGUCAGUUCCUGCGGGUCAAUUGAUUUGCCAUUCAGUUUUAAAGCACCCAGAGGCUCGUAAUGUGUGAGUGUGAGCACACACGCCGUUAGAUCUGUGUGCAGUCUGCAGGGAGGCUGUUGGCAACAAUCAGACAGAGUUAGACAAAGAGAUAAAAACCCACAUUAUCGUCACUCUGAUGAAUCAAACCACAAAUAAUAGUCCUCAGACAGAUUGUUAUGUUUUAAUGGAGAUUAUGGGAACUAAGGGCUGCUGGAAUUUUUAAAAAAGACACAAAAAAAGAUUAUAAAACUCUGCCAAAAACAUCAGCCUGGUGUUCUCAGACUCCUUAAAUCUUAAUUUUGAAAAAAGUAAAACAUCAACUUUGAAACAUUUUCAUCAAAAGCAUUUCGAAGUGUCUGCUGUCUGUUUUUAAAGUCCCAUUUAACAGGACAGAUCCUCCCUUAACCAAUGUUUUUAAGUCAAUCUGGACCCAGUUUAACUUAAAAGAAGAGUCGGGGGCCAUUUUAAGGUACGAUUAGAUUAGAUUUGACAGGGUUAGGGUAAGUGUUUAUUAAUCCUUUUGGGAAGGUUUCCUCAAAGUUCAGGUACCCUUAUAAAAUUUGAGGGGCUUUUAAGCAACAAAUCUCAGGUAUGCUUUUAAGGUUGUUUUGCAAAAGUGGUUGGAUCAUUUUAACAGUUUUUUCUUGAGUUUUUGCCUGUGUAUUAGGAUAAACAUUAUGAAUGUUUCAAACUGUCAUUUGGACACUAUUUUAAUUUACUAUUUUCCCAGCAACAAAGUGAAGUUCUGUUUUCAGCAUUUUGAGACACCCUCAACAGUUUCUCUAGAGGUACACUUCUGAAACUCAGUUUGGACUGCUUUGAAGUACUGUUUGCAGUAAAUUUUGAGGUACCACCAAGGUACCCUUCAAAAACGAGAGCUGGGGAUACACUUACCCCCAAUUUCUACCGCAUGUGGAAUGCCAGCGGAAAAGCUGUCGGCAUCAACCGCAGCUGAUCGUUUCCAUUCAAGUUAAUGUGUCAAUUUCCACCUGCUUCUAUCCAGCCCCCUGCGGUUCAGCGGGCUUCGUAGCCAAUCGCCAGGUUUCUACUUUAUCCGGACACUACAGCAUGCUGCAUAAAUUUAGCACAGAUUAACCCGUAUUGUAAAGGAAGUCAAGCACAGAUGCAAAAUAAAACAUUCGGCUUCUUGGGCGGGGACGAACAAGUCAAAGGUUUUCAGACUUCAUGUCUAGUCUAGAAGUGGAUUUCCUCCUCUGGAAGGACACAAUCUACUACUUAUGUGGUUAUGUGGCUGUUUUUAUAAAGACAACUCAUUAUUGUGCAAUUGCAUUUGAAUCUGAAGGUUCUUAUGAGUUCUCGCGAUUCCUGCUGUCCAAAAUCCGCAAAAGAAAUUCGCCUCACAAACACAUCUGGUAGGAAUUGGCGGAUGGCGAAAAUCACUACCAUUCCACAGCUAAGCCGUUUCGUAUGCAGUGAAAAUUUGGGGGUUGGGCAGAUUAUAAGUACUCUUAAGUCUGGUUUUAGAUACUCUGCAUGAAACUCAUGGAGCUAUGAACAUUUCUUUUUGGGGUCAGUAUGAAGCAGUUAUAAGCAAAGUCUUUUUAGUAACCCCAUGGUGACUGCUCAAAAGUUCAGUUUGCAAACAGUUGAAGGUCUCCUGAUGUUGUUACCUUUGGUGUUUGUUCAAUGAUAUCCACGGUUUUGAUUUUAAGGUACCCUAGGGCCUCUGUUUUUGAUUAGAAAAUUAUGAGGUACCGUCCAGCACCUGUUUUUCAAGUACCUGUUAGAUCAUUGUCGAAUUCCCUCAUCUCAUACGGUCAUUAAUUGGUCAUCCCUUUGUGAGAUCAUUAAAAGAAUCUCAGAAAAAAAGAUCAUGACAGGCUUCUGAACAAAGAGAAGAGUCUGACACAUUUAAUUAAAGCAUUUCUAAAACUGACGGCACAUUUCUUUCAAACUCCCUCUCGUAGAACAAAUGUUGCUCUAUUUUCACUCCCACAUCCCGCUGAAAUAAUUCCCUUGUUGUUUUGGACUGUGCUUGUUUUUAAGGGCCAGUUAAUACUUCAUAAAAACAGUGUGAAGCCAAACCCGUGGCCUUUCAGUGACUGUCUGCACUUGUUAUGUAUUAAAGGAGAUUUCACAGUCUCAACCCACUCAAGGAAUUAAAAAUAACAUGCAGCCUUUUGAAAAAUUCACCUUUGCUGCUGGAAAUGAGCUGCGUUUUCCAGCUGUGAAGAGGAUGGCAAUCCAGACCUAACAGGAUCCAAACCUGAAAUUUCCGCAUAAAGGUUUCCAGCAUGCCUUCUGUUUAUCGUCCCCUCAGCAGCUCUUUUUGCCUAACAUGGCGUAAACGUCCCGCUCCGCCGCCUCUCGCCCUCGUUACUUGAACCUAAAGUGUCACUUAACUCGACUCUCAAAGCUGCUCAGGUGUCUCUAUCAAAGAGGGACGGCUCCUGAAUACAAGGGACCACUUUUAAUUAUUCCUGCAGUCAUUAAGGCUUGAUGAACUUCAGAGCGAGCUCCACUAAACAUCUGUGUCCCGGUGGUGAAGAGACCGAGUGGCCAUGUUUGACUAGUCCCCCUGGAGGGCUGAGUGAAGCCAGAAUACAACUGGAGUCAGAGAGUAACAAGAGCCUGAAAGAGGGCAGACAGGAUGAAUUCGACUUUUUCAAACAUGCAAGAGAUCCUCAGAAACAUAAACUGUAUUUGAAGGAAGAUGUAUGUCUCUGUGCAGGGGCGACUUAUCUUGUACAAGGCGCUCAGUUUGACAGGUAUUAUCUAUCUGUCUGUCUGAACUGUUCAGACCCAAGGGUACAAAAUCCACAAUUCACCACUUCCUCUCCUGACUCUACUGAGUUUAUUGAUACUUCUCAAGACAAGGUUACUGUUUUUUCCUCUCUCAGAGUUAGGUAGAAACCAGAGUCCUUAACUGUUGUUUACAAGCUUAUCUUUCAUUGUGCAAUAACAUUUGAAGAGUAUUCUAUAGGUGAACUUUUCUGUUUGAGAAGGCAGCGAGCUGCAAAAGAUGUCCAAGUUUCUAGUCCCAUCCUGGCUCAGGGUUUGGGAUCCAAUGUUCUGAGGCUCAGCAUGUUUCCUUCUGAUCUCCAACUGAAAGAUUUCUAAAGGAGCCAAGGUCAAGAACAGAUUGCAGUUAUUGUCCCAAAUGAUGCCAAAAGUUAAUGAGUGUUAAAAACUUCUCAAAAAGGCAGAAAAAGGUGAAGCUGAAAUUGUGUUAAAUGAGUGUUGAGAAGGCAGUACGUCCAUAACUAACGGUGCGUUCCAGUUGUACUUGGAAGUCGGGUCAAGAAAUUCAUCUGGAACGCUCCUUUUGAAGUCGGAUUUUGGACUCGGAAAGUUGAACCAUCCUCACCACCCCUGACUUGAUGACAACGUCAUAAUCCAAGAUGGCAGCGCAGUGCAUCAACAGUAAAGAGUAACAGUGAAAGUUCUCGUAAUGUAUUAUUUAUUAGCACUUCUGUUUUGUUUUUGUGAAGUUAAAUAAGUGUUAUAUGUUUUACUUCCCAACAUCUAACUGUGAACACAGUGCUAUGGUGUUUGUAAGGGUAAAAUACUGUCGUAUAUGUUGUUUACAACUGGUAUCGCUAACAACAGCUAACUACAGCUAAGAAUAGAAUAGAAUAGAAUAGAAUAGAAUAUUCCUUUAUUGAUCCCCCAUGGGGGAAAUUUUUUUUUUGUCACAGCAGCAUCACAGACAGAGUGCAAAAAUGCAGUUAUAAAAAUAAAGAUCCUAAUAUUAAGAACUUAAAUAAAUGUAAUAAUUAAGAAAAAAUUUAGAAAAAGGAAAAAGGGAGAAGAAAAAUAAAACUAUCUACAAUAUACACAAUUUAAAUGCCAGAAAAAAAUGGUGGUGUAAAUCCAGUUAUUAUUACAGUUCGUUGUAAAGUCUUAUUGCAGAGGGGAGGAAUGACCUGCGGUAGCGCUCCGUCUUGCAAGGUGGAAGUCUCAGUCUGCUGCUGAAGGAGCUGCUUAAAGCCCCCACAGUCUGGUGCAGUGGGUGAGAGGGAUUGUCCAUGAUGGAUACAAGCUUUGUUAACAUCCUCCUCUCACCCACCUCCUCCAGGGAGUCCAAAGAACAGUCCAGGACAGAACUGACCCUCCUGACCAGUCUAUUCAGUCUCUUCCUGUCCCUCUCACCCACUGUCCCUCUCGGUGCUCCCUGCCCCCCAGCAGACCACUGCAUAGAAAAGUGCAGAUGCUACCAACUACGGCUAACAGUAGGCGUCCAUUUUGGUUUUUCGACUUGUUUACUGGAACGCUGUCAACUCGGGUGGAACGCAAUUCCCAGCUCAGACAUCUGACUUCAGAGGUAACUGGAACGCAGUAUGAGACCCACAACUAGGCAGGAUGCAGACUGGAACCCAGAACGUUAAAAAUGGUCCCACGUGACGAGUUGUCUUUUCUUCUUCUAGGCACUGCAGACCUCAAAACAGUAUUUUACAAAUGCUCCUGCAACAAAGACACAGACUUCCUCGACAUUAUUUCACCUCACAUGUAUUUGCCAUAAUCCUCUCAUUGGUUUGUACUCACCACUCUACUGAGGAAUGCUUUUACACAUGGGUGGGUGGGUGUUGUUCUUCAGUGGUCUAUCCUUACUAAGUUAUGCUGCCAACUAUAGGCUUUGCAUGGAAACUUCAGUGGAUGGGGGUCAUUCUCACAACAAUGUCCUCUUCUUAUUUUUGCAGAUUUUUCUUAAACACAAAGAAAAGACUUUUCCUUUUCCAAUGAAUGAGUCACUCAAAACCAAACUAUGUUGAAGUUGUUGAAUUCUUCUCAAAUUGCUCACCAAAUGUCGAAGUCUUUAUUCCAAAGUUUGCCAUGCAGGAAAUCUGUUGGUUACAAGUUAAUUCCAAUGGCUGUCCUUCUUCACAUUCACAAUAAAUCAUCAUACUGGAACAAAAUAAAAAAAAAUAAAUAAAACGGGCCUGAAAAGCGAGAAGUAAUACAGUGAAAACAGAUGGUUGUUGUUCUGGGUUAAAUCCUCCACAGUUUGUCUCCAUUUAUCAAAACUGGCAACUUUUCAGAGAUUCAAACCAUCAUAUUUCAAGAAAGUACAAAUUAAACUGGUGUUGGAUCAAAUUUACAGUCUGAACUGGCCUGAACAUUUGUCUCUGGGGACUGCACGAUCCCAAGAGUUACUAAAUUCUGUUAGCAAAGUUUAAAAAGAGAUAUCUUCUCUCUUUUAGCCCCGCGUGAACAGCGAGAGGAGUUUUCAUACCAAACUGAGACUGAACAGAGUGUGUUGGUAAUGAUUUCAGUCCUGAGCUGAAUUUUCCUGCAUUCAGAUCAAAGCAGCUCCUCCAAUCACAGCUCUUUGAAACCAUCAAAGACGCACAAUUAAAAUGGAGCAAACUUUGUGUUGUUUGUGUGUGUGUGUGCGUUUCUUUUCUUUUGUCAUCAGGCCUCAGAUCUGAUAUCUAUGUGGUGGGGAAACAUGUGGGAUGGUCAGAGAGAGAGAGAGAGGGAGGGAUGAAAGCAGGAGACACAUCUGGUCAUCUGCAGAGUUACGCCUCCCUAAGGAGCUCCUCCGAGCAGCUCCUCCAGCUCUUGCUACCCCUCUCUUAAUUAGACAGGUAGUCUGAGAGGCUCAUUUGCAGGUCAGAUUCACUGGAACUUGUUUGAUCCACGACGGCCUGCAAUGUCAGGAUACAGAAAUGAAACACCUCCAUGCAAAACAGGCCGAAAUUGGAGGUUUUGCUCAUUAAUUUUGGCUGGAUGAGGCGUAGGUCGUGUCAGAGGGGAUUGUUAAAUAUUUCCCUGAAUAUAAAUCAGCUCCGACUCUCCUGAAGCUUUGACUCUCUGCACAGUUUUGUUUGUCAGAUAAAGCAGAGUAUGAUAUCACAGCGUCUUGCCUGCGCUUUCAUUAGUAUGCCAUCAAAGCAGCGUGGACACAAGGCCACAGUCAGGCUGAAUAAUAAUCGCAGCGAGGCGCUUUCAUGCAAACAGGGCGCAAAGAAGCUAUAAUGCUGUGCAAACAUGCCAAAGGUGUCAUCAGGCCUACUGCACAUCUUCUGUACAGUUAAUUGAAAGUAAGACCUCUCCUGCAUGGCAAACACCUCUUUGUGUGCACACUGUUAUUAACGCACAUCUUCAUCCUCUCAGGCAGACAGAAAACAGCUUUACUGCUGCAUAUGCUGAAAAUAUUUGGUGUAAUUUAGAUUUUUAAAAAAGCGCUUUCUCUGGUCUGAUAAAAUCAAAUGUUAUCAGGAGAUUGAAGGCUUUUCUCGUGCAAGCAAUGACGUUAAAUAAACACUGUGUCUAUUAAGAGGGCCGUCCUCUAUCAGCCACAUGCAGAAGAGGGUAAACAAGAGAGCUCUUAAACUUUUAUCUGAUUUUCAUUUCAACACAAUUCACUCCCAAUUAUGCGCAGAGACGUUUUUAGAUCCAUAAUUUAGAGAUUUAUCUGCAGUGUGUCCAUGAAUUAAAUCCAGUUUUAUUCUAAAAGCAUUCGAGGCUGUAAAAAGCACUGCAACGUGUCACAAACAAGUUAUUCAUCACUUCUUUUGGAACAAAAUAUACUGAAUUUGUCCAUAUUUCCUCACUAAUCCUUUAAUCUUCUUUUUCCACAACUAUCACAGUCCCCAGUCUUGAAAAAUCACUUGCAGUCAAAUGCAUCUAUAAAUCUACCUGUAAAACGACUAUAAAUUUACAAGAUCCCGCAAAAGCAAGCCUUAUGUACUGCCAAUAAGACUGAGUAUCAAACUCUCAUGUUAUGAAAUUUAAUGACUUGUUUUAUCACAAAGCAACACAAAUAACGUUGAGAGCAAAAUCAAAAUCCCUUACUGACUCUGUGCGAAAGUCCGUUCAGUUGAGGUCAGGCGUCUGAGUGUGCACUACAAAAGCUAAAAAGGGAUUAAAUGAAGAUGUGUUCUGGUUGGGGAUAAAUUCAGGAAUGAUGAUGUUGGAUUAAAUAUCUUUUAGUUUUCAAACAAAUACCGAACAAAUACUACGACUGCUAUUCAUGCCGCUUUCGAAUGUGACGCUUCCCUAAAUCCCUAAGUCUGGACCUGCUGACUUUAGUUCAGCUGUGACUAUUUGACUUUUUUAUUUACAGUAAAAAGUUGUUCUGGUUGCUGUAAAUGUCAUGAUCUUGAUCAUCUUGACUCUUGAUGGUGGAAUGGUCUCUUACAGGACUCAAAUUUAGCCCGAAUUUUCUUACCUUUAAAGUCGGGCGUCUCAUCUAUAUUUCAUGUUUUACUGGUCAAACGUUCCUGCUAAUGAGAUAAACCCAUAGACUGUAUAUAGAUUGGAUGCCGUUUGCCUCCAUGCUGAUGGAAGCCACCAUGAGAACAGCACCCUGUGGUGACUGGCUGCAGUGUAAGUCAUUAAUCCCGCCUCCUCCAGCAAUCCCUAUGGAGCUGUGGACAAACUUUAGAAAUGUAUUACACAGAAUAUAAUUUCUUCUCCCCUCUGCUUGCGAUGUUAACAUGUAGUUACUGUAAAGGUCCUCACACACCGGGACUGUUUUUUCCUGCGAUUAUUUCGGACGUCAAUAUAUUUUUUCAAACCCGUAUCCUGUCAAUACAAGCGUUCACAUCAGCGACGUUUUCCAUCCUGCGAUAUUGCAGCAUUUAUUUUUUCAUAUCACAUAUGUCUAAUUUUCUAAAGUUUGGUCAGAAGUGGACACACAGUAUGCAAUCAGAUUUUGUGUUGUUGCAACGUCUGAUUCACCAGUAUAUCCAACAUGGCAGACCAGCUGAUUGUUUACAUGUCAGAGAACAGAGUGCUUUUUGAUAAAAGACACAAACAUUACAAAGAUAACGACCCGAAGGACAACUUGUGGAGAGUCAUAGUGUCGGAUUUCUCAUAUGACGAUGUUUUGUGCGCUUUAACAGUUUGCUAAACGUCUUUGUUUUAACUUUCAUCUGUGCUAAGUAACUUUAGCUCUUAAUCUAACCUGUUCAGAUACAACAUACCAUAUGUAUUUUCACUGUCUCAAACUCAAUCGCGUUCCACCAGGGACGCACCUUUUUUCCCCAGGAAAGUCGCUAAAUCGCAUCGGGCUGGAUGUGUAUAGUCAGGUGCGUCAAAAUUCGCCUCUGAAUAUUUCGUAAUGUUGCGUUGUAUAUUUGCGUCGUUCCCGGUGUGUAAGGAACUUAAGUCUGGUUUGUGCUUAAGUCCUCUUUUUUUCUUUGAAGCUCCAUUUUUAAAAGUUAUUAGGGGGUUCACGUUUCCUCUGAUUGACACUUGAUACAGCCUAUGGGUGUACGAUGAUUGCGUAGCUCACCCGGGAAUACGCUGUUUGAGCCAAGUGUCACCACAGGGACUCUCAGCGACUCUCCCACCGAAUGCGUACAACGCUAUUGUGGAAGUGGUGGUUCGGCUUCAAAUUUGUACAAUGACGGAAGGUGGCACCAACUUGUCCAAAGUAUAUACAAUCUAUGGGUAAAACAAUCUUAAAAAUAGCGCUCAGUCUACAUGUGCCCACUCUCAAUGAGUUACGGCGACUUGUUGGACAACUAUUCUCGUCCUUUUUCUUAGCCUUGGAUCGUUGACUCAGACUUGUAAUUUGUAACUCACCUGGUUUCUGUUAGCUCUCUGAAAGCGCAGAAAUAAUGAGUUUCUGCAGAAAUAAAAAAGAACAGAAAAGGUUGCAUAAAAGGCUGACACAGCUGAGAACACACAGAAAACCCUGACAAACUUCAUCAACACAGAAUGAAAAUAAAUCCUAAACAAACGAAGGAAAAAAAAUCCAACUGCACAUUUCCUGUCGAGCAUCAAAAGUGCUCUCUGUAACCUCUCUUCAAUAAAGCUAUUCAUCAGUGUCAGGGCUGUGCUCCGGUCCCUGUCAACACCGCUUCACCUUCACAAGAUAAAAGAUGCUCGUUUUCUCUGUCAUUGUCUCGCUAUUGAACGCAGCCCGCUCCCUCCAUGGGUCGACCUUGGCCUGCUGCAGCCUACCUGAGGUCAGCCUAUCAUCACACAGCCAGGACGUUUAGCCAGUCUAGGAAAACACUCUCCACUGCCUGAACGCUGGAGUCCAGAGAUAACACCAGAAAACGCUAAAUGAGCUGCUUUCUUUCUGCAGACAUGUACCUGACUUCAGCUCAAUCAAUCAGAGCUGUGAGGGACUUUAAGCCGCAGCUAUAUCACUAAUCCGCAGCUACAAGCGCCGCAGCAUUAAGAUGAAUCUGCUGCAAAUUGGAUGUUGCAGAGGGGACAAUGCUAUCUGCGCUCCAGGGUUAGAUUGCUUCUCAACUGUUCCUCAUUAGAGCACAAUCGCUUCGGGCUUCUCACCGGACAGGCAGGCUAUACGAUGCUGUUAAGACUAGAGGAUCCACGGGGCAGAAAUUAGAGGCCGUUCACCAGCUAACACUCUGAAACACAUUAGCGGGAGACAAGCACAGUGAGACAGAAGGACCUGCUGAGCGGCUAAAAGCAAACAAGACACUUUAAAGUGGGAGCGAGUGGCUUUGUUUGUUCCUCUCUAAAACACCAGUGAAUUCUUUUAGAGGUCUAAAUGCUCUAAUAGAUAGAAAGACAGCGGCAAAGUAACACAAACUAACAUUAAAUUCUGUGGAAACUAGUUUGAUCAAAAGUUCUGGCAAUGAAGAAAAUAGGAAAACAGCAGCUUAACAGGUUUUUUAGCUGAGCGGGCUGUGAUGGAUCAAAGGCGAUUUGAUUAUAUGAACUGCAGGCUAUGGCUGGAAUAACAUCCCAAAACAUCAUCUUAAAUCAGUUUAUCAUCUACUCACUGAAAAGAUGUCAACUAUUUUUGUAUAGCUCCAGCCUGCAGCCACAAAACAGGCUGCAAAGGCUGCCAAAUAAAGUCCAACAAGAACACAAACCAACUCACAAGUAGAGGUAUACCAGCAACUCUUGUGCCCUGUGAGGUUUUUAUUGUGUGACAUUACAAAUUAUUGUACAAGGAUGUAUUCUGUUACCUUUAAAAGUGGUCUCAAUUUCAAUUUCUACAAAUAAAGGCAGAGGUAGACCAGCAACUCCCAUGUCCUGUAGGGUGCUUAAGCUCUGCUUGGACUGUUUCUAUGUUUUUGUUAAACAUAACUUUGAAAAUUAUUGUACUAACAGUUAUUCUGUUACUUUUAAUAGUGGUUUAAAUUUCCACAUAUAAAAGCAGAAGUAGAUCAGCAACUCCCAAGUCCUGCUUGGACUGUUAUGUUUUUGGAUGACAAAAAUUUGCAAAUUGAUUUACAAAGACUUAUUAUUUAAGCUUUGAAAUGGUAUUUAUUUUUACUUACAAACUCACGUCAAAGCAGAGGUAGACCAGCAACUCCUGUGUUCUUGGGCUUAAUUACCGGGUUUUGUCCCAUUUGGAUGGUUUAAUAUCUUUUUCUGUUAUCCUGUCAGCUUUGAUCAGGACUUUUAUAUGAAACGAAACAAACCAACCAACUAAUCGAAGCAACUAGACCAGCAACUCCUGUGUUCUCUUGAGUUCCUGUUUUUGUCAAUGAAGUUUUGUCUCUUUGAAGACAAUUAUGCUAUCUCUAUUUCUCAACAAAAUCAACAUGAAGAGUCUAAAAAGGGUCUACCAAUGAGACACUGGGAGUUGUUUCAAAUGUUUCGAGAAGUGAUUGCCAAAAUCCCCAACCAUCAAACCCCAAAUAAAAUUGUAAGACAGUGGUGACCCCUGAUGUACUUUUAGAAACUAUAUUUGUAUCUAUAUUUUCAUAACAAUAAAGAAAAAUUACAAUUUUAAAUAAUUUUGAAACCCCCUCUUUAUUUUCAUUUUUUAAGACACUGUGAUGCCUCUCCUUCCCACGUCAGUGUCUUGUCUUCUUUUAAACACAUCCAUCACUGACAUAAGCAUAAAGAAUAGAAAACCCAUCAAGGCAGCGAUACACCGACAACUCCUAUAUCCUUUAAGGUAGAAGAUGAUCUGAUGUUAAUGUAAUGCAGUGUCAUAAAAAGUGGUGGAACAGCUGUUUCUGUUUUUUUUUUUGUUUUUUUUCUUAAAUCCUCUUAAAUCACCAAAAGCUCAAUUUCUGAAGGGAUCCUUUCUGAAAUACCAUCGAACUCCUGAGAUAAUAAUCUUAACCCUUUGAUGCGCAACAUAUCCACACCCCCUCUAAUGCGCAACAUGGGUCUAAAAAGACCCGCAUUCAUUUCCAAUGGUAUUUCAUGCUGGCUGAGUUUUUCUUUGUUCUAUCUUUUGAAAUAAGUUUAUUUUCUGAUUGAAUAUUCCAAGUAUUCUUUAAAUAUCUUGUUUUUGAUCACCACUGAUUAUUAUUUCUAUUUUUCUUUUCAUACUUUUUGAAAUAAUAUAGUUUCUAUAUUAUUACAUCAAGUUUACACACAUGGGUCAAAAACGACCCAUUCAUCCAAGUGUGAUUUAAUAUUGAAUUACCUAACACUAUAAUAAUAAUUUGUUUCAAGUAAUGAAAUUAGCAGAGAGUGGGGCCAAACCAUAGACUGUAUAUACUAUGGACAACUUGGUUCCGUCUACCGCCUGUGUACCGAUUGGAGCCAAAAAGCUCUCGGUAUUUCCGGGACUUUUCUACAUUUCUGAAACCAGAGCUGCGCAGUUGCGAUGCGUGCAUUCGGCCGCGCAGUCGCUGAGAGUCGCUGUGAUGACGCUCGGCUCAAACAGCGUAUCCCCGGAGAGCUACGCAAUCCCUGAACGCCCAUAGGCUGUAUCCAUAGACUGUAUAUACUAUGGACAACUUCAUUCCGCCUACUGCCUGUAUACAGAUUUGAAGCCAAAUAGCUCUCGAUAUUUCCAGGAUUUUUCUUCAUUUCCUGAAACCAGCGCUGCGCAGUAGCAAUGCGCGCAUUUGGCCGCACAGUUGAAGAGAGUCGCUGUGAUGACACUCGGCUCAAACAGCAUAUCCCCCGGGAGAGCUACGCAAUCCCUGAACGCCCAUAGGCUGUAUCAGGUGUCAAUCAUAGAAAACAUGAACCCCUAAUAACUUUUAAAAAUGGAGCUUCACAGAAAAAAGAGGACUUGAGCACAAACCAGUCUUACAAUAACUACAUGUCAACAUCACAAUCAGGAGGGAGAAAAAUGUAUAUUCUGUGUAAUAAAUUUCUAAAGUUUGUCCACAGCUCCAUAAGCUUUGCUGGCGGAGGUGGGAUUUAUGACCUAUACUGCAGCCCAUCAACAGAGGGUGCUGUUCUCGGAGUGGCUUCACCCAGCGAGGAGGCAGACACUGUCCAUUCUUUAUACAGUCUAUGGGCCAAACACUUUUGUAUUUUGUAUUAGCAACAUGUUUAUUUGUCAUUUUGUCACAUACACAUGCGUCUGAUUAUAGCUAGCUGAAAUAACGCUAGCUGUUUUACCUGUAACUGUGUAACUUUCCAACAUAUAAUGUCCUCACUCUCAAGGUAACCUAAACCUAAUCAAAUCAAAUCUAUGUACAAUUAUAUUUCACAACUGUCAUCAAAUAAUUUAAAGAUAAUGUCAGAACAAUUGAAAAACCAUACUUACAUGUAUUAGACGGUCUUUUCAUGCUAAAUGCUACAGUCACUGUAUGUGGGUCGUUUCUGACCCAUGUAUGUAAACUGUAAAAAACUGUGCUUCCUCAUAACGUAAGAAAGGAAAAAUAAAAAUUAUUAUUUGUGCUCAACUAAAACAAUAUCUUUAUUGCAUACUUGGAAUACUAAAUGAUAAAAUUAAUUUAUUUCAAAGAUAUACCAUAGAAACACUCAGCCAUACAUGAAAUAACAUUGAAAAUGGAUACGGGUCAUUUUAGACCCAUGUUGUGCAUUAGAGGGGUAGUGAUACAAAAACGGUUUUUCUUCUAAAAGUAAAAAAAGAAAAAUUAACAAAAGGAUGUAGGGUCGUCAAAAACAAGUUAAUUGAGGAAUUCCUUGAGUACCGACUGAUGGAAUUAAUUUUUUGAAAAGAUAUAUAAAAUUUAAACUCAGCCGGGUCUUUUUUGACACAUGUUGCGCAUCAAAGGGUUAAGAUAAAAACACAACCUUUUAACACAUCCUUUGAACUAUUUUGCAGCCAUUACAGCCAAUCGUACUGUUGCUCUCUGAAAUAUCUGCUGUAAAAAUGCUGUAGCUUUGUCUAUUAGGUCAUUCAGAUCCCAGAUUGUAUGUUAAUGGGACCCUCAGAUCAUACGCUUUAAACACACUGUGUUUGCAAACCUCAUAUAUACAAAAAUGUCAAUCCCUCAAUGGGAAAAAAUAAAUAUCUGAAGCCACAAUAGCCUGAAACAUCGGCUUUAUUUGCAUGUAUUCAAAAUCAUUUGGAAAAAUCCUGUUUGCAUGUGUCUUAAAUCAAUGAAAGGCUCUUACAGACUGUGCUAUCCCCCCCUCUGUGUAAACUCCCUGGACUCUGCCCCCUCCUCCCCCCCCUCACAGUGCGAGGAAUCCCAGUGAACAUGGCGGAUUUCACACAGCGUAUUAGCGGCGAGUCUUAGAGAGUGAGAUUAUUUAUACAGAGGACACUGACAGGAGGACUGGGAGAGGAAGAGAAAGGGAUGACAUCCACUAAAGAUCAUGAAUCACAUCCUGAUCUCUAACAGGAUUAUACGGUCUGACUGCGGCUUUCAGAGCCAGCAGAGCGAAGCAGCAAUGAUGACACUGAAGCUUAUGAUGUUAGAGUCGAGCAAACUGAUGCGGGGUCACUCUGCAGCCAUCAGGGAUGAGACAAAGUCAAUGCUGAUCAGAGAAAUUGUUGUAAGCGGUGUUGUUUUUCAUAAUUUUCUGUACUGACUCUUCAGAACUGUGUGAGUAGGAAAUCAAAAAGACACACAACUUAUUUUAGGAGUUCAUGCACAUGGUAAAAGCAGCAGGAUGCACAGACACCUGUAAAACAAAAGGACAUUUGUCUUCUAAAAUGCACAUUGCAAAAUUUACCAUCCAGGUGUCAUUUAAAUCACUGUUCAUUUGGAUAAAGUCUACAACAAUUCUAACUUCUUUUUGCUCAACUUAUGCAGACAUGAGAGAAGGUUAUACGCCGAUUGUUCUACGCCCAUCUAAACCUUAACGUAUUGUGUGUUCUGAUCCUGGACUUUCAAACUAGUUAGUUCAUUAUUAGGAUUUCAUUAUGUUAUUUCAGAAGACCUGGAAUGUCAUUUAGAAUCAUGUAGCAUCCCCACAAUGCUAUCAUAUAUACCUGUAUGUAAACAAGCAGAGCUGGUAUCAUGUAGUAGUGAUGGGAAUUACAGCUCUUUUUAGUGAGCCAGAUCAUUCGGCUCAGCUCACCAAGAAGCUCCAAAAUGGCUCUUCAUUUUACCACUUAUAGACUUUCCGAUUCAGCUAAAUUUAGCGUUGUUUGGCUCAUGAUGUGUAUUUGUGCACAUACCACUGAAAUAAUUCAAUACAUCCUUUGUACUGAAGUAUUCACAAGGAAAAAUUAUGUUUUCUAAUAUCAGUAAAUUGCUGUAGCCAAUUGUUUUCAUUGCAAUUACAGACCCUUGUAACUCUCUGAAACCACCUAAUGAAUGCACUUGACUUGAUGACUUGCUAGAACCACUCUGCUACACAAAGCAGAUAGAAGUCCCGUCAUUCUGCCUUGUAGUUAUUGUCUACUGGUCUGAGGGAAGAAAAGAGAGAGAAAAAAAGAGGAAAAAAAAACGGUCCAUAGACGGAAGCCGGCUCUUUGAACCAGUUCGUUCAUGACCGACACAGUCCAGUCUUCGAGGUCCACUGUCCUGCAUGUUUUGGAUGUUUCCCUGCUCCAACACACCUGAUUCAAAUGAUCAGCUCGUUAUUACAGAUCUUGAUAACGAGCUAAUCAUUUGAAUCAGGUGUGUUGGAGCAGGGAAACAUCCAAAACAUGCAGGACAGUGGGCCUCGAGGACUGGUCUUGAGAACCACUGAUGUAGCACAUCAUGGUUUGUCAGUGGGGAUAAAGUUGAACAUAGGGUGUGUCUGGUUAAACUGAUUUAUAACUACGUAACCAGAGCAAUGAGGGCUCAUGACAGGCCUGUGAAUGCUGGACUGAACCAGACUGAAUUUGAUUGGAUAAAAUAAGACUGGAUUGGACUCGAUGAAUAGUACUGGAUGAAUCUGACUAGAUUGGACUGGAUGGGACUUGAUAAAUGAAUUGGCCUGGACUGGACUGGGUCAGACUGAAGUACAUGGUGUUUGAUUGGACUGUAUUGAUUCAAACAGGGCUGGACUGGACUGGACUGAAUUUCAUUGAAUUUGGGUGAACUGGACUGCAUUGAAUUGGCCUUAGAGGAUUGGUUUGGACUGAAGUGGAUUGGACUGCAUUCGACUCGCCAGAUUGGACCAGGCUGGAUUGGUUUGGAUUGGACUUGAUUAGACUGGAGAAGUAUUUUGUAACCGAGGGAUACUGUGGUUUUCAACAAAGUCCAUUCCAGUGCCAUAUCAGUACACAGAUAAUGCUCAUAAUAAACAGACAUAAAUUCAUACAUAAGAUUUAAAUACAGACAUCCUGUUAAUGUCAUUAUAGUAGCUUUACAGUCAGUAAAACGACAGUACUUUGUAUUUGUGGAAUAGUCUAAAGUCAGAGGAUUUUGAGGGAGUGUUUCAUGUUCUUUUCCUUGAACUAACGUAAAAAAAAAAAAAAAAAAAAAAAGAAAAUCUCCUCACAGACUUCACAUCCAUCCAAAGUUUGUGUGUGUGUGUGUGUGUGUGUGUGUGUGUGUGUGUGUGUGUGUGUGUGUGUGUUUAUUGAAAUAGUAGAGAGCACUGCAUUUUGAAAAUGUUCCAUCUGGUUGUACACACAGUGAUAUCAAACAAGUGCAGCGUGAGAAAUGAACUGCAGUAUCAGUGAAGCAGAUAGAGGGGUGGAGGGACAGGAGGUGUGUGAGUGAUUGAGGAGGCAUUGAGAGGAGGCUGCAGUGUUUGUGCACAUACUCCUUCACCUCCUCAAACCGGCGUCUUAUCUACGGCUUGUUUGGAGUGGAAGUUUCAGGAAGUUUGGGGAGAAAAAGUGGGGCAGGUAGACUUACAAAGACCCGUCACUUUUCUUUAUAUAGUCCACAGCCGGUCCAGAAUAUAGAUCAGGUUGCGGCACAGUAUCUGCUCCUCUGUUCUGUCCUUCAGUGGCGAGGGGAAGGACAGGAAGACAACGGGGGAAGGGGGGAGUAUCUUUUCCGCGGUGGAGUCCUAGAAAACUUGGUCCAUCGAAAAAGAAAACAAAGUAGAACAUUUUUGAACGCAUUGAUUGGAGGAAGGAGAAACCUAAUCGCACUUGGCAAAGCACGAAAACAUGCCCUUCAAAUAUAAUGUUCGCCUCAUUUUCUGAACAGAACGUCCUCUUAUUAUAGCACAGGGAUAGAAACCAAGACAUCUUUGCUUGUUCUGAGGUCUUUUAUGCAAAGAGACACUUUAGAAAAUCUAUACUUUGUCCUCCUCAAACUGAACUUUCACUUUACUUAAGCUUUGGCAUGAAAAUAAUGAAUUCCCUUUCAUUUAAGUUGUCCGCGCUGAACCACAUUUCCAGGCUUGUACAGAAAUGAUCUUGGACCUGAUUGAUGAUUUCUGCAGAGGGAUUUGUUUCUUUAUGAUAUAAACAGAAAGGCUAAAGGUCAUUACACACCGGGGGCGAAUUAGCAAAGCGAAUAAUUUCCUUUUACUAAACCUCACAAUGUCAGUGCAAGCUUCCACACCAGCUACGAACUUCCGCAGAGCGGAAAAGAGACUUGCGAACAUUUGCUUUUAAUCUAUAGCCUUGCAUAAAUCUUACCUCAGACAUAUCAGCUCUCUAUAAUUCGUCCGCUCCCUCUGCAAACUUGGAGUCACCUGAUAAAGCAGUUCUUGAAAUUGUCUGAGGGACAUUCAGAAGUGUUGUUGGAAUUUCUUGGGAUACAAUUUGAGCUCCUAGAUUUUUGUGUAGCUCCCCCAUCUCCUGUCGCAAGAUCAGUAUUGGAUGUACCCAGACACUUUGGUUCUUCUUUUUCUUUUUGUUAUUUAAUAGGCUUACAACCACGAUCAGGUCAUCAUCGCUCGAGGAUGUAGUCGCCGUUGUUUCUCCUUCUUCUCUCGCCCUCUCUGUUCUCCCCCCGUGGCGUAUUUUUAUGUGAAUUUUAUUCGCGUCGCACCAGGUGUGUUUUGGAAAAAGCGUAAGUCGAAUAUUUCGCAUUUUCGUGUCGCUUUUUCGCAUUGCUCCGCUAAUUCGCCAGUGUGUUAUGACUUUAGAUCAGUGGUUCUCAAGUCCAGUCCUCGAGGCCCACUGUCCUGCAUGUUUUGGAUGCUUCCCUGCUCCAACACACCUGAUUCAAAUGAUCAGCUCGUUAGUAAGCCAUAACAGAGCUUGAUAACGAGCUGAUCAUUUGAAUCAGGUGUGUUGGAGCAGGGAAGCAUCCAAAACAUGCAGGACAGCGGGCCUCGAGGACUGGACUUGAGAACCACUGCCUUAAGAGUUAUUAACUGAGUAACCUGACAGCUGUCUUUGCCUGUUUCUAGAUAAGUAACCGGUCAGGUUGGGGUAGAACUUAGAUAUUUGUUUGCGUCUUCUGUUAAAACAUUUUGUAAACAUCUGUUUUUAAAGAUGCCUUAAAAAUACAGCUAUUAUCAUUCUUCUUCUUCUUCUUCUUCUUCUUCUUCUUCUUCUUCAUUAUUAUUAUUAUUAUUAUUAUUAUUAUUAUUAUUAUUAUUAUUAUUAUUUUUAUUAUUAUUAUUAUUAUUAUUAUUAUUAUCAUCAUAAUUAUUAUUACUAUUAUUAUUAUUAUUACUACUAUUAUUAUUAUUGUUGUUAAAUUAAAUAAAAUUAAAUUUUAUUUUAUUUUAUUUUAUUUUAUUUUUCAUGGUGACUGACUACCCUUUAAACCAAUGGAUAGCAUUACAGAGACUCAACAAUGUUUUAUACAGUGUGUGUGAAAAACUUUUUUUUUUUUUUGAGCUGAUGGUAAACUGUUGUCUGUCUCUAAUUUUAAUCUGUGUUCAUUUGGUUUUAUUCUCUGUUCUACCUUUAAAGCACUCUGUCUACUUCUUUAUACCAAUAAUGACUGUUUUCCUCUUCAUUUAUUGUCCUCAUUGUAAAACACUUUCAGCCUCGACAUUCAUCAUAAAUGCCUGAAAUUCCUCACUAUUAUUUGCCUUCAUGUCAAUCACAACAAUGUUUCCUGACUUUAAACACUUGUCAUAAAAGCAGCACCUGCGAAAUGGACUUUGAAUAUUUUGCCACUCACAAAAUGCAAAAUGACCCCUCCCCUAAACACCACAUAGGUUGUUAUGAACUCAAGGUCAGACUCUGUGAAUCAAAGAGAAAACACCCCUUUAGACAGAUUUUAUAGCUUUAAGAGUCUCAGCAGAGAGCUUUAUAGAUCAUGUGAAAUGUUGAGUAUGAGUGCAGAGAGUAUUGACCGCUGAGGGACAAUCUCACCCUACUCUGGUUAAAAGCUUCCAGUGCUUUACUUUGAGUAUAAUACUUCAAUUCUUGUGGUCAGACAGAAGUAAUACUCCGACUUUGCCCUUUAAUCUUUGCGAUUAUUAACCGCUGGAUGUUUUUGGAUGUUAAACACUUUAUUUUAGCUCCUCUCUCUCCAUGUCAGAAGGUCAGUUUUCUCUCGGACAGAGAUAAGGCAGCUUCCCCCGUCAGCGCUGCAGAGGUCUCUGAGCAUGCCCGAUAACGCCGCACCUGCGUUAUCUCUCAUGUUAAAACCCCUCGCCUUGUUAGCAUGCUAAAUGAUGGAUCGUCCUCUCGGAGUAGAAGGGGCUUUGGCUCCCCUGUGGCUCUGAAACCCUCGGCGCCCUGCAAGUCCGAUGAUAGAUUACCUCGCCUUUAUCUGCAGCAGCUGAUUAUUCCGCCUCUAUCAUGAAAGCUAAGUGCGAGCAGGGAUGUGAUCGCCUUGUAAUGUGGCCUGAAAUAGCUUGAUUAUGCUCAGGUUCAUUUUUAUCUGGCUGGAUUACACUCCGCGCAGUCUGUUUGUGCACACUUCAAGUUUGAAAGAUAGGGAUGACUGUCGCUUACAUUCUGCAGACGUUAUGCAUUAAAUCUAAUCAACAGUGAACAUGACAGGAAUUAAAUAUCCUCCUCAUAACUUCAUCAGUGAGAGUGACCUCUUUAAACCGUCCAUCACAGUGUUAUUAAGCCAACAAUCACUCACACAGUAAGAAACUAAUUACAGGACAUACUUUAAAAGGAAGGGAGGGGCUUCUUACAAGAUAGUCUAUUAUCACAGUCAUUAUUAAUAAUCACAGCUGGACUCUAUUAAAGCAUAAAACCAUAAUAAUUCAGUGUUAGGUCUGACCUUCAGCCAGGAGUGACAGCUCACAUAAUCUGAUGACACACUUGUCAUCUUUAAUCAUCAGUGUGUGUGGUGUAAAAAUGCUGCAUUAAACAUGCAGGUUAAAAUGAUCAGUCUGAUGAAAACAUGCAGGGUACCAACAUCCAAUCAGAGGCCCUGCGUUUCGAAAUAUGAUGAGAUGGGAGCCUCCCGUGUCUGAUGGACUCAGAUCUUUUUUGACUGUUACAGAUUUCUGUACAAUACUACUCAAAACUGUGAGAAAUAUGAUUUAUAGUCUGCAGAUUCUUGCAGCUUUGUAUAGUAAUUCAACACAGUUGGGUGACAAACAAAACAAAUAAAAAACAGAGUCAGACAACAUUUUUUCAAUUCGGUUUGAAUUUCACAAACAUGUUGCCAAACCAGUGAUAAAAUCCAACUCUGACAAAGCCGAAAGAAAAUUAAAGCUGCAAACAGCAUUCAGCCAGCUCUUAUAUCUUUGCACAAAAUAGGGAGUGUUACAGUCACAGCAGAGGACGCUGAGCACACACAGCUAUCAACAAGCAAACAACAUGGGAGUAUAUUGAAUAUUUUGCAUGCAUUUCAGUACUGGCUUGUUCCUGCAAGUUAUACUAAAUGGUAUAAAGGACUGAAUUUGGGAAAUCUGGAGCAGACUGAACAUUGUAUCUAAGAGUUGAUACUAGUACUUUACAGCAGGCUUCCUCAGUAGAUUAAGUCUGAGUCAGGAUUGCCAGCAUACAUGGAGACUCUAGAGCAGACUGAACACUGUAAAAGAGUUAUCAAAAGGGAUUCCCAUCACGAAGUACAAAUGGGACUCUCACUUAGCAUAUUGCCAAGCUUGGACCAGGACUGCCAUCAUACACGUUAAAUCUGGAGCAGAUUGAACAUUGCAAUUUUUUUGUUUUCCUGACACAAAUUUUUUGCAUCUUACCACAGCUAAACUUUUUGAUACCAGCUCAGGAUUUUAAUAGAUUUUCAUCCUAAUUGCAUGCCAAACAUAAUGACUAUGGUCACUUUCACACCUGACCAAGUGGACUCGGUUCGAUUGGGGAGCUGAAAGUCGCAACAUAGUUGCAUUUAUCACUUGUUUCGGUUCUGCUUUCAUACUGUGAAUUACACUAAAGUGCACCGAACUUUCCGAGCAGCAUUACGAGGCUUAAAGGGGCGCUUGUCGAUUGGACAAAUUGUGAAUUUAUGGAUUAUUGUUGUUCAGACAAUUGAGCGAAGCUAGCUAGCAACUGAACCAAACCAGGGUUCACUUGCAAGCGAACCAAGACCCACGUUUUCAGGCAGACCAGAGAUCGCUUGUUUGGUCCGCACCAGAGUUCGGAUGAGUUUUCACACUUGCCCAUACAAAGUGGACUAUUCGAGGAAACAAACUGUGGUCCGUUUAAAGCGGACCAAACAGCUCUGGUGUGAAAGCGGCCUAUGUUUGAUGAGGAUCUAAGGAAAAAGCUUUAAAGCAGUUCAAGUGCAGACAAUAAUCUUUCAAAGACAUCAGAAUAACUGAUUACCUGUCAGGCUUUAGAAAGAGGUGCAAAUGUUUGUAGGUCUUGGCGUAGUGGGUUCACCUGCCAAAUUGCACUUAUGUACUUUUUGUUUUGGUUUUGGUCACUGGUUUGAAGAGGUUUUAUAAACUGUGAUGAAUAUUCAUACUAAAUUGCUUACAUUUAGGUGAAAGUAUCACAAUGCAGACACCCUUAUUAAAAGUUUUGGGAGCCUGUUUUCUCUACACAGACUGUGUUGCUCCUGCGCCAGACAAAACCAUCUUUAUGUAUCAGUGAUAUUAAGGAAGCCUUUAGAUGUAAACAGCAUUCAAAGGUUGUUAAGGGGCAAGAAAGCACAUUACAAUUCUGGGGAGAAAUAAAAAGAAAUAAAUAAAGUUCUCAUUUCUGUAUCAAAACUGCACUGUUGUGAUAAAACAAGGCUGUUUUUCAGGGUUUCUGCAGAGCUGACAGCUGGAGUUUGAAGAUUUUCUCCUUUCAGCAAUGAUGUAUGAGUGUAAUAAAGCUCUGAGAUAUGCAGAGAGGUGAAAUACAAAAUAUUUAUCCAUGAAAUCUAGAAAAACAAAAGUAGAUAUAUAUAUAUAUUUUUUACAUAUACUCAGGUAAAUGAGCUGAGUCUCGCCCUGCUUUCUUUUCUGCUUUGUAGUGUCAGGUUUUAGCAGGAAGAGCUGACAUCUUUACUCUCCUUAUGCCCGGAGGGGAUUUCACCAAAGACUGUGUAAGAGGAGGAACACUCUGAGAUAAAAGUCUGCUUCUCUUAGAGUGACUCUGUUCAUAAAUCAGACCUGGUAGAUGAAUGCAAACUCCAAAUCACUGAUGGCAGAAAAUACAAGAAACAGAUCUGCCGUCAUUUAGCAUCACAGAGUGAGAGCCGAUGAUUUAGUUUGAUGAUUACACGGAUACAAAGGCGGGGAACAGACAAUGAGGUUUGUAGUUUCAUUAACAAAGUUACAGCUGCAUCCUGGCAGUAGACUACAGACUGUAGAGAGAGUGAUUUAGCCUUCAUUAGUACAAAUGUGCUCAAUCUGCAGUGGUGAAAUCUGGUUUGAUUUGGAGGAACACUAAACCUGACACUCUAUUACAGUGACCAACAGGAGCCCAAAUGAGAUCCUACCGGAGAAACAGGCUCAAACUUUAAACUUUGUUCAGUUUGUUUAUCUGUCUGAUGGAUUAACGGCAGAAAACUCUAUUAUUUUGUGAAAAUUAAAAAAAACAAAAACAACAACACACAGUUGAAUGGUCUUUUAUUCAAAAUAAACACACGUUAUUUUAGCCUCCAGCUCCCAGAGACACAGGUGAAAAAACAGAUAACAUGUUGUGCACAUUAUUCCACAAGACAUGCAAUCAUACACACUUUAAUAAAACACACACACACACACACACACACACAUGCAGGAGCAUAAGAAAACACCUAUGUGAAUUGUGUGUGUGUCUGGUAGAGAUAAACUCAGGUACGGCUGCAGAAAAUGACUCUGUUAUUGAGCUGUGAAUGGAGGCCUGUGGGGGGUGAUGACAGCUCUUCUUCCUCUGCGUCUUCAUCUCCACGUUGUAUUAACACGACUUUACAUGGAGCUCAUGUUCGCCGCUGACACAACCAGCUGUGUGUGUGUGUGUGUGUGUCUGCCGAGGCUGCGUUUGUGUGCGUGCAAUAGAAAUACAUGUCUCUGAAAUCAGCUGCAAUGAAAACAAGCUGGGAGAAAAUCUAUAGAAUUAUUCAUGGAGACUUUUUUUUUUUUUUUAUCGUGCAGAAAGGUGACAGCAGGGGGCCACACACACACACACACACACACACAUAUACACACUGUUAUACACACUAACACACCUGGGCCCUGUGGUACAUUUGUGAGAUGAGAAAAUAAAGCGAAUCAAUAUCCCCUCUGUUGAUGCCGUGUGGCAGAGAUUGAUACUCUGCUGCUGCGCAUGAAAUAUGCAUGCAGCUCUGAAUCUAAAAAUAUUGUUUUAGUUAAACCCACCCGUUCGGCUGCAGAAAACUUCUAGAUUGAGUUACAGGCAGAUAAAUAUAUACUGUAUAAAUAUAUACACAGGAGCCUGCAGCAUGUAUCGACAAAGACAAUGUUCGAUUGUCUCGUGAUUAGCUCACACAGACAAGAUGGAAACUCCCGGGAUAUCAUGAAAUGCUGAACCCAGAUGAGUUUCUCUGAGAGAGUGCACACAGUUCCAGACCCUGCUGUGCGUGGAUGCAAAUGCAUGUCAAUACCAACACUUUAGGACUAAUGUAGUGGAGCAGGGAUGUUGUUUCCACGGGGAGUAUGAACAAUGGAUGGGUUUCUGUACUGCCAUUUGCUGCUCAUAAACUUCCAUGGUAGAUUUUAACUCUGAUCAAAUCAAUUCAUGGAGCUUUAUCAGCGAAAACCGAACAAUGACAAUGUGACUAAAGCAUUUACACAAAUUAAAUAGGAAUAACAAUAGUCAAAUUAAGAAGAGCAUAAAAAAUACCAAAAUAAGUUAAUGAGUUAAGUACAUUAGUUAGUUAGUUAGUUAGUUAGUUUCUACAAGCAAAAACAGCAGCACCACAUAAUUGUUUUUUGUGUUACUCACAUAUAUGUACAUUUCUGGCUGGUGACAAAAGUCGGACAGAUAGUCUGAGUAGAUAUUUUAACCCAAAGUCCAGAGUGGUAUUGUCUAUGCAAAAAUGCAUUGAAGAAGUAGCACCAGCGUAGUGGAAUGAAAUUCACUUUCUAGGCGAAAGUUUCUUUCGCGCAGUUUCAGAUGCCGUGGACGUGGAUGCAUCGGCGAUGCUGCCUGAAGGGUUCAACUGACCUGCGGCUGCAUCACGUUCUUGUUUCUCAAACGCCUUUUGCAAAUAUAUUGCUGGUACCAUGUCGUGAAACCCAGCGUCAUCAGGAACAUUGUCAAAGUCGAUAUCAACGCAAUGUUAAUAAGUUUCUGCAAGGUCUUUUGUCUCUUUCUGUAGAGAAAGCCACUUUCUAAUACUAGUUCUGUAAGUUUCCCAACGUGUCCUUGUAAAGUCGAGAAUGUCUUCACGCUGGACAGAUGAUAGAUGCAUAUAACAUUGUUUCGUUCCUUUUUGAUGCACUUUUGAAGGCUGUUUUCUUUUCCUCCUGUUCUUUUCUUCCUCUUCGCUUGUCUCGCUGCUAGAUGCGCUCGUCGCCAUAUUUGUGUAUUUCUGAUACUAUGGCAACGAGACUCGGCUCCUAUUGGUCCACGUGACAAAAAUUGCGUUACCCCUCAGCAUAUUCGAUUGCGCGUGUGCAAGUAUCACUACGCCGCAGAAAGGAAAGAGUUCGACACCGAAACACUGAUUACUAAAAAUCGACGGGAUGGCAUGAGUAGAAAUUUUUUUUUUUAGUACUUACUACGAAUAGAGCUAUUUUAUGAAUCACAGUUUAUGUUGCCCCACUAAAGUGGAACGAACUAACACGAUCUCACUCAGCCGAUACAGCCUAUCAAUGCUUCAAGAGGCUUCAUGUUCAAGUUUUUUCUCGAAAUUUUCCACCUUUUUCGAAAUUUUCGACUUUUUUCUUGAAAUUUUUUACUUUUUUUCUCGAAAAUUAAGGGAAAAAAAUCUCUUCAAGUGGCCCUAGUACGCUUCUGUAAUCAUGUUUUUUUUAUCGCAUAUUUAGAUGAUUUUAAUAGUUUUUCUGCUUUCACUUUACCUGCCCAGUAAUGAUGGGAAGAACAUUUCUUUUGCCUGUACUGAAUUUUUAGAAUCCGUUCAUUAAAACGAUUCAUGCAAAAGAUUCGUUCACUGAAUAAGUUAGUGCUACACCAGUGAGUGACACAGCAGCGAGUUCGUUCAAUGAAUGAGCCCCUCCCCUCCCCUUCUCCGAGUAUGAGCUUAAACAGUAUGUCAUAUAUGGAGCUAUAAGAGCUUGAUGAAGAGUCUAUGAUGGAUUUCCAACUAAGUUUAUGAUCAAUUUUCACACCCAGAAGUUUAUUUUUCAUCCACUUUUUGUCUGUCAACAUCAUUCACCCUGAGUUUAACUUGUGUUUUAAUUAUUUAAUCUUCAGCUCAUCUCAAGCUGACCUUCUGAGAACUUUCAGAGCAAACCGCCAAUUCGCACAAAACAUCAUUUAUAAUUCAUGGCAGCGUGAAUAAUAAUACGUCAGAGAAAUGAAUUGCGUUCAUCGCAAUUUGCAGUUGAAAUAUAAUCCCAGCAAACUGUGUCAGAUCUAAGAGGACAUACCUCACCCACAGAUUAUUUUCUACACACACAUGCAUGUUUCUCUUUGACCAGCAGCUGCAUGUUGAACUGUCAACAGGAAGAAGAUGAAUGCAAUCAUGAACGUAAGCCGAUAAUAAAAGAGACGGACAACAGUAGAUGCAGAUUUGAAGUCAGAUCGGCUAAGAAGAAUUCAGCUCUACUUACAGUAUGACUCUAAAUCAGGCUCUAAAUUAUGAUUUAAAUCUCAUUUUUUCCUAACAGUGUUUAAACACAUAUUUCCAGCACCUUCCCUCCCUUCUGUAAAUGCACCUGUAGAUCCAGCCCUGCUGUGCUCUGAGAUAAAGUCUGAUUUAAUCUGCAGGAAGCCUCACAGAAAUACUUUAGAAAGAUAAACCUGACCUGUUUGAUAGCAUCAGUCUGCUAAAUGAGGAGAGGAUGAUAAAACUGAUGGAGGCAGCCAGUGAAGAACUCCAACCCCUCCAGCUUUUUAUCUUUACAUUUAAACCUGGUGUCGAGCUCCCUAUCAAGCACAAAAUGUCCAAUGAUUUAAGAUUCCCAUGUUAAAAAACACUGAAAGUGGAAAAAUGAGAGGUUAAAUAAUGUUGUCAUUUACUUUUUUUAGCCUCAGUGGGAAAUUUUCUGAGGACCCUGUGGUAUAAAACUCUGAGCCAAAAACAACCUCAGAAUCCAUAACCUGCAGGGAUUUGAAGGUGAGGCAGAGUGUGGACUAGAGGUGAAAAAAAAGGCUGGAUUCUAGGAAUGAGCAAGCUUCAUAAUCAAAUAAAAUACCCUACUUUAACCAAUAACUGCAAUUUAACUCUAAGGUUAGUUCAGCUUCAGUUCUGGAUUUUCUUGACUAUUUUUUAAACCUGCUCCAUGUCUAAUUUUAAAAAUAAAUGCUGUGUUGCUACGUAUCUAAGACAAAGGGUCCAAUACUUUGGGCUCUAUUUUCGUGCCUCGCCGGCAGCGUGGCGUAGGCGCGGCGUAAGUCAGGUACACCGCACCGACAAGGUGUGCCCAAGCACAUUUUGGUGAGCGGCGCAGCCCGGCGUAAGCAUCCCCUCUCCCUAACUCAGCUCCUCCAAGCAGUGUAAGUCAUAGAGAGGGGGAGGAUAAGGCGCGGAGUGGGUUUAACACAGCCGAGACCUGUUUUCGCCAAUCAUAUCAGCUCCUCUCCUCAUCUUUAAAUCCGCCACCAGCGAGGCGUAUUACAAUUUUCGUGAAGUAGUCAAAGAGAUCAAGAGAUGUCUGAAGACAGCAAUGCCACACAAUGGCGACAGAAGGCAGCUCCUUAACAAGUGUCACUGUAAGCGCUGCAGAGGGCAUCCUCCACACUCUCCCAUAUGAGCACAGAUGGAUUUGGUGUGUGUAAUGUUGGACCCACUGGUAAGACAAACACCCUUUUCCACAAAUAAAGACACUCACAUAAAGUUGCAUAUAUUUAAACCUCACGUGACAAAGGUGGGUUGUGUGCACAGAUCAUAACAUAAAUUCCAAUAAUGGCAUUAAAAUCGGAAUCAUCUGUACGUAAAUGAUGCCUGGCUCUUUUUUUUUCCAUAGAUGUUGGCAGAUAAAAUAAAUUUGGCUUACAAAACUGAAUAUUAUAAUAUUCAUAUGUAGGCUUAAAGUAAAUAACUGAGAUACAGUAGCUUCAGUUCAGUUGGAGAAAAUCACUGUUUGCAUGCAGUGAAGUCGGCGUUCCCAAUGCCUAGUGGCGAUGGUCCUUGGCGAUAGACUGGUUGUGGGAUUCAUUCCUGAACCCAGACAAAGAAGAACCUGGAGGAAAAGCUUUCUCUUUACCAGUCAAUCCAGUCCUCACUUAUGGUCAAGAUCUUUGGGUUUUAACCAUGGAAUAAGAUGAUGGAUACCAGUGGCCUAAAAGAGUAUUCUAUGAGCUUUAGAGACAGUAAUAGGAGCUCAGACAUAAUAAUAAUAAUAAUAAUACAUUUUAUUUAUAAAGCGCUUUUCAAAAACACAAAGACGCUGUACAGAAUUAGGCAAUAAAAACACACAUCAAUAAGUAAUAAAAUUUACGGCAAUAUAAUAAAAACAUGUAGAAUCAGGUAAAAUCCAAAUAACAAUAAAACACACAUCAAUAAGUAAUAAAAUUUACGACAAUGUCAAUAAAAACAUGUAGAAUCAGGUAAAAUCCAAUGGGGGGGGGGGGCUAGGAAGGAUGAAAGGCAGUGUGGAAGAGGUGGGUUUUGAGAAGGGUUUUGAAUCUGGUGAGGUCAGUGCAGUUUCUGAGUUCGAGUGGGAGUGAGUUCCAGAGGGUGGGGGCGGCGGCUGAGAAGGCUCUGUCCCCCCAGGUUCGGUGCUUGGUCAGGGGAACUGUGAGGAGGUUGGCAUUGGCGGAGCGGAGGGUGCGGGAGGGGAUGUAGGGGUGGAGAAGAUCCUGUAGGUGGGGGGGGGGGCGAGGUUGUGGAGUGCUUUGUGGGUGAGGAGGAGGAUUUUGUAUUAAAUGUGGUGGGGUAUGGGGAGCCAGUGAAGGUUUUGGAGGACGGGGGUGAUGUGUUGAUGGGAGCGUGUGUGGGUGAGGAGGCGGGAGGCUGAGUUCUGGAUAAGCUGAAGUUUAUUGAGGAGAGUGGAGGUGGUGCCAUAAAAGAGACUGUUACAGUAAUCUAGACGAGAUGAAAUGAAUGCAUGUAUAAGGGUUUCAGCUGCAGGGUAGGAGAGGGAGGGGCGGAGGCGGGCAAUGUUUUUGAGGUGGAAGUAGGCUGUUUUAGUGAUUUGCUUUAUGUGGUGGGUGAAGGAGAGGUUGCUAUCGAAGAGAAUGCCAAGGUUGCGACAGUGGGAGGAGGGGGAGAGGAUGGAGUUGUCGAUGGAGAGAUGAAAGUUUGUGACUGUGGAGGUGAGGGACUUUGGGCCAAUGAUGAUGAGAUCUGUUUUGUCAUAAUUGAGCUUAAGAAGAUUGCUGUCCAUCCAGUGUUUGAUGUCAGAGAGACAGUUUGAGAGGGAGCGUUGGGUCUGGGGGCUGAUGGAGUUGGAAGAGAUAUAUAAUUGAAUGUCAUCAGCAUAGCAGUGGAAGUGGAGGUUGUGUUGACGGAGGAUGUGGCCAAGAGGGAGGAGGUAGCUGAUGAAGAGGAGGGGACCAAGCACCGAGCCCUGGGGGACACCUUGGGACACGGGGGCGGUUGUGGAGGAGCAGUUGUUAAUAUGGAUGAAGUGAUUCCGGUUUGUGAGGUAAGAGUGGAUCCAGUUAAGAGCGGUGUCUGUAAUAUUGAGGAGGGAGUGUAGGCGGGACAGAAGGAUGGCAUGGUUGAUGGUGUCGAAAGCAGCGUAGAGGUCGAGAAGGAUGAGGAUGGAGAGUUGGCCAGAGUCAGCAGAAAUGAGGAGGUCGUUUGUCACUUUGAUGAGGGCAGUUUCGGUGCUGUGGUGGGUGCGGAAUCCAGAUUGGAACUGUUCAUAUAGGUUGUUAUUGUUGAGGUGGGUUUUGAUUUGUGAUGUGAUGACACGUUCGAGGAUUUUUGACAGGAAAGGGAGGUUGGAGAUGGGCCGGAAGUUACUGAUGUCAUCGGGGUUGAGUCCAGGUUUUUUGAGGAUGGGGGUGACAGCAGCCAGUUUGAGUGAUGGGGGAACAGUGGUGGAGUUGAGGGAGGAGUUGAUGAUCUGUGUUAUGAUGGGGGAGAUGACGGGGAGGCAGUGCUUGAUGAGGGAGGAUGGGAUGGGAUCCAGGAUACAGGUGGAUGAAGACAUGGAGCAGAUGAUAUUAGUCACGUCAGUUGAGGAGACAGGUGAGAAGCAGGAGAGUGUUGAUGGGAUGGGUGGGAUGGGAUGAGGGGAGGAGGGGAGGAGCAGGGAAUGGAGGGUGGGGGAAGGGAGUUAUAGAUUGCGUUGAUUUUGUUUUGAAAAGAGGAGAGGAAUGUGUUGCAUUUUUCCGGGGUGAAGGUGAUGGAGGUACUGUCUAUGGGGUGGAGCAGUUUUUUGACGGUGGAGAAAAGAGCCUUUUGGUUACUGGAGCCGGAGUUGAUGAGGUUGGAGUAAUAGGAUGAGCGGGCGGAUUUGAGGGCUGUUCUGUAUAGGUGGAGGUGGUCGGUGUAGGCUUGGAGAUGGACAGUGAGGCCGGUUUUGCGGUAUAGACGUUCCAGUUGGCGUUUAUGGGAUUUCAUUUUGUGUAGUUCUGAAGUAUAUCAGGGGGCAAAGUGUCUGAAUGAAACUGUUUUUGUUUUGAGAGGUGCGAGUUGGUCCAGGCAGGAGGAUAGAGUGUUGUUGUAGUAGCUGAGUAGGUCAGGAAGUUUAGCAGAUGGUGAGGGAGGGAAUGCAGUGAGGGUGGCAGAUAGGGAAGCGGAGAGGUCCUGUGGUGAGAUGGAUUUGAGGUUUCUGAAGGUAAUUUGUCGUUUUUCACUGUGAGGCAGAGGGGGGGGGGUCGACGUUGAAAGUGACAGCCAGGUGAUCAGAUAUAUAGAGGUUGGUGGUGGAGAGAUGGCAUCCAGACAUCCAGAGAGAGCUAAGAGUUGGGCCACAUCAAGGGGAGUUUGUUUAGGUGGUUUAGACAUUUGAUCAGGAGCCUCCUAAACACCUCCCUUUGGAAGUUUUCCAGGUACCUGGGAAGUCUUAUAUAUCCUACCUGGCCUGGAAACAGUUUAGGAUCCACCUGGAAGAGCUGGACAAUGUCGAGGAAAUAGAUGCGCAAAUUUCACUCAAGUUAAAAGUGAGGUACAUUUGUCAAUAUCUUUUGUUUCAGGAAAACCAAUUUACAUCAUGGCCACAGUCUCUAAUUCAAAUAACAGUUUUGACCUUGCAUUCAGCAUCAAGUUAAAAAUGUGUUGCCUGCAAAUUUCCCUGAUGCUGUACUGAGCGGACUACUUCUCUGACCUCAGAAUGAAUGAAUGAAUGUUUGUGGCACAACACUUGAAACUAUUUCAUUUGUCUUUAAAUUUUCCCUUCAGCAUAUUAAUUUUUUAUUGUUGUUUAUCACAGCAAUCCUCAGUCAGCUCAGCCCAAAUGAUUAAACUCAAAUCAGAAAGGGAAUGAGGCUGAAUCAAUCUGCCCCUUCAAAAUAAAAGUAUUAUUCAGUGAGAGUUUGAAAAUAGAAACAGUUGAUUAGGAUCAUCGGUUGAAGGUCUCUCUGAUUAUUACACCUUUCUGUUUAACAAUUCUCUCCAAUGUCCUCCUGAUUGGUGUAAAUGAGAAUAAACUGCAACAGUCCUUCAGUUAUAAAUCAUUUUAUUGAAGAAAUUACGGGAUGUCCAUUUUUCUAUCUGGUUUCCUCUCUGCAUAGUUUGGUUUUAACCUUAUUUGUGGAUGCAAAAUUCUUCCGAUGUCAUGGCAUCAAAUCUAAAAUGUUGUCUUUGCACUAUCAGGAUUUGCAAACCAUCAAACCUUGUCCUUGCAAAAACAUUUAAAGGAUCCCUUGACAGUUGAAGAGGAGCCAGAGGGGAUCAUAUUCGGCAGAACAAUUAUCUCUCGAAAUAUAUGACUCAAUUUUAAGAAAUUAAUUCAAUACUUGGUAUGAAUUCCCUCAUGCCGCUUUCAUCAAAACAAUCCGUACGCUGAAAUAUUUUCCUGUGGUGCAUUUUAAGACCUGCUCUUAAAAUAAACUCAAAUUAUGGUCAUAAUUGAAGAUUAAUUAUAAUCCUCUUCAGGCCAGUGUGCUGACGUUACUCUCACUUUUUUUUUUUAAAUAGGAAUAAAUCGAUUCAUGGGAACAAUAAGCAGAUCCAAUUGAAGUUAAUUGUCCUGAGUAAAUGAGGUUCAUUAGUGAGUGGAGAGCACAGUGAUUGUGCAGAAGCUUAUUUCUGUCAGAGUCACGCAUCCUUCAGUUUGAUUGAAGCAAACACUGAGGGGCCAUUUCACAAUAAUGAUCAGUCUGAUUGUUUUCAGGCUGCAGUAAUGAAAUAUUUGUGACAUUUAAAUCUGUGUCAGCCCUGAUUCAUUAGCCAGGAUUGUUGCCAGGAGACGCAGAUUGCAGAGUAGCAGACUGACCUUUGACCAGCAGAACUUGAUCAGGCAGCGAGCGAACAGAGAAGGGCGGGGGCGGAGUGAUGGCGAGCUGAUGUUAUUGGCUCCUGACUCAUCUGAGGAAACAGUGAGUAAAGCGAGGCGAGAAACGGCCUUGAAAUUUCCUGGUGACAUUUGGAUUUCUGCACUGAUAAGUCGACAUUAUUCUACGUUUUUUUUUAGAGGUGUCACAAAAGGCCGAUGGAAAACUCGCUGACGACCGGGAGGCAGGAAGGUGACAAGAAUACUGCGAACAUGAAAACUUUAUUUGAGUCAUAAAAAUCUCUGAAUCACAGACUGCAGCCUGUAUGAAGGACACAGAGGAGCCUGUCUGCAGCACUGUGACCACCCAGUACAGACACUGGGCUGAGAAGAUGACCAUAAACACGCCGAUGGUAUCCUGCAGAUGUGUAAAAGGGUACCCUUAGCAGAAAUUAAUACUUUGUUUUUUCACUGUAGGCUGAAAGGCGCUCUUGUACUUACAUUAAAAGCAUUAUCACAGGUGUCUUUAUAGUCUCUAGUGUCUGUUUUAGGGUACCCUUUAGCUUCUGUGGUAAUGUCCUUUGUUUAUGCUAACAACAAACACCUGUUCUAAGAACUCACUGAAAGUUGGUUUUGAGGUUUUCUUCGGUAGAUGAUUUGAGGUUUUUCUUUUCGAUUGUGUUUUAAAGUUCCUGUGAGGGUUUUUUGCGUUAUGACGCAUUUGGCGCCCCCUGUGGAUGAAGCAGUCUUUGCUCCUUUUCUCCUGUAAAUAUGGUGUCAUCUGAGAAAAGUCUCAUCCUGCUGACUUUUGACAGCCAGAUGUGGCACAGUUGUAUAUAUCUCAAACAGACAGUGUAGAAGCAGGGCUGUUUCUACCGCCUCACAGUGGUUUCAGGCAUUCAAAUUCACAACAUAAAAAUCCUUAAUCUUUUCAUUAGUGGGAGUGUUUAAUUUUACAUAUCAUGACAUGGCUUCAGUACAGAUUUUAGUCUAUUUUAUUAAUGGAAAAAAAACUGUGUCUGUUUUGGGGUUUCUUUUUGCUUCUGUAUCAGCUUUCACUUUUGCAAAUGUUUAGUUUAAAGUUUGCCUCACAAGUGUUUCUAGGUACCAAGUUUUGUUGAUGUAUUUUGGUUCUCUUUGCAUCUGUUGUAAGGUAUUCUACUGGUUGUUCUGAGCCUCUAUUUUGCAUCUGUUUUACCAUCAUGCUCGUGCUCUAGCCUGCACCGUACUGUUUUUGGGUUCCUUUUUGCAUCUUUUUAAACACAUCAUUUUAUGUCCAUGUCACCCUCUGUUGUCAUGAACCCUUUACAACACAAUGUGGCUUACUAGAGUAGAAGUCAGACUGAUGAUGUCUGCAGCCAUGAAUACUUUCAGAUUAUUUUGUUAUGUUUACUGCAGCUGGAAGAUUUCCAGCCUAUAGUUCCUUUUAAAUAGGCGGUGAAAGUAUCUGUAGGUUUACGCUCAGCUGGACAUGAGGUGAAAUAUUACAGAUUCAGAAAAAAUUAAAUCCUCAAUUCACAGAUUUUACGUUUUAACCAGGUAUCUGCCAUGUCACCUUUGUUAUACAGUGCAACGCAGUAUAGCUAACACCCUCUGGCAGCAUUCAGAGUACAUGUUUAUUCCAAAUACACUAGAAUUAUGCAGUUUGUCUGAGUGUGGGGUCCAGCUAUUAAUUUCCUUUUAGGCCACUGAGAUCUGAAUGUUGUUUAAAGAAGCAGCAGUGAAAAAUGAACCCUGUAUAUUAUCCAGGGAGCUUUUUAGUACAUUUUCUUCAUUUUAAUCUACAGGAGGUAUUAAUCUUAGGGGUUAUUAAAUUUAGAUAAAGAGGUCUGAAUAAGAGAGCAUCUCUCUGUUAUUAAAGAGGCCAAGUGUGUUUCUAAAAAGCCUCUGUAGAAAGUGUUUCAGCUAAAAACGAGAUACUGUCAUGACCGUGGAAGGGGUUAGUAAUUUCAAAAUAAAACAGAAAACACAUGACGUGCGAAAAAUAAAGAAAACUUAACCAACCAACCAUGACAGAUAUAAACACAGCAGAAUGUAAAUGUUAUAUGACAACUCAGGUGGUCCUGCAGAAAGGAGUGUUUUGGACAAAAAAGGGAGGAUGCAAUGUUAAAAAAAAAAAAGGUUAUUUUUAAUCAGGUUUUCUUUGUCAUUGGUAAUAGAUUCAUGCUGAGUCUUCACCAAACUUCAUCAGACAUCUAAAAUCCAUCAGAGCUGUAUCUUCAGACCCUCUAAAAGGCAUUGAGCUAAUUUCAGAAAGUGACAUUUUUCUACUCUAGUUUAGAGUCGCCUUUUGUUGUUUAUUUGUUUCCUUGAGCAGCACUCCACAUCCCUCUGUUCCUCACCUCAACUUUAUGUUAAACAGCACUUCAUUAUUUCUUUACACAAUAAAUAACAAUUUUUACAUCACAGAAUUGGGGUUUUUAUGCAACCGCACCCCCUCACACAAUGUGUUUACCUUGUUUUGGUAGUGUCUGUGUGUGUGUGACUGUGAGAGAAUGUUAAUACUACAGGGACCAGGUUUUGAUUGGUUAAUGGGCCAGGUCCGUAGAACCAAUUGGGGAGGAGAGCCAGAUUCAAUAGGCUGCUGACUGGGGGGAAGACACCAUUGUUGUCAACCUAGCGACUUUGUCACUAGAUUUAGCAACUUUUCAGACCCCUUAGCAAAGUUAUUUUCAACGUUUUCCCUUCCUGCGAUAUUGCGGUAUUUAUCUUUCGGAUCAUGGUCGAUUUUUCUAAAGUUUCGCAUAUUCUGUGUCCACUUCUGACCAAUCAGAUUGCAUGUUGUUGCAAUGUCUGAUUCACCGGUAAAUCCAACAUGGCUGACCAGCUGAUUGUGUACGUGUCGGAGAACAGAGUGCUUUUUGAUAAAAAAACACAAACAUUACAAAGAUAAUGACCUGAAGGAUAGUUUGUGUGCUUUAACAGUUUGCUAAACGUCUUUGUUUUAACUUUCAUCUGUGCUAAGUAACUUUAGCUCGUAAGCUAACCUGUUCAGAUACAACAUACCAUAUGUAUUUUCACUGUCUCAAACUCAAUCGUGUUGCUGUCACAGCACCAUUAGGUCUGGGUUGUUACCUUACGUUUAUGGAUUAUAGUUUAAUGUACUUAUCUGGUACUGGCCCUGACUCAGUACAUGCAAUCAUGACAGACAGACAUCUCAACACUAGCGUCUAAUCAGAAGUGAAAAACAGUCAGUCUGCUGUUGUGUCAGUCUUCUCGCUUCCACCCACGACGCGUCUUUUUUUCCCUCGGAAAGUCGCAAAAUCGCAUCGGGCUUGAUGUGUAUAGUCAGGUGCAUCAAAAUUCCCCUCCGAAUAUUUCAUAAUUUAACGUCAGAUAUUUGCGUUGGUCCUGGUGUGUAAGGACCUCUAUUGUUUUUCAAUGGGUAGCCGGUGUGCAUCAAAAGCAUGGACACAGACACAUACAUACACCCUGGCGGGAUCGCUUCUAUCGUCCUCUUGCAACUUCUAGUGACUUUUACGACAGCUACUAGCGACUUUAUUCAAUGAAGAGUUGGCAACACUGGUCAGAAAAUCUAUGUUGGCAUUUGUGUUUGGAGGCGAUCUAAUUGUAUAUCUUUUCUUGUGGAAUAUUAAGGGAUAGGGAGCUGCUUACCCCUUGUUUUGUUUUAACUGCUGUUUUGAGCUAAUUUCAGAAAAUGACAUUUUUCCACUCCAGUUCAGAGUCACCUUUUCUUGUGUUUAUUUGGCUGUUGUAACUGUUGUUUAGAAGUACAAGAGUUCACAGUGUCUGCACACAACUUUAAACACACAUACACAAUAAGAAGUGGUAUUUACUGCAUGGUAUGAACUCGCAGUAACAGCCAUUGUGACGCACCAGCUCCCACACACACGGUAUGAACACACACGUAGACACACACACACACACAGCGCCCCGGGCUGAUGGAGUGCUUGGGAGUAUCAGUUUAGUGUUUACUUGUGUUUUCUGGUCAGGGGUGAGAGGAUCAGAGACACCCUCAGGGGGGGUGAGGCGCUGCGUGAGUUAAUGUUUCACAUCCAGCAGAUUAAGAGCGAGCCGGCAGACGUCAGGUCCGAGCAGACGCCGGGGAGUGAAGGGUAAUGGAUCAGAGAAAUUACUUCACGCUCAGUUCGGGAAGGAGACACAUUCGACCACAAAAGCCUCUCAGAGAGCUUCAUUAGAGGGAGGCUGCUCCGCCAUCACUGUCUGCAGAGGCAUUAUGGGGGAGGCCUGGGUCCAUCCUGCGGCUGAUAAAAUCCAUCAACACACACUUUCACUUCUGUCUGCUUUACUGGAAACACUUUGUUCGUUCUCAGGCUGCAGGGGAUUAAAUCUGGAGACCAGUGAUGCACAGAAAUAAAGUUUGGAGGGAUUAAAGUUAAAGACUGAGAUCCUGCUGUAGGAGUUACAUUGAUUUACAAUAAAAGAACAUUAAAGCUUGGCGCAUAACUUAAAACAGGUGCAUAAGAUUUAAUUUGUCUGAUAGUUUGGAUGUGGGUCAUUUGAAAAUACUGGAGCCAAUUACAACACAACAAGCAAAGAUGUGAAUGUAGCCAUAGUAUAUGAAUGACAGAUGAUACUAUCACACAUUUCUAGUCUUCGCUAAUAAAAGGAGAAUAGUCCAAAAAUGAAAAAGAUGGUAAAAGUCAAAAUAAACCUCUAAAGAGCUGAGAAAUACUCUAUUCAUGUUUCAUAUUUUUAUAAAUGGUUUUAAUUUGCAGUUUUUGAUGAUAAAACCUUUUUGAUUUCUGUGCCUCUUUAAACCUUUUUUUUACUUGUUUAUCUUUCAGUUUAGCAACACAGCAGUACCUAAAGAUAUCACGAUGUUGAAGUUCAAGCAGAAAGAAGAAACUGAAUCAUUGUGAGCAAAACCAGCAUCAGGUCUCUCUCUCUCUCUCUUAGCUGAUUUAAUUUCAUUUGUAUAAACAACAUUUUUGUCACUUGGAAUCAGAGCUGGAGCUUGUCAACAGGCAAGGCAGGUAAUUGCUUGGGGCCUCAGGCCACUAGGGGUUCCGAGGGGUUGAUGAACCUUACUCCACAAAAAUAUCCUGAAAUAUUGCAACCUGGUUAAACAACUAAUGGUCAAAUUGCAAUGACAUCUUCAAUGGAUACCCCCCUAAAGGGACCCCAUGUAAUCCCUAUUGCAAUAUCAACUUUGGAGCAUAUAACAAACUGAAGUUAAGGUCCUUACACACCGGGACCGUUUUUGUCGUGCAAUUAUUUCAGAAAUCAAUAUUUUUUUUCAAACCCGUAUCCUGUCAAUACAAGUGUUCACAUCAGUGACGUUUUUACCGUUCUGCGAUAUUGCGGCAUUUAUUUUUUCGGAUCAUGGUCAAUUUUUCCAAAGUUUUACUGUGCGUCCACUUCUGACCAAUCAGAUUGCGUGUUUUGUCCGACGUGAGAUUCACCGGUAUAUCCAAGAUGGCCGACCACGACCAGCUGAUAAUUUAUGAUCGUUUACACAAACUUUACAACAAUAACGACCUGAUGGACAACUUGUGGGGAGUCAUAGCGUCAGAUUUCUGAUAUGGCGAUGUUUUGUGUGCUUUAACAGUUUGCUAAAUGUCUUUGUUUUAACUUUCCUCUGUGCUAACGUAAGCUAACAGUUGUUACCAUAGUUUAAUGUGCUUAUCUGGUACUGGCCCCGACUCAGUACAUGCUAUCAUGACAGACAGACAUCUCAACACUAGUGUCUAGUCCUCCGCCUCUUCAAACUUGGAGCUAAUUGUUUCAGCAGAACUUCAAAUUGUCCAACAGACAUCCAAAAAUAGGUUCUGAAGCGACCGUGGUACAGUUUAAGCUCCUGAACUAAACAGUGAAACUCACCAAGUUCUCUUCUUGUUUGUAAUAUUGGAUGCACCCAUGUGCUACGUUUAUUUUUCUUUUGAGAAAGCAGAAGUAGUACCAAUUCGCCAUCACUUGAAGUUGAAGUAGACUCAAUUUUUGUCUUCCCGUUUCCACCCAGGAUGCUGUAGGUUGUUAAGGGAAGGUCCCGCCCUCCUUCGCCUCUGAUUGGCUAUAAGUGCUGACCGUUUGGCUUGAGCGCAUGAUGAGGUUUCCAGCUUUUCUAGCCAAUCAGAGGCGAAGAAGGCGGGACUUUCCCCAGGAAAAGUCUUCCCCGGGAUGCAUCUUUUCCCCCCCAGAAAGACACAAAAUCGCAUCAGUAUGUAUUGUGGUACAAACAUAUCAGAGCUAUAUUUAGUGCAAAUUUUUCAAGUUACAUAGUUAAUGUUAUUGUUACGUUAGUUAUUGGUUCAAGCAGUCUGAGAUUUUGUGAGUUUUUUUGUGUGUCUCACAGUUAUUGUUUGAGUUCCAAACUUAUAUUUGAACCAACAGUAUCGAAGCAUAAAUAACGCAGCUCACUGAAUGAGGCAGCAGUCUCUAGUUUCUGUCGGCUUAAAUUCCUGUUUACAUCAAUGUAUUCUGGAAGAAGAGGCUGAACCUUAACUUUCAAGAAACAUUCCACACAUUUGACCCAGUUUACCUGCUGCAGGGUGAAUUUAUCUGCUGAGGCAUCUCCUCAACUUUGAAUGUCUGUUAAUCUUGAUCUUCAAAUAAGUGAAGCUUAAAUUAUUGAGUUUUUUGGUGCACUGUUAAGUAACUAGAACUAUAUAAGUGAAGCCCACAGAGGCUAAAUUUGAUUAUUUUGUGAGCAAGCAAAGAGAAGUCAGGUUGUAUUUAGCUUCUAAUUUCUGGUCACUGUCUCCCUGUGAGCCGUGUGUGACCGAGCUGAAGGGACUCCUCUUCCUUUCAAGAUCAAGAUAUCAAUCAUUCAGUGAUGUGAGAGCGCCACAGGCUGCAGACACUCUGAGGAUUCAGACGCUUCUUCUUUCAGGACAUCGGGUCAUUAGAGAGAGAAAGAGAGACAGAGCAUAGGGGGAGAGAGGGAGGUAGAAAAAAGCCACACUGAAAGAGGAGGGGAGUCUAUUGUCGAGGAUCUGACAAUGGACCCAAAAUACCAGCAUCACCCCGGGGCUCCACAUGAGCAGAAGAUCAGAAAGGCUCAAUAAAUACAGCAGAGAGGUUAGAGGAAGAUGUUCUGGUGGUCAAACUCAGUGUUAUAGUGAAAUCUCUAUGUUUGGUUUAAGAACAGUUUUCUCUACACUACCACAAAAGAGAACAGAGGGGAAAUUAACAAGUAAAGACUGUACAAAUCAGAGUUUUCUGUACUAACAAGGUACAAAGAUUUCUGUUUCCAUAUCACACUACAGAAGACUUCAGGAUUUAAGGUCGUUACACAACGAUGCAAAUAUAUGACGCAAAAUUACGAAAUAUUCGGAGGGGAAUUUUGACGCGCCUGACUAAACACAUCAAGCCCGAUGCGAUUUUGCGACUUUCUGGGGGGUGGAAGCAAGAAGACUGACACAACAGCAGACUGAGUGUUUUUCAGUUCUGAUUAGACUCUAGUGUUGAGAUGUCUGUCUGUCAUGAUAGCAUGUACUGAGUCAGGGCCGGUACCAGAUAAGCACAUUAAACUAUAAUCCAUAAACGUAAGGUAACAACUGAGACCUAAUGGUGCUGUGACAGCAACACGAUUGAGUUUGAGACAGUGAAAAUACAUAUGGUAUGUUGUAUCUGAACAGGUUAGCUUACAGGCUAAAGUUACUUAGCACAGAUUAAGGUUAAAACAAAGAUGUUUAGCAAACUGUUAAAGCACACAAACUAUCGUCAUAUGAGAAACCCGAUGCUAUGACUCUCCACAAGUUUUCCUUCAGGUCGUUAUCUUUGUAAUAUUUGUGUUUUUAAUCAAAAAGCACUCUGUUCUCCGACAAGUAAAUAAUCAGACGGUCGGCAAUGUUGGAUAUACUAGUGAAUUAGAUGUCGAAACAACAACAAAUGCAUACAUGUACACGUUUUUACUUUACAGUGGUGCACUGUCAGUAUUGCACUCUGGGGAGCUGUCCAUGGUCCUGAAUCUGCUGCUCAGCCAUGCAAGAGAACUAGAGCACUGCAGUUUAAUACAGCCAAAGAGUUGUCCAUGGUGCUGAACUUGUUAAUGUCGAUGUCACCAGCUAUGGUGUUACAGUGUUAAGUCAAGUCCUUACUAUGUUGUGAGUUUAGUGCACCAUGCUAUAAUCGGUGCAUCUUAACUUGUUAAUAGGUAACCAACAUUUUGCUUCAGACAUGUUGUUUUUUUUUUUUUUUUAAAUACUUACAGAAGCCACGGUAAACAUUAUUUUAGUCAAAGUUAACUCAAAAUAGACUGAGUCCCAGUUCAGAAAAGCUGAAAACAGACCAUAAAACAGAGGCUCAAGGGUACAGAUCCAACUAUAGGUAAGAAGGCAAUAAAACCUCCAUAAAACAAGCAAUAAACCGUAAAACAGACCAGACCACCUCUUAGAUUGUUAAAGUAAAAAGACCUAAGGGUGGACAUGUAAGGUUUCAUUAAAACCAACCAAACCAACCAAAAAAGAGGGAAGGAAACAGACCUCCAGUCAAUAUUAAAUGGGAACAUCAUUUUUAGGAGGGAGCAGAAAAUUACUCAUACGUCAUGACUGGUUCUUGUUAAUUUAGUUUUUUCCUGGUUUAUAAUGAAGUAGUAUUUCUCCUAUUGAUUCUGUUUCCUGUGAUCCUAAUUUGUGUGUUUCCAGUUCGUGUUUGACCCUGUUUCCCUCGUGUUCUCAGUGUUUUAUUCUUUAGAUUAGUUAUCAGUAAAUCUUGGGUUAUUUUGUAGUUCUUUGCUCUUGUGUGUCUGGUUUAGUUUGACUUCCUGUUUUGUUUUGUAGUAGUCAUAAUUGCGUUUCAAGUUUAGAUUUACAUCCGGUGUUUUCCCUCCUCAGUGAUUGUCUGCACAGGUGUCUCAGUGCCUCACCUGCCUCUCGUUACUCGUUACCCUGUGCAUUUAGUCCUUGUGUUGCCCUCCAUCUUGUUGGGUCAUUGUGUGUAGAUGUCACGGUAUAUUUCUUCCUCACCUGAUGCCUUUGUGAUUUCCAAGUAUCUUUUGAGUCUGUUUUUUUGUUUGUUUGUUUGUUUGUUUCUUUAUGCUCCUUCAUUCUUUUUUUUUUUUUUUUUUUGGUUUUAUUUGUAAAUUGGACUUUUUCAAAAGUAAAUUUCCCCAGUGGUCCUCAAGCCCCCCCAGUCCUGCAUGUUUUGGAUGUUUCCCUGCUCCAACACACCUGAUUCAAAUGAUCAGCUCGUUAUCAAGCUCUGUAAUGGCUUAAUAACGAGCUGAUCAUUUGAAUCAGGUGUGUUGGAGCAGGGAAACAUCCAAAACAUGCAUUCCUUUAGUUUUUGUUUAAAUACGUGACAUUAUGUAUAUUUAAAAACAUUAAUGACUAUGUUCGGAGCAGAAAAAAAAAUUUUCAACACACCUACUACAAGAACAAGUGACACUAGGUUACACUAAAACAGACCAAAUCUAGAGUGACCAUAUUCUGAAUCCCCAAAAAGAGGACACUAAUAAUAAUAAUAAUAACUAGGGCCCCGUUGGGGCACUGGCGGGCCCGAGCCGUGUCGCGCCCCCCCCCAAUGCGCUGCCUCCCCGUCCCAUUCUCGGCCUCUGGCCAUCGCCCUCUUUGGUAACGCCCAUCACUGCAAAGACCCUUUUCCUUCAUCGGCGUUUGCUGUUCUUCCUGCCAGUGCGUGUUGCUUUCACUUACACUUGCCACAGCCAGCCUCGUGAGUGCCUAGCCUAUUGGAUAUCACUGUCACCGACACAGGACAGUCAUUACCUUUCUAUUAACACUUUGUUUUUUAAUUUCACAUUAAUUUCCAUAUUGUAUAAGCGACUGGAAAAAACUUGAGCCCCUGCCCCUGUAUAAUCAUGUGCACGUCCCUGUUCUAGCUCCAAGGUGAAUCUUCACUGCUCAUGUUCUCCUCAGAAGCAGUCACCUCACUCCCCUCAGGUUACUGUACACAUGCACGAACUGCCUGCUUCAGGUUUGGAUGAAGCUUCAUGGUUGUCUUUUGGAGAAAUGAGCAGUCAAGUUGUGUUUGAAAUUUGAUUUUUUUCAGGGGCAAAAGGAAGCCUCUGCAUUCUUGUCAAAUAUGUAAAUAGCAUGUUAUUGCAGGUGCUAAAAAACAGACUCUGAGUGUGUGUGUGUGUGUGUGUGUGUGUGUGUGUGUGUGUGUGUGUGUGUGUGUGUGUGUGUGUGUGUGUGUGUGUAAACUUCAUUCAUAUAGCACUUUUAAAAACACAAGUUUAUAAAGUGCUUUGAAAACAGUUGCAAAGCACAGAACAUCAGCAGAUGAAAAUAAAAACAAAAGCUCAGUUAAAAACAAGGCCUCUGAGUUGAAGGCCAAUUUCAUUUUUCAUAAGAAACCCAGACAAUACAAGAACCUUACAACAUAAAAUGAGACCAUGAGAACUAAAAUAAAAACAUAAAAUAGGCAGAAAGAAGGAAACAGGAUAGUAAGUAUAAAAGAGGAUAUUAUUGAUAAUAAAAUCAUAAUAAAAUAAUAAUGAUGGUAAUAUUAAUGAUAAAAUGGAAUGAUAAAAAAUGAGCAGGAAAAAACCAUAAAAUCAAUAAAGGGCCUGAAAGGUCAAAGAAGAAAACAUAAUUAAAACAAAGGCUAAAAGGAUAGUAAGUCCAAAUAAGAUAAAAGAGGUAAAAGAGAUAAAAGAGAAAAGACGGCAUCACAUAAAAGCAUGUCUGUAAAAGUGAGUUUUUAAAUUUGACUUAAAAGAAGUGACUGUCUCUGCUGUCCGCCUUAUCUCUUUUGGCAGGUCGUUCCAAAGUCGAGGAGCUCUGAUGGAGAAAGAACUAUCACCUUUAGUUUUGAGCCUCGACUUUGGAACGACCAGGAGGCCUUCGCCAGAGGAUCUGAGGCUGCGAGUUGGCUCAUAAGGUAUCAAAAGCUCUGAAAUGUAGCUCGGAGCAAGUCCUUUGAGUGCUUUAAAAGUAAUCCAUAAAAUCUUAAAAUCAAUUUUUAAAACUGACAGGAAGCCAGUGAAGGGAGGCUAAAAUUGGAGUGAUGUGAUGCCGUCUACUAAAACCAGUUAAAAGCCAAGCUGCUCCACUACUACACAGGGUGGAGUUGCCGAGUCAUGCGUAAUAAAUGUGAGGGUUUUUAUGGUCUAGUCAAGUGUUUUUUUUUUAUGUGCUUCUAACUCAGUGAGUCCACUCUACAUAAACUCAAAACUUCCAUACAAAACCCUGGACAUUUGAAGGUUUUUAUAAACUCCCCCGGACAGGCCGGACAGCCCCCAAAAAAGAGGACAUCUCUGGGGAAAAGAGGAUGUACGGUCACCCUACCAAAUCAGGUUUUGAGGGUGCAGAACCCAACUCCUUAAAAAAGUGCCACCUUGAAAAUCUUGCAAAUGCAGUGUACUUUUAUAAAAAAUAAAAAAAGGGUUUUCCACUUUAACUUUUCUUUGUGUUUCUUUAACCUGCACACACAGCAUAGCCAACACUCAGCACUUUUGAUUCAUACAUCAUGUAUGUCUCCAUCAUACAGGGUACACAUUAGUGCACUCUGAAAAAACAGCCACCGCUACAGUAUCUGUCUGCAUGAUAAAUGUUUGGACUCAGAGCAGGCAGAACAUCGAGGCUCAGGAGACCUCUGAGCGUGUGAGGUCUAAUCUGCAGAAACAGACUCAGUUACCUGACAAAGGUACACAGACUGAACACCUGUGCAGGGAAAAGUCCCAGAGCAGCUUCAACAAAGCCUCCUUAUUUACCAAAGCUUACAGUAUCUCUGAGUCCCUGAAAGACAGGGAGGGAUGACGGCUGAGCUGUUGUCCCUCCAGAAUAAAAGCCCCUGAUUGAUCCUCGAAUGCAGGUCUCUGGGGAAAUAAAUGAUUUAGGAGUUCAAAUAUUAGCAUGUAGUUCUGAUGGACUGCAAAUAAUGAUGCAGAAAACUGAGAGUGACAUUCCCCUCAUGUGUGCUCACGCUGGGAAAUGAUUUUCAGCUUUAUCUGUGGUCAUGCAGUAAGACACAUUACAAUCACACGCUGAAUUUUAAUAGAAGCAAUCGCAUCCCACUGUCUCACAGCUUCAUUAAAAGAAGAGGGUAAAAUCCCAAUUUGCAUUUUAUUUAAUCAACUUUCUUUUCCAUAAAGCAGUGUGAGGUAGAUUAAUGUGUGUGUCUGUGGUUUAACAUUUCCCAUUUCCAAGCACCUCCAGCCUUUAAAUCUGUUUUAAAAAGCAUCUGUAUGUGUGCUGUGUAUACUAAUUUAUGGCACAUGUUCUCACAAAGGUCACCACAUGCUGCUUUAACUCAAACUGGGUGUUAGUCAAAUAAUCAGAGAGCACUAAGGGGUGCAGCUUUCUAAUUAAAUUUAUUAAUUUAAAAAAUCACCAAUAAAACUAAACUAUGAACAGAUAAAUAAACAGAAUUUUCAAAUUUUUGAUAGUAGUGGGAAUUACGGCUCUUUUUAGUGAGCUAGAUCAUUCAGCUCACCAAGAAGAACCGACUCUUUCAGCUCCCAAACAGCUCUUCAUCUUACCUCUUAAGCAUUUUAUAAUUCAGCUAAAUUUAGUGUUGUUUGGCUUAUGAUAUGUAUUUAUGUGUGCGCAUACCUCUUAAAUAAUUUAAUACAUCCUUUGAACUGAAGUAUUCAUGAGUAAAAAUUUCAUUUUCUAAUAUCAGUAAAUUGCUGUUGCCAAUUGUUUUCAUUGCAUCUACAGACCCCCCUCUGCUUGGUGUAUCCUUGUGUGAUUGGUUGCACUCAGCAUGCACAUGACAGUCAUGUGCAUGCGGAAAAAAAGGAAAAAAAAAAUGCUUACAGAUAGGGGCCGGCUCCCAUCGUUCACGUUAAAGAGCCGGCUCUUUGAACCGGUUCGUUCACAACCAACACAUCGCUACUUUAUAUGUUUGGUGGUCCAUUAAUGCUGAAAGACACAUACAGGUUAAGGAUCAACAUCUGCUGCCAUUAGAGCUCCGUCGAUUUCAGCAAGACAACGUCAAGACACAUUCUGCUGGUGCUACAACAGCCUGGCUUCAGAGUCAAAGAGUACAGGUACUAGACUAGCUUGGGGUUAAGGUUAAGGCUAAGGUUAGACUUGUUUCCAAUUGACAGUGUUUGGCCCUUUAUAAAGUGCAAAAUACUACAACAGAGACCCCGGACCGUUGAGCAACUGAAGUGGUCCAUCAAGCAAGAAUGGGAUAGACUUCAACCUCCAAAGCUUCAACAGUUAGUGUCCCCUGUUCAUAGAUUCUUAUUAAGUGUUGUUAAAGGAAAGGGGUAAACAUGACCCUGUCCCGGCUUUUUAGGAACAUGUUUCAGCAUCAAAUUCAAAAUGAGUGAAUAUUUGAAAAAACAUAUCUUGUCUCUAAAGCAUAUUCAAUUGAAUACAGAUGGAGAAGGAUUCACAAAUCAUCGUGUCUGUUCUUAAUUCACCUUUUUCUCAACAUCACAACUUCACUGGAAUUAGGGUUUGUCUUUUGAUCAUCAGUAUUUUACCUCUAGGCAAACUGUCCUCUCAAUAUGGACCUAUUUUCAAAUUAUUUGAUCUGCUUUUAAGUAUCAACAAAGAGCUUGAAGAGGAAAGAGAUUCAUGGUCCCAACUCAGUUCAGAAGUUAAAAAGGUUUAUAUAUAUAUAUAAUAUAUAUAUAUAUAUAUAUAUAUAUAUAUAUAUAUAUAUAUAUAUAUAUAUAUAUAUAUAUAUAUAUAUAUAUAUAUAUAUAUAUUUAUAUUGCUGUCUUCAAAGCUUCCUCGUAAUAAAUAUGCUUGUGUCCAGUUAAGUGGGAGUUGGCUGAAAAAAGUUGGCCACUUUUUUUUCUAUAAAAACGAGCUUAGAUCUGAGUUACCUAGAUCUCUAUCCUAGUAAAUCUAGCUCAUUAUGACAGCUGUAGACAGCAACUUCCAUAUCCCGUUUAAGUCUGUGCAGGAAAACAACCCUGUUGGCAGAGUAAUUUUACCUCACAGUGACACAGGGGUUACUGGUAUGAAAGUCUAGUAUAUCUAAAAAGGAAAUGUAAAAAAUGCUGUUCUGUGAUUAAACUUAUUGGGCUCUAUUUUGUCUCUUGAUCUCUUUGACUACUUCAUGAAAAUUGUAAUACGCCUCGCCGGUGGCGGAUUGAAAGGUGAGGAAAGGAGCUUAUGUGAUUGGCGAAAACAGGUCUCCGCUGUGUUAAACCCACUCCACGCUCUAUUCCUUCCCUCUCUAUGACUUACGCCAGUGGGAGGAGCUGAGUUAGGGAGGGGGGAUGCUUAUGCCAGGCUGCGCCGCUUACCAAAAUACCAAAAUGUGCUUGGGCACACCUUGUCGGCGCGGCAAACCUGACUUAUACUGCGCCUACGCCACGCCACGCUGCCGGCGAGGCAAGAAAAUGGAGCCCAUUAUCUGAUAAAGCAAAGUUACUUUAUGUUAAUGAAAAAAUAUCUAUUUAAUGCAGCAGCUGAUGAGCAACUCCUGUAUUCAGUGUAAAAUGACCGUUUUUUUCAGUGGAGUUUGGUGGGUUUGUUUUGAGGUCUUCAUGUCUUUACCUAAAGGUAGAACAGAGGACAGAGAAGGGACGAGGUGGGAAGUGAUAGGCAGUAAAAAGCUGCAGGUUGGAAUCAAAUCCAGUCUGUACACCUCCUAGAUCAUAGUCUCUGUAUGUGGGGGGGCGAGAUUUCACCAACAAGCAAAACCAGCACCUUCAGUCUGAUGUGUUUAAAAAGAAAAAAUCAGAUCUGUUUCUGGUUUCCUAAGACUCAAGAGUGUUUUUUCUUCGAUAAAAGAGUCUGACCCUGUUUGUACUUUCAGUCAUUUAAAUCUGUAUUCAUUCUAAGAGCUCAAUUUCUCUCCUAGCCAGCACCAACAGCCUUUGGUUUGAUUCUUUUUUUUACCUUAUCCUUAAAAUGGACCUUUUUUCUCUCCGUCAGGCUCAGAGCCGUGUGCGUGUCUACUUCCACCUCCGGAGCAAACUCAAACAGAGAUGUUGGUAUUUUUAUGGGAACAAGGUCGCAACAUUUCGGUCUCAAACAGCAUAAUGGCUACAGCAGCAUGUCUCGGAUUCACGAAAUGAAAAGCACAAGAAGAAGCAGAGGACUGAAAUAUGUUUGGGUUGGCAGUGGGGAUCAUUAUAAAAGGGAAAAAUGCGGCGUAUACAUGGGCAGCGCAGACAGCUGUACUGAUUAGAAUCAACAUGUCUGAUAUAGAUACAGGUUUGUGGGAAGUUAAUUUGUGGUAGCAGCGGUGUUUAGUGAGAAAACGUACUUGCUGCCUGGAUUUCUAUUCCAAUUUCCAUCAAGUGAGGGAAGUGUUGUAUUUAUUUACAGCACAGAGGUGUUCAGAGUGGAAGGUGGGCGUGCAAAGAUCAGGACUCUGACAGCAGAGAGCAGAGUUCACAUCCUACAUGUCAUGUUCGAUUCAGGAGACAAAAAGCUCUCUGGUUAUGGUUUGUGGAGGGUUGUUGUUUCAGGUUUAUGUUAAUAAUGACCUUACUUGACCUGUAAGUCACUGUGGCCUUCUUCUAAUAUGUUUCAAGACUUUUGAAUCCGGCAACUCCACUGAUCUAGUCUCCAAUAUGACCCACAGGAGCUGUUAAAAGGUCGACAACCAGAUUCAAACUAUGUGAGAUGAUCAUUUUUUAUCCCAAGCUGCCAACAAAAGUUUGACCAGCUGAUUACUGUUCUUGCUUUCUGCACAUUUUAACCUUUCCACCUACACCAGAACACCGAACACGAUCCUGUCUGUGUUCAUAUCAUCAACUAGAACAUCUUUCUCAUGAUAUGUGUCUGAGGGAACUUUUUUCUGGCUUAACUUAAAAGCCAAAGAUGUUCAAAAAAUUGUGUUUAACAGUAAGGUGAGCAUUCUCCAUUUAAUCCCAUGUGUUGGAGCAGAGAAACAUCCAAAACAUGUGGGACAGUGGGCCUUGAGGACUGGAAUCGAGAACCACUGUUCUCGACAAAGGGUUAAAAUAAUUAUAUUUUAGUACACCAGAGUGAGAAAGAUCUUUUUUGAUCCGAAAUUCAUGUAAAGAUCUUCACCCGCCACCUGUGUUAGGGUCUGCACUGACCUGCUUUUGGUUUUAAAUGAAUAUAAUUUAAAACCAAGACUUUUGGACUUGGCCAGGAACCUCUACUUCAAUAAAAUCAAGAAAAAAGAAAAAAGAAAAAAAAAGUAAUAAUGAUAAAAACAACAACAAUAAUAAUAAUAAUAAUAAUAAUAAUAAUAAUAAUAAUUUAUUAAAUUUUAAAAUGAAAUUAUGGCACUGGAAAUUAUGUUAGGGUCGUGGUAAGAUUAUAAAGCAAUAAUUAGAGCCAAAAAUGAAGUCAUAAGUGCACUAUUAGGCACCACACUGACAGUCAGAUCCUCACCCAUUCAUUUGUGUUGUGUCGUUCAUUCAAAAGUAAGGAACUGCUGAGUAAACGACGUGAACUGAAUCACUCCGAGACCUGAUUAGUUCCUUUUUCACUUCAGUUGAGCUCAGCCACGAGCCUGGCAUGCCGGUCAGGAGUGGAACUGCCACCUCUGACUCUGGCGAACGACACACAGCUGGCGAGCAAGUGGGCGGGCGGAGUCCCAUCAUCCACUCUCAGCGAAUGAACGACAUGUAUCAGUAUGUGAACGAAACAGUCUGUGACCGAAAUGUCAGUCAGUGAAUGACAUGGUGAACGAAACGAACUACUUCCGAAUGACUUUGAUUCAGUAAACAAGUCUUUUGAAUGAAUCCUUUUAAUGAACGGAUUCUAAAGUCAGUACAGUCAAAAGAACUGUUCUUUCCAUCACUACCAUUCAUGUAAGAUUUAGGAUAUUCUCAUUUUGCCUCGUUUUCCCCUGCACAAAAAACAAUGUCGAGCAUGUCCAGACGUGAGAUCUAUUCAUUAUAGACGUCUGUGUGAGCGGGAUACUGACAAAGAAAGGCCCAGAGACCCACUACAAAAAAACUUAAAAGCAAUAUUUUUAUGGAUAAUGAAGGCUAACAAGUUAACCUAGGGAUAAAAAUCACAUUGUAUGAUGGAGAAUUGAUUGUAGUUUAAUUUACAGCUGAUUUAAGACAUGGGUUGAAAGCGAACACAGGAGGAAGGUUAAGGAAGUAUCAGAGAGGAAGUAGAGUCUGAAAAAAUGCAUAGUAGUGAUCUAAGCAGUGUUUUAAAUUUAAAUAAAGUCACUUUGCUGGUAAACACUGUGGCGUCUUUUAAGAUAAAACUUGAUCUUAAAAUACAGAAAGAAAGAAAAAACUGAGCCGAAUGUUAAAAAUUAAGUAAAACUGAGGAGACUGGACCUGCGGGUUUAAUGAGUGAUCAGUUUGACGCCGCCUUCAGUGAGCAGAAUCACAGUCUGGAUAUUAAAUCAGCCCGCUGUUUAACGGGGUUCAUCCAUCAGCAGACAGGUGUUCAGGUGAGUCUGCUGCACCCUGAGGCUCCAUCUGCAGAGUCUGAGAACAGAAAACAAAGGCAGCCGCUCCUCAGGGCCCCCAGGAGCCUGUUUGUCUCGCGUUAAUUUCAGAAAUAACUCAUUGGAGGUUUGUUAAUGGCUGCAAUCAAUAACUAAAGUGUUCCUGUGUCAGAGCAAACGUCCCUAUGUAGAAGAUCACAACAUGAUGCCACUGCUGCCGAAAGAAACACGUGAAUUCACGUCCCAGAGGUCAUUUUUAACAUCUUUGGAGCUUCAGUUUUGACUGAGCUGUAAGGCUUAAGAUCGAAAGAGAAAUGAGGAAAUAUUAUUCAUAUUCAAGUGCUCCUUCUUUUCCGAUAAUUAAAGUACAAGAGUCAGUCAUUUCUUUCUGUCUGACAGCUCUGCCGCUUUCCCACAUCACUAAAAUAUGUCGAGGAGUUAUUUAGAAAAGUAAAGUGCCGCAUCUAAAGUUAUCCUGAGACGUGACGGUACAGACUGUGUUUCUACUGCUCAGACAAAACAACUUAGAGUUUAUUUGUGCGGCCAUAAAACAGCAGCCGAGUGACAAUAAAGAAAAUUCAGUUUAUAUAAAGAAAAAAAAAAUAAGGGAGAGAGAAAAGAUGCAAUCGAUCAUCUUCGAGAGAAGAAUUAAAAAAGCAACAAUAACUCAGAAAAAAAAAACACAUCAGGACGACAGGAGGAGACACAAACUCUGAAUCCAAAUGACAACAAGCACAACAGGGAGGGAAACAAUGAGAUUCUUCUGGAAUCAGGAGGAGGCGAAAAUAUGGAGGAUUAAAUCAAAUACAAUACAGAGAGAAAUCAAUGAGCGUGCUUGGCUCAGAGUGUGUGUGUGUUUGAACCAGAGAAAACUCUCAGUUACAUCCAUUUUAAGUGUUCAGAGUUUUGCACAAUGAUAGACUCCACACUCUUUCUCCCUGCACUUCUUUUACCUGAUGAAUCCAACAGAAAAACAUGUACAUGCUGGUUUAUUUGCAUCCAAAAACUGUCAUCAAAUAGUAUAAAUAUAUAUUAAAUUUAUAUAUAUAAAUUUUACAAGCACGAACAGGCAUUUAAAUUGUGCAAAUCUGCAAAAAUUUAUUCCAGAAGCAAAAAAGCUGCAACCAAGUUUAUCAAGAUGAGGACAAAAUGAUCUUAAGGAGUGUAACUGCUGCUCACAAAAGUUCAAGAAUAGUAAAUGUUUUCAGAGACAGACGUUUAGUUGUAAAAAGAAAUCUAGUCUUCUCUCUUUGGUGAGUUCAUUUGACUUUAAUUUGAAAAGUUUCACAGUUCUCAUCAAGGUUGAAUGUGAAUAAUUCAUCAUCAAAAAUGGCGUUUAAUCUCACAUGUUUGAAUUGUUAUUUAGGGUUACAUAUGACACCACUGCUGUUUUUUCACACAGUUUUUUUCCACUUAAAAGAAAGGAGAAAAGUUCCCCCUGGAUGCCUUUUCGGUGAAUGAAACACCAUAAGGUGCCUGUUUGAUAAUAGACGCAUCAUACAGUCAAUGAUAUGCAAGGUUUGCAAGCUAAGUUUAAAACUGCGAAACCCUACUAUAAUGUGAAUGCCACAAACAAACACACCGUAACAACAAGUUAGACACCCCCUCGAGAGAUGAAUGUUGCCGACUGCUUGCUUCUUUAGAUAUACCAACUUUAGUAAUGACCGCACGAUAGCAAUACACAGCGUUCUAUGUCUCCACGCUCAAACCUCACGAGUUGAUCACCAAGUGCAGCAGAGUUUGGCAGCUCGAGGAAGAAGAUUUAUGAUCAUUACUUUAUGGAAAUGCAAUCAGACCGAGACGCUAAAGGUCCUAACACACCGGGAACGACUCAAAUAUACGACACAAAAUAAAUAAAUAUUUAGAGGCGAAUUUUGAUGCGCCUGACUGUACAAUGCAAUUUUGCGACUUUUUGUUUGAUGCUAUUGCUAUGGCUGGGACCCUAUAUGUACUGUUGAUAAAGUUAGGUGCAGUUCUGAGCAUUAUUUGUGGCUAUAGAGUGGCGUUUUUAUGAUGUGUUUGACCAUAACUCAAAUUCACGCCGGAAUAUCCCUUUAAAUCAGGCCAGAAGAUCCACUAUAAAUACAGCACUGUUUGGAUAAGUGUGAAUGCAGCAUUUCCACUGGUUAAAAAAAAAGAGGUGGCCGCCUGUUAAACUGCUGCAGGAUGAAAAAAUCCACCAGAGACAUUGACAAAGUGAAACCUGUGAGUGUCAGUGUGCCAAAACACUUGAGCAUUUUGAGUUUAAACCCUUGGUUCUGUUUGCGCUUUGAUUUCUUUAAAGUGAAGGAUUUUCCAUGUUAAAGAAAAUGCAUGAGUUAUUUUUGAGGGUUUGGUUUCUGGAGGAUUUAGAGAGUGUGGUGUCACUGCAGCUGCAUACAAAGACCUUCGUGCUUCCUCUGGUUGGAGAGCCAGAUGUGAUGUAAUGGAGUGUCUGAGAUGUCAGAAGUGUGCCGCUGCUGCAGACCGACUGAGAGGAUUAAUGCGGUGGCUCUGAGCCAUGCAGUCAGUUUUGCUAUCGUGACCUUGUCGACUAACUGCCAGUCAACUCAGACCUCUGAGGGGUUUCUGCUUCCUUAGCCGAGGCCAACGCCACGUCUGUCACACCAAAACUCCUCCUUCCUCACCUACUCUUCCCCUCAGGGUGCUGUAAGGAAGGAGGAGUGGUUUCAGCUUGGCAGGUAGGCAGCAGAGAGGAAAGGAGAGAUUUUUUUUUUUUUUCUGUGGGGAAAUCAAAGGCCCACACUUGAUCAACCUUUGGUGGAUUUUCAUGUCUGCAUUCAGAAAUCCAUGGGUACAGGUAGGGCUGGAAGAUAUGGGAAAAAAAUUUAUCACCAUAUGUCUUUUUCAUAUCAGUCGAUAUCGAUAUAAAUCAGAAUCUAGAAAAUGGAAUUUAACAGUGCUGAUUGGUUGCAUGUUUUUUGACAAAACAAUAAGCAUCUGCCUCUGUGAGGUCUUUGUGGCUCUUCGAUGUUUUGUCAAAAGGCGUUGCGCUAGACCAGUGGUUGUCAAGUCCUGUCCUUGAGGCCCUACACACCUGAUUCAAAUGAUCAGCUCGUUAUUAAGCCAUUACAGAGCUUGAUAACGAGCUCAUCAUUUGAAUCAGGUGCUUCAGGUGGUGAAAAAGAUUUGAGGUAUUCCCCAACUUUGCAAGAACAUGUACUUGACAUAAUUUGCCCUGCACAAGAAUCUUUGUCAUGUCCAACCUCAAAACAACCAAAAUACCUUCAGACCACCGACAUUUUCGUGACAGUGUUUUAUACAAUGGGUGUCUGAAAUGGAUCCCUAACCCCUAUAUAGGCGACUACAUGGGGGUUAGUGCCAUUUUAAGGGGUGUCCGAAACCUCAGUGAUCAAUUCCAAUGCCCUAUAUAGGUGACUCAAAAUUUCCCAUAAAGCAUUGCAAAAUGUAGUGACCAUCCGAUGGUCACCCAACGGUGGUGGGCAUCCCGUCAUGCAUUGCGUCUUGCCAUAUAGUGUUUGAAACUUUCGGUGAUUGUGUUCACUACACAGUCAACUAUAUAUUAAAAACCCAUAUGGGGGUCAGGGGUUACGGAUUGAGUGAUUCAUUUCGGAUACAGCCAAUGUCAUCAUCUGUUGAGUCUUCAUCUGCAUUUCUGCCGGGGGUAGCACUCAUUAUCUUUUUUUCUCACCAACAGUGCUGUCGGCUACACGUGUUAAAGUGCUAUGGUUGCGUGUAGCUGCAGUCUACUACGUAGUUGUUUGCUAUUUGGUUCUAAUUCAGCACAUGAUCGGUUCAGCGCAAAGCGAACCCGGAGCAACUCCUCUUUUUAUUGGCUAUUCAUAUAGUCUACCAAAACAUGGCUACCAGAAUGCCGACUAUUGAAAAUGUUUUAUAUUGAAACUGAGGAAAAUUAUUUUUUAAUAUACUGUAAAUCGUUAUCAUUUUAUCGCCCAGCCCUAGAUACAGGUGCACAAAAAGGUGAUUUUCUCACUGUACAGCCGGGAGAACGUGAAUAAAAUAAAUCCCAUUAGUACUUGACACCAGCUCCCAAUUAAGAUUUGCAGGUCCUGGAGCACAGACGGCGCCCAUAGCAUUUCAACAGCAAAUCUAUGACAAAAGCCGCAUGUUUUCCCUUUGAUAAGCUGGUUUAAUUCGGCUUUUACAUGGCCGUCCUCUCACCCUGCUCCCUCUACGGUCGGGCCAUUUGUUCGCCAUAACGACAGCUUUGAACUUGCGGGAGAAAGUAUGCAAAAAUCUCUCCCUUUGAUGCAGAGCAAAGUGCGCUUAUUAAACAAUUAGCAUAGUUAUUCUGGCGGUAAUCACCCAGAGAGGGUGCAAAUUGGCAGGAGAGUUUAAAAAUAGUGCUGUUUGAAAAUUCUCUGCAAAGUGUUUAAUACCUGACAGCGUGCCCAGGGGCAGAACAUCACUGCAGCGUCUCCAGAGUGGCUGUAAGAGGCAGAUAUAUAUUCAUAAAAGCAACAAUAUAAUGUACUUCUACUUUGUCUUUAUUGCCUCUGAAUGUUUGCUGCUGCUGCUCUGUCACAAAGGAUUAUUAAUGUUGCACAGAAGCUUGUUUCUGUAACGGAGCAUCGCCAAGAGGAGGAGGACAUGACAGCAGCAGCUCUCUGACUGGGUUAAAGAUGAGGAAGGAGGCUGUUUGAGCUCAGAUCUCACAUGCAAAAACACAUGAAAGCGCCUGUCUCUAUACCAUGCUUCCAUCUGUGCUGAUAUAACAUCCAGCUUUGUGUUCAAAAGCUGCACAUCUCACUCAUCAGCUGUCAGUCCCCGGGUUUGUUCAGACACUGAGGUGUGAAGGCUGACAGAUUUUUCAGUUUCAAGAAAAAAAUCUGCAGAGAUGUGAUGCACAGAAAGGAUAAAUUUGCUGCAUUCAUGGUUUUAUCCGAUAUUUACAGAUUUUACCAAACACAACUGUCAACUUGGUGUGCAAAGGAAAACUGAAAAGAACGACAGACUGAGGCGAUCUUUUAGUUUGGGGUUGUUUCCCUGCGGUAAUAGACCUUUUCAUUGAAGAUGGAGAUGUUUUUUUUUUACUCUUUGCAAGGAUCCCAGACUUUAUCGACAAAAUGAUUUUCAUGACACAGAUCUUUUGAAAUGUCUUGUUGGUUUGUUUGUAAUUUUAAAUUUUAAAAGGCUUACCGAAAGUUUCUUAUGUAAGAAAAAAGGUCCCUGGUUUGGAGACAUCAAAGCGACCCACUUCAUGGCACCAUGCACUAAUGUAUUCAUGUACUGACUCAGGGCCAGUACCAGAUAAGCACAUUAAACUAUAAUCCAUAAACGUAAGAUAACAACAGAGACCUAAUGGUGCUGUGACAGCAACGCGAUUGAGUUUGAGACAGUGAAAAUACAUAUGGUAUGUUGUAUCUGAACAUGUUAGCUUACGAGCUAAAGUUACUUAGCACAGAUGAAAGUUAAAACAAAGACGUUUAGCAAACUGUUAAAGCACACAAACUAUCGUCAUAUGAGAAAUCCGACACUAUGACUCUCCAAAAGUUGUCCUUCAGGUCGUUAUCUUUGUGAUGUUUGUGUUUUUUAACAAAAAGCUCUCUGUUCUCCGAUCAGUCGGUCGGCCAUGUUGGAUAUACCGGUGAAUCAGACGUUGCAACAAUCUGAUUGGUCAGAAGUGGAAACAAAGUAUGCAAAACUUGGAAAAAAUGUCCAUGAUACAAAAAAAUAAAUGCCGAAAAAUCACAGGAUGGGAAAACGUGAAAUAUUGACACCUAAAAGUAAUCGCACGAAAAAAAAACUCCCUGUGUGAAAGGACCUUUAGCAUUAUCAUAAAUCAUAAAUAAUCAUAAAUCGUAAAUGUUCUUCCUUGAGCUGUGAAACUCAACUUCACUCAGUGAUCAACUCGUCAGGGCUCCCCCCACAAACAAGCGGCUGCUGGAAGGAGAGUGGGUGAGUUGUGUUUGGUCUCUUUGCCAAGAAAAUCAGACAAAGCUAAAAAAAUGUUUGAUGGCUAGUACUAUGGCUGGGACCCCAUAUGUACUGUUGAUGAAGUUGUUCUGAGCAUUAUUUGUGGCUAUAGAGUGGCUUUUUGGUUGAGGUUUGCACGUGGAGACGUAGACCGCUGUGUAUUGCUAUCGUGCGGUCGUUACUAAAGUUGGUAUACGUAGAGAAGCAAGCGGUCUGCAACGUUCAUCUCUCGAGGGGGUGUCUAACUUGGUGUUACAGUGUGUUUAACCCCAACUUAAUUUUACACUAAAACAUCCUUCUAAAAUCCUGUCUUUGAACCGGAGUGACCUCAGGUAUGUGCAUGUGGAAACUUUCACAGGUUGGUCCCUGUUGGAGAUUGAACCAGGACGCUAAUAGUAUGAAAUAUGUAUACAUGUACCUGAGCCUGUCAGGGACAAAAUAAGAACUUUUUGAUCCAACAGUCACUUUGAUUGAACAUGUAUUUAUGUUGCAGAGAUGAGAGCCUGCUUAUUUGCUGCAAAAAUACACUGAUACGGCACUUUAAUGAUAUGAAAGCAGGGAUCCUGCGCAGGGAAAUGCACUUUUGACUUCAUGAAGUUGUUGCAAAAUUAAAGAGUAUCCUUGUCAAACAGAAAUAUGUUUUAGUUGAACUGAUCCAGGUCUGGAGGAGACUGUCUGCACUCUUUGGUUAUUUUGAAGCUUUCAUAGCUGACCUUCUUAAAAACAUAACUAACCCAACUUUGGACAACAACCCAACAUUUGAGACCCCUCUGUCUUCCACUUGUGUUUGAUCUGCUGGUGAUAAAGGGUGUAUCUUCCUGUCUGAGCAGGUAAUCUUGUAGCGUUUUGAAUAAGCCUCCUGGUGCUUCAUAUAUUUACUGUAACACUGUUAGUAAGAGGUCUCAAGACGGUGAAAUCUUCAUGCUUUGCUAAAACAGAACGUCCCUGAUGAGCCAUGAAUCAUCCACCCACUGUGUUAUGUCAGAUUUAGUAAAGAAAGAAAGUCGACGUUUCAUGAAUAGAAUCUCUCUCUCUCUCUUUUUUUACCUCCCUCUGUUUCACUCGUCCUCCCUCUCCCCUCGUCUCAUUUUCCUCAGCGUUUAAUGUUUAAUUUAAACCUCCAGAGCUGAGCUGAAUCAACAAGAGAGUGUCACACCUGCAGGAAGACAAAGUUCAACAGCACCCCCACAUGGCAGAGAGUGGUACAUGUCCCUUCUCCUCCUCCUCCUCCUCCUCAAAAAGAGGGGAAUAGACAAGCAUGGUGUUUGCUAAGGAGGUGUAAGGCACAGCAGGAGUGGUUCAGCCGCCGCCGGAGGGGCUUUGCUAUGUUUAGUCAGGAAGCCAUUCUGUAAGUUAUCAUUACUCCCCCCUCUCCGGUGACAGACAGCAGGCAGAAGCGUGUGCGGAGGAGAGAAGAGGGUGUCAGAGGUAUGAUUAGAGACGUCUCAGUGUGCUCUGACAAAGACCCCCCACUCUGAGAGGAUUUCACACUCUUUUAAUCCUUUAUCAUUGACAACAUCUUCAUUAGAGCAUCCAGACUUUCUCUCACAAACAAACUAGUGCUCUGAAGCGUCAGGCAGAAUCAGGAAGGAGCUCUUUACUUUAGUGCAAAUAUUAUACGUGUUCAUAUCAGCAUCGAGCGACUUUACCCUGAUUCAGCUCUUGAAGCUGCCCAGACAAGGCUGUCCUGUUUAAAGAGAUGGUUUUCAAUUUUAGUAGAAGCCAUCACACCAACUUCAUUUGGUCCGAAGCAAAAUGUCAAGAGUGAAACCUCCCUUGAACCUUGGUUUAGACCAGUCGUUCUUGAGUCCAGUCCUCGAGGCCCACUGUCCUGCAUGUUUCUGAUGUUUCCCUGCUCCAACACUCCUGAAUCAAAUGAUCAGCUCGUUAUUCAGCCAUUACAGAGCUUGAUAACGAGCUGAUCAUUUGAAUCAGGUGUGUUGGAGCAGGGAACCAAUAGAGGUGGUCUCAGUCUGGACCAAACUAAACCAUUGUCUGGUUCAUGCCCAGUGUGAAAGCGUUACAGGAAAUGAAGAACUUUAUAUAUCUCCAAAGGGAAAUUCAUUAGUCUGGACACUCAUGAAAAGCUGUGUAAAUUCAGUCAGGUGAGAGUAGAGGGUGACACGGUUAAAGUCUCCUGGUAUGAUUACAAAAGCCUCAAGAUGAUUAGGCUAUAUCCUCGCUAUGAUAUCAUGGAGAAUACAUGUAAACAAGUAUGGUUACGAUGUGGCUGAACUCUCUUGGAACAUAAUUUGGAUGAAGAGAGACUGCCAACAGUUUAAGAUCAUGUUUGUAUUCAGGUCGGUUUAUGAAUUAAGUGAGUUGGGGAUAUGCCUUGUGUCCCUAGUGGACAGCCAGUGCAUGGCAUGUAGAUUAUUCUUUCUCAUUUCAGGAAAAAUUACACCAAUGAUAAGAAAUAAGUGCACAUGACUGUCUCAAAUUGAACUUUGAACAAAGUUUUCUUUGUUUUGGUGACAUCCAGCUGAGGACAAAAAUGCAAACACAAAAUUAAAACUAGCAAAGGCUCGAGUAGGAUUUGAACUCAGGUGGUCCGGGUAAAAGUCCACUCCUCUAUCUACUACUGGGACAAAAGUGCCUUCUAUGUUUGACAUAAACACCAUCAAGCAAUCAGCAAAGAGCUUCAAACCAGUCAAAAGAAACACAAAUGUUGGUGUAAGUGUUCACAGUUUCUAAAUUUUCCAGCUCUUUCCUGUCAAACUGUCAGUUUGUUUUUGUCUCUAUUUGUGAACAUAAAAUAUUUAAAUGUUCCUCCAUCUGCAGGAAAAUAGUUUAACUUUAGCAAAACAAGCAGAAACACCCACAUAUGGCUCACUAGUCUCUGUAGUAUUUCAAGGGUCAUGUAGAACAGUGUUUGGGCUAACACACCUGAUUCAAAGGAUCAGCUCGUUAUCAAGCUGUUAUAACGAGCUGAUCAUUUGAAUCAGGUGUGUUGGAGCAGGGAAACAUCCAAAACAUGCAGGACAGUGGGCCUCCAGAACUGGACUUGAGAACCACUGAUGUAGACGACUAGGUCUUCGUGGUUCUCUUUGUGUUAACACAGGUAACAAACACCUUGUACAAAAUGCAUACCACUCCUGUUUGGGCUUCUUUCAUUGGCUCCAGAUAGCCAAAGCUCUGGACUUAAACUCGAAUCUAUGUUUCUGAUCCCCUAACUUCAGACAUGUCCGGUCACGAACUGGAGCCCUCUGACAUAAAAGAUCUGCUGACUUUUGGACUUUUGGUGGGCAAAAUUAUGUCCGAGUCUUGAUUUUCUGGAACAACUGACACCAAGGAGAUCGGGUCAGUCACGUUUUCAUUUUUCCUUUCUUAAAAAUGUCUUUUCCUAAACAUAUUUGUAUAGAUUUGCUUUUGAGGAGACUUUCUCUGAGGAUGUGUUUUAAUCCUCUUAUUCCAGGUUAAGUCUUGAUCACAUUUAGGAUCUUCCUGAUUGUUAAAAGUUUUUACAUUUUUGUUUAUUUUAUUCUUUCAGUGUUACUUUACUUUCUCUAAUCUAAUUGUGUGUUUUUUUUCCUCUGGUGAAAUAAAUAUUUUAAUUUAUCUUUUAUCUACUGCUUAUAUCUUUCAUUUAUUUCUUUAUUGCUAUCUUUUAUCUGUCUCUUAUAUCUUUUUAUCUUUUAUCCAACAUUGUUAUUUUGUUUUAACUUUUAAAUCUUUGUCAUUGUUUGUCUGUCUGAUCCUCUUUUAUGAGCUCUUUUAAGCCCUGUUUAAAAAGUGCAUCAUAAAUUGACUUGGUUUUUGUCUAUUCUUGCACCCCUUGUUUCCCUAUUUAUCGGAGACUGUUUUCUGUUUUUAUCAGGAAUUUUAACUAGACAUUUUGCAGAUAUGCAUCCUAAUCUCUGAUGUAUUUAAAUGUUUCUAAUUAGAGAAAAUAGUGAAAAGAGACAGUCCUUUGUACCAUUCUGAUCUUGUUUGAAGAAGAUUAUUUAUGCUUGUGGUCUUCAUGGAGAACAGUUUACUCAUACCUCUGUAUUCACAUGCGUGAUUCUGUGUCUGAACUCUGCAGCUGAGGUUGAACUUUGUCACUUUUUUUGUCACUGCAGGCGCUCGGAGUGUUUGCAUGAACAGCAGCAGAUCCUGGAGCUCUGCUGCAGAUUUGGGUUCACUGUCCCACUGGGAAAUAAAUAAACUUCUGCUUCAUUUAAAGUCAGAAAAAGGAAAAAAAAAAAAAAAAACCUCUCCAAAAUAAAGAGCCUCUUCAGUCCUAUGAAUGUGAAUGCUGUGAAAGUCACACGCCUGAGAUUUGCUCCCUGUGUGUCACCUCAGAAGAUGAUUGAUUGAUAGAUUUUCCAUCAAAAGGCAGUAAAACAUCCGUCCAAUUCAGGCUGCAGUUUGCCAAUCAUCCUGGCUUUGUAUCUCACACUCAACCUGGACGACAAUAACCUGUUUGUGAGCAUCUACCACUGUUUGUUGUCCUGCCACAUCGGACAUUUUCAAUUUUCCUGCAAUUUGUUGCUGCGAGAGUUUCUCUGCAAUCAUAGAAACAAUUUGAGCCCAAAGUGUUUUUUUCUGAGUUCACAGUUACAAACAAACACCUGUAAGAGCAGCAGCAGCAGCAGCAGCUCCUGUUGGUCUGCAGCACCCACCGACUGCCCACAGUGUUCAGGCAGUACAGAGUGUACAAAACCUGAGUCCAAUUUCUGUUUACCCCUACAUUUCCUCAUUUGAGACCGAAAUAAUGAAGCAGGUGUGGCCACAGAGGAGCUGAUAACAGCUGUAAAAAUGAGCCAUUCAGCUGUAAUCAUUGAAGCUGCAGACAGAACAAGAAAAUUUAACAUUUCAUUAGGUCAGCUGUUCACCAGACAUCAAUGAGGUCCUUAUUUAAAACAUUUUAGAGUCCAGUAGACAUUUGCAAACAUUUCACAAAGUGCUUGAGUCAAGAUUUCCUCAUCGAGUAGCAGAUAAACUGUUGUGGCUGCAACAUCAUUUUUAAAGACGUCUGAAGGCGGAAAAAGCAAAAAACCAACUCCGUAACCUUCAGAGUAAAAUCACUGUUUUUACAGAGUAAGCCUGGAGGCUUUCAGGAAAGCAAUGUUUGUGUGGUAUGGUGGCCCUGGAGUCAACUGCAACGUUUCUUAACCCUAAAUAUAGAACUCAAAAAAAUAAAUAAAAAUAAAAAUAAAAGGAUUUGUUCAGACUCAGAGACGUUUCAAGAAACUUAACAUUAUUCCAUCAAAGGUUUCACUAAUAAAACAAACAAAUCAGCUAGUCAGGUGGUUUUAGACGUUCCUCAAUCCUUUUUAAAAUUGAGAGGAGCUAGAGCAUUUUCUGUCAUGGCUCCCACUUUGUGGAACGCUUUGCCUCCUAAAGUGUGCACUGCUAACAGCCUUUCCACUCUUAAAACACUUCUGAAGACGCACCUGUUUACUUUAACUUUUGGGGAAGUAUAGCUACAUUUAUUGGGUAUUUUAUGUAUGUGCUAUGUUUAUCUAUAUUGUUGUUUUAUGUUUUAAUAUAUUUUAUGCUUUUAUUGUUUUUAUGGUCUCUGGCUAUUUUACUGUAAAGCACUUUGGUAGGCCACUGGCUGUUUUUAAAAGUGCUAUAUAAAUAAAGCUGACAUUGACAUUGACAAAUAAGAAAUAAAAAGUCUAAAAAAAUUUGGAAAAUUACAAAAUGUAGAAAAGAUUAAAAAAAAUGUAAAAAAUGAAUAAAGAAAAAGUUUCAUGCAACAUGGAUUGUUUGUGCAUCAUCAUCAUCAUCAUCAUCAUCAUCUGAAAUAUAGAAAUGUUUUUUUGAAACACUUAAGUAUAAAAAUCUUUUACAAAACAAAAACAAUCACAUUAUGUAAAAAGAAAAUCCAAAAAAUAUUUAUUAAAUGUUAUAUUCACAAAUUUACAAAAUAUGAGACAAAAACAUUUUGUUCAACCUAUAAAAAUCCUAGAAAACAAAUUGUGCAAAAUAUAUAUGUAACACUCAAAUAUGUAACGAAUAAAAACUUUAAAAACUUUAUAAAAUUUAAAAUUAUUUUAAAAUAAUAUUUAAUGUUCCAGAAAAGCCAAAACUUGUCCUCAACUUUAAAAAAUAUUCAUAAAUAUGAAAAAAAAACACAAUAUGCAAUGUCAACAAAAUUAAAAAAAAACUGUUUUUUUAAGAUUCAUACAAUUUCUUAAAAGGUUUAGAAAGUCUUAGUUAAUGUAACCUGAUAUAAAACAGAUUUUUUUUUAAAUGUUUAAAUGUUCAUGAAAACUUUGUGCAGGGUUAGUUUCCAGGGCCAAUAAAAACAAAUAAAAUAAGGGAUCCUUCCUGUGAUGUCUUCAGACCCUGAGAAUAACUACCUGAGCCUGCAAGGGACAAAAGAAACUAUGACCUUUAGUUGGCAGAGUUAGAUAAAUGGUGAGGACAUUACAGCCAGUUUACCUGCUCCAGAAUCAACCCAGCAAAACUUUUUGUCCCAUUUGAAACCUAAAUCUAUCAACCUAGAGAGCAGAUGUUAAAAAUAUUAGUGUCCCCUUUCGACUGAACCCUUUCUGGUGGAGCUGCUAAACAAACAGUCCUCCAAAGUGCAGCAGCAGAAAGAAUACAUCAAACUAAACGGGCCUCACCUGCAGAGAGCCUCCAGUCUGUGCAUUUUCUGCUGAUUUUUCUUUAAAUGGAUGUUCUCAGCGUGAGUAGUCUGCACACACACACACACACAAACACACACACACACACAUACUCUUGUGGCUGCUCACAAUAACACAAUGAGAGCUUUCUAUGUCACUUUAGGCCGAUUUGAGCUGGCCUAUUUCCGACAAGCACCUCUCUAUAGCCCAGUCUCAGAGCAGCCAUUGUUUCAGCACCACACUGAUGGUCUGACCAUCUGUUCAGUACAGAGGAGCGGCUCUGAGGCGACACCCUGAUGUUUAAUAAAUACGGUGUGUUCAGGAGCUGGGACUCAAUGCACCUCUCUGAACACUCACACAGGCCGGAUGGGCUCUUCAGAGCAAACACGCCAUUCGACCACCUCUCCAGACGAGCGUCUCAGAUAAGCCUGAGUGUUUGAUGGGGAAAGCGCUCUCUCUUCCUUUAUCAAUCUCAAACAGAAGCUUUUUUUGCUCCAUUAUUCUGCGCUCAGACUGAUAAGCAGUGGAGAGCCGCAGUGGCGUGAAAGACAUAUUGUGCAGGCCGGCGGUGUGCAGAGAUAAAACCAGACUGAACCACAAAGGUCAAAGGCAGCAGCGAACAUGGUGGAGGCGUGUGUGCGCUGUUCAAAGAAACAUCCGGAGAUCAUGUUUAAUUUAAAGCUUUAUCAGUGAAAUGUCUUGAGAGCUGAGAAAUACAUCACAAGAAUGACAACUGCUUUAGUUUUCAGAAAUGUCCGUCAGAAUCCUGCAGGAAAGUGAAGACGUGUGUUUAAAUAAUUCAGCUUUAACCCAAACCUGCACCUGCAAGAGCUGAACAGAGCCACGUUUACACGGGCAAAAUUUCUUGAUCGGAUUAAAAUCGGAUAAUCUGAAUCCACUGUUUACAAUGGGUGCAAAAUCAAAUAAUCCGAUCAUGACAUGCAUAUACAUGCACCAAGUUUUAUUCAGAUUAGAAGCAUUUUGACAUGUGCAGAGUUCUCUAUUUUCAGUAAAACAAAUGCAGAAGAAGAGUUGUAUUGACGCCUGUGCUGUUAACAAACCAACAAACGCAGUAGUGGCUCACUUAAUUCAAUACUGUUUUUUUCCCUCAAUUAAAUGUUGUUACUAGAUGGCGCCCUUGCAUAUUUAGUUUACUGUUCUGUCGAAGGUUGCUCUGUCAGGCAGAUGUGACAUCAUUUCGCUGUAUGUACGCCUUGUUAUGUUACCGGAGGAGCAGACACGGCACCUGCAGUUGUGUUGUACACCAGAGUGUUAAUAAUGAAACCUCCUGUACUGGCCUAAAUAAAUAAGCUAAAGGUUAAAGAGUGAAGACCCAGUCAGGUAAGAGAGUUAUGUUCAGAAUAAGUGUUUACAUGGACGCGUUUUGGAAUAACAAUCGGCAUAAACCACUCGUCUCGAUCGGAAUACAAUUUCUUUCUGAUUGAGCCGAAUUGGAUGAGAAUUUUCUGAUCGGUAUGUUUCCUUGAUGCAUUUUUAUCCCGACCAUUUAUUUGUGCGGGCAUUUAUUCAAGCCAAAUUAGCCAUGUAAACAUGGCUAAUUUGGCACAAUAACAAUCAACGUAAAUACGCUCAUCAGUUUGGGCUAAAGGUCCUUACACACGUCGCGAAUAUGGUAUGCGAAAUCACAAAGUAUUCUAAGGCGAAUUUUGACGCAACUGACUAUACACAUCAAGCCCAAUGCGAUUUUGCGACUUUUCCGGAGGGGAAAAAAGACGCAUCCGGGUUGGAAGCGAGAAGACUGACACAACAGCAGACUGACUGUUUUUCAGUUCUGAUUAGACACUAGUGUUGAGAUGUCUGUCUGUCAUGAUAGCAUGUACUGAGUCGGGGCCAGUACCAGAUAAGCACAUUAAACUAUAAUCCAUAAACGUAAGGUAACAACCGAGACCUAAUGGUGCUGUGACAGCAACGUGAUUGAGUUUGAGACAGUGAAAAUACAUAUGGUAUGUUGUAACUGAACAGGUUAGCUUACGAGCUAAAGUUACUUAGCACAGAUGAAAGUUAAAACAAAGACGUUUAGCAAACUGUUAAAGCACACAAACCAUCGUCAUAUGAGAAAUCCGACACUAUGACUCUCUACAAGUUGUCCUUCAGGUCGUUAUCUUUGUAAUAUUUGUGUUUUUUAUCAAAAAGCACUCUGUUCUCCGACACGUAAACAAUCAGCCGGUCGGCCAUGUUGGACAUACCGGCGA
Molecule: long non-coding RNA, 106555 nt
Filed under: Xyrichtys novacula (pearly razorfish)
Lineage: Eukaryota; Metazoa; Chordata; Actinopteri; Labriformes; Labridae
Source: RNAcentral